This 99999-nucleotide long non-coding RNA is filed under the name Triticum aestivum (bread wheat). RNAcentral describes it as "long non-coding RNA (TAES_LNC012142)". The stretch from base 78735 to 78821 matches the Rfam family "MIR1120/MIR1122 microRNA precursor family". The record is from RNAcentral. Lineage: Eukaryota; Viridiplantae; Streptophyta; Magnoliopsida; Poales; Poaceae.
CAAAAGCGCAUGCCAGAGAUGGAAUUUCAAUUUAAUAUCGCUAGGUGUGCUGAAUGGAAAGAGUUCCUCGAGCCUAAACCUCCUGGUGUGCAGAAACAUGUUUCUUCCUGGCUGAAAACCCCUACUAGUUUUAUCAAACUGAACGUGGAUGUAGUGUUCCGAGGCGAGUCAAAGGAGGGUGGGUGGGGCCAAAUUGCUAGGGAUGCUGAUGGAGACAUCCUUUGUGCUGCAGCCAGCAUCUAACAGCUUAGUCUGGCGCUUUGCAAGCUGAGGCUACGACCCUUCUGCAGGCAAUCCAACUUGUUGAAAUACAAGUUAUGGGGCGUGUGAUUUUGGAAACUGAUUCCCUGGGCCUGCAACAAUAAGUUACCUCUACAUUGUUAGACCGAUCUCUGUUGGGGGUGUUGUUCCGUGAAGCCAAAUGUCUCCAGUUAGGUAUCAUAGAGGCCAAAGUCAUGUACUGCCUGAGAACUUGUAAAAAAUCAGCACAUGUGCUGGCAAAUCUUGGUAGCCAGAGUGCCUAUGUGAACCCGUGUUGUGACCGCCGAUUGUGUCAGUCCGUCGUAAGUUUGGAAUGCAUGGUGUUUCAGUUCAACAAAAAAAGAUACUACCAUAAUCGUAGAGAGGAGAUCAAGUAUUUAAUAGUCGUCGGUAGGAUUGAGCAAGUGUUGCAUAAUUCAAUUUUUUGCUUUCAUGUGCUCACGACUAACCUGCUGACCAUGUGUAAAUUCAUAUUGAAAAUCAGUUUGUUCAAAAGGCUUGGUUAUAGUGGCCAGGCAGAUUCUUCAAUUGGUUGCUGGAUCACAAUGGUGACUCAUUUUUAAAAAUACAACUUGAGUGACAUGCUAUUUUGUAUCCAUUUCAUCUAUAAUUUUUUUGUAAAAAUUAUUUUGAAUUUGUAACAUGUGAAAUAACUUUAUCAACAUUUUAGACCCGCGUUGCACGUGCAAGCUUACUAGUGAGGGUAAAGAGAAGAGGAAAGUGAUUUGUAUUGCUUACCACGGUAAUACCACGUGCAAGAAAAAGUAACGGGUUUAAAUUGGUUAUGACUCCACGACACCCCGCUCCAUAGAUGAGUUGUUCUUCUAAUCAAGGUAAAGUAGCAAUGAAAUAUGGUAAUAUAAUUUAAUCCAUUACUAUGCACCAUUCUCCGUGAGGAAAACCAACCAAUCUUCUAACCUGGUAAAAAAACUUGAAAUAUAGUAAUGGAAUUACUAUAUUACAUUUUACUUUACGUUGUAGUAAAAGAAUAGACUUUAUUACUAUAUUUUACACCAAUUUUACUACGAAGCGGAUAAUUAUGUAGAGAGCAGGAAGAAUAGGUGCAACAGUAACAUAUUUCGUUUCGUUGCUACUUUUCCCAUGACUGAUUACUAUGUAUCAUGUGGACUAUUUCUUUUUAGGUUACCAUGUGGACUAAUUAUGUGGUCUAGGCGAGGCGGGGAAUAGAUGGGUCCAGUGGUAAUGAAAUCAAUUCAGUUACUAUAGUGUCCAUCAAUUUCAAAAAAAAUUACCACCGUGCGGGAGAAAAAUUGCUGUUUUUUUUCAACGACUAGUGCGACAAAUGCAUAGCCUAGGGUGUGGUGUCCAGCCAGAGUGUAGAAUUACCGCUUUGCGCUCCGGCUCACAUUAGCGAGCCUAUAUAUAUACAUACUUUUUCCUUCUCUGUGAAAUGGUGCUCAAAAUCUUCAUUGCCUUCUUCAAAUAUAAAACGAGCUUCAGUUGACGUGGUCAACUUAGUAGAGACAUUGUCAGUUUGCACCACCUUAAUUGGGUCAUCUCUGGAAUAAUGAAUGAUGAUUUUUCUAGUGAGAUAAAAGGGAUGAGGAUAAUAAACCAGAGAAGCUAUCAAGAUCUCCAUAGUUGAAAAUGACACCGCCCCGCCGCAACGAAGACCUGCUCAAAGCAGCAUCGAUCAAGUCAUCGACUCAAGGAGGAUGGCUAGACAGGUUCUCUUCACUCGCCCAGAUAGCAGAUCACUUGUUAAUUCGUGCUAGAUUAAGUACCUACGCGUCCGAAUCAUGCAUACGCAUCAGGCAGCAAUAUCAAUGGCGAAAUGUUAAGGAUCGGUGCAUGCUGCACGGGGAACGGGCUUGACAGACCAAGUUUGAAUUGGAGUCCUUCCGCACAGCAGGAUGGGUCGAUUCGAAAUGUCGUGUGAAAAAUUUUCAGCUUGAUACAGUGAAACGGAGUGGAUCUUGUAUUUUUGGGUCAAUGCUGGGGGUCAUUGUAGAUAUCGUCGGACAUAACUUUGACACUAAACUCCCCAGCUAAGCCUCAUAAGUCAUAACCAUCCGCACCUUUCUCUCGGUUCACACAAUGCAAGGUGGGCUGGCUAAUUUUGUUUUGCUAGUUUGUGUGCUGCUACAUGUGAAUCCAUUCCAUACUUUUCCUGCCUAGAGCACCACUCAGUUAGAGGAGGUGAUUUGUGACACGCAGGGGGAAGGGGCUCGCCAAUUGUGGACCGCCGAUGAGUGCCAAGAUUUAUUUAAUUUUUACGGGGAAAUCAGAGAGCUUUAUUCAUAUGAAAGCAUUCUUAGGACAAUCAGCCAAGAGGCUGGUCACCAAGAAGCUAGGAGUCUCCUCAAACCAACUAUCGGUCACAUUCAGAGUGCAAACACGCUUUGCACAAAGAUGCGUUGGAACGUUAGCUGACCUGUUUACAUGCUGAAAUCGAACAAAGUAAAAUUAUUACAUAGCUCUCCUAUCUCUACUAAUAAAGGAGCCACAAUUGAACGAGAAUUAUGGCGAGUGGUCCAGAGCGUCACCAUCUCCAAGCAAUCAGUUUCCAUUAUCACAUGCGAUAAACCUCGGAGAGAAGCGAACCGAACUCCGUCUCGCAGUGACAAAACCUCCAUAAUCAAGGGAUCAGAGAUACCCAAGUAUGGCUUGCACCAUGCUCCCAGGAACGCCGAAGAGGAUCGAGCCACCCCUCCCGCACCGCCCGUGCCAUCAGAAAAAUUCAACGCUCCAUCCAUGGUGAUCUUGACAACACCUUCAUCAGGUGGUCUCCAGCCAAAACCAGGCAAGAUCAUCGCAUCUCUCUGUGGUAAAUGAAGAAGGGCGAUCACCUCCUUAGUGGCCCUGAUCGUAGCCGUAGGAUUCCUUCCCUCUUCGCCAUGUUUGAUUCGGUUCCGGGAGUGCCAUAUAGACCACAUUAUCGUGGUGAUCUUGGCACGGUCAUCAUCUGUGAAUCUAGGAUCGCAUGUGAUAUCCCGCGCCCAUGAGUCUAGAUGAAGCCGAGGCAAUCUAAGGCCAAACCAUGCAACCGCUUCCUCCCAGAAGCAUUUUGCAUGUGAACAGUGUAUGAGUGCAUGCUCCAAAUUUUCAUCCAUAGCCAAACAAACUUUGCAUCGACGAAUCUCUGCAAUAUGUCGAUAGUUAAGAGUGUCUUCAUCCGGGAGAAUUCCACGAAGAACCCUCCACCAAAACACUCUCACCUUCGGAAUGACAUUCAAUUUCCAUGGGGAUUUCCACAUCUGUGUAUUAUCCUCUGAGGUCCUGGUAGCCGUCCCUUCCUCUCGAUCAACAUGCACUUUCUGAGUCACGAGAGCACGGUACGCCGACUUCACAGUGUAGUUCCCCGAUCUUUCAAAUGCCCAUGCAAGAAAAUCAUGUCCACCUCCUUGCCGAAUAGGGAUGUUCAAUAUUGCUUCAGCAUCAGGCGCAAUGAAAUUGUACCGAACAAGAUCUUGUCUCCACGACCAGUUAGAUGGAUCAAUAAGCUCAGACACACGCUCAAUAGUCGUAUGCUGAGGUUGAAACAUAGGAGACAUAGAUAUUGUACCUGGGAUCCACUUAUUGUUCCAGGCUGAUAUAGAGGAGCCAUCGCCCACUCGAAAGAUCAACCCGGCUUGAAGGGCUUCUCUCCCCGCCAUGAUCGCCUUCCAAGUGGCCGACGCUGACUUGGGUAUAGUAGCAUUCAUGAAAUCAGUGUCGGGAAAGUAACGGCCCUUCAAAACUCUUGCACGGAGGGAAUUCGGGUUGGUGAGGAAUCGCCAUCCGUGUUUGCCCAGCAUAGCAAGAUUGAAAAGAUGCAGAUCUCUGAACCCCAUCCCGCCCUUGCACUUGGGUGUAGCUAGAUCCUUCCAGGACACCCAAUGCAAUGAUUUCUUGUCAAGAGAACUCCAAAAAUACUUGGCCAUUGGUAAAGUAAGACUCUUACAAACUUUCUUGGUCAGAAGGAAUGUACUCAUUGGAUAAGUAGGAAUUGAUUGAACAACAGAUUUGAGAAGAGUUUCUCGAGCUGCACACGCCAAUAAUUUUUCCGACCAGCCUUGUAUUUUCCCACGAGCUCUUUCGCUGAUAUGAUCAAAUGUGCCGCUGGUAAUCCGACCCAUAGCAGUAGGGAGCCCCAGGCAUUUCUCACUGAAUGCUUGCACAUGGAUAUUUAAUGUUGCUUGCAGAACCUGCCUCAACGAAUCAGGAGUGUUAGUACUAAAGUAUAUUGAGCUUUUGUCACGAUUAACACUUUGUCCCGAAGCCUCUCCAUAAAUCCGGAGAAUCUCAUUGAGUCUGAGAGCACUUGGGUUACUUGCAUUGAUGAAAAUCAAACUAUCAUCCGCGAAUAAUAAAUGUGUGACCCAUGGUGAUCUAUAACUCAACCUCAAACCCCUGUCUAUGGUUACUCCACUGUAAUAUUUCAACAGCGAGGAAAAGCCUUCCGCACAUAGCAGAAAAAGAAAUGGUGAAACUGGAUCACCUUGUCGGAAACCUCUGGAUGGUGUGAAGUAUGGUAAAAGUUCACCGUUAACCCGCACCAAGAAGCGCACUGAGGAGACGCACUUCAUUAUCAAUCUAACAAAGCUCAUACAGAGGCCAAGCCGAACUAGUAUAGCUUCGAGAUAAUGCCACUCAACGCGAUCAUAUGCUUUCAUCAUAUCGAGCUUGACCGCACACGAAUAAUUCUUGCCCUUCUUCCUCCGCCUCAUCGUAUGUACACUUUCAUACGCAACUAGCACAUUGUCCGUAAUGAGGCGGCCGGGAACGAAAGCACUUUGCUCUUCACUUAUAACCUCAUCCAUAAAACAUCUCAAACGAUUGGUGAUUGCCUUAGCAGCAAUCUUAUACAAAACUGGGCACAAUGCAAUAGGACGGUAUUGUGAAAUUGUUUAGGGGUGUCUAACCUUGGGGAUCAGGGUAAUAGAGGUGUCAUUCAGUCCCGCUAGCAGCUCCCCCCAUUGAGAAAAUCAAGUACUGCCUCGGUUACGUCAUUGCCAAGUAAAUCCCAAUGACGCUGAUAAAAACCUGCAGUAAAACCAUCAACACCGGGUGCCUUCGAAGGAGCCAUUUGGAACAGCGCCACUUUGACUUCCUCCGGAGUAUAGGGUUUGAAUAGUUCUAUGUUCAUCGCUUGUGUCACAUUAACUGGCACAUGCGAUAACAACAGCUGGGGAUCCACAAAACCUUGUGAUUCAUAAAGUUGCUGAUAGAAGUUCUGCACCUCCACCUUGUCCUCAUCUCCACUAGCGCAAAUCGUGCCAUCCGCUCGGCGAAGAUCUGAGAUCUUAUUCAUACGUUGGCACUGAGCUGCUUGCGCUUGGAAAUAUGAUGUGUUACGAUCGCCCUCUCGGAGCCACAGAACUCUCAAACGCUGUCGAGUCCAAAUCUCCUCUUGAUGCAAGGCCUCUUUCAGUUUUUUAACAAUACUUUUCUCCUCAUCCAAAGGCUCGGUGCCUAUAGCCUGACACCGAACACGGUUCAGUCGUUGUUGGAGUUGUCUGACAGUACGUGCCAAACACCCAAACUCCUUCAAACUCCAUGGCUCUAGGGUUGCCUGCAGGGUACCAAGCACCGAUGCAAUGCCUUGGAGGCCCGAAGUGCGUGUUAUGCCCCGCCAUGUCUGCUCAACUAGGCGGUCAUAAUCAGUAUGAGUUUGCCAUAUGUUUUCAUAAUGGAAUUGUUUCUUCGCCCUAGGACACUCCGGCAUUACCUCUUUGAUUUCUGCUAACACAAAACAAUGGUCAGACUCAACUGAAGGAAGAUGUCGAACCCGUAUAUGAUGAAAAUACUGCCGAAAUUCCUCAUUCGCAAAAGCUCGAUCUAGCCGUGCCUUGACAUUUGAUUCUCCCAUUUGAUGAUUGUCCCAUGUGUAGGUCGUGCCAGACCAGCCUAGAUCAUGGAAAGAUAUCUCAUCCACAACCUCCCUAAAUGAUCUCAUAUGAGUUUCAGACCGAGCCGCUCUACUGAAGUGCUCACACGCAGACAAAGUUUCGUUAAAAUAUCCCAUGCACAACCAGGCACUAUGGGGAAUGUUAUGUAAAGUACGCAACCGCCAACUGUGGUGUCUCUCCUCUGCUCGCGGUGCUCCGUAAAAACCCGUGAAACGCCAAACAUAAGCGUUCUGAUUAUUGCUAUGAAGCAGUACAUCAAUAUGAUUCUUACUGAAAUUUUUCAAAUCAACGAUCACAUCUCUGGACCAGAAAAGACCUAUGCCGCCACUAAGGCUAACACAGUCAACUGCAAAACUGCCUGCAAAACCAAGCGUAAACUUCAGAUGCUCAACUCUUUUUGCUUUGAUUUUAGUUUCCAUUACAAAGAGAAGGGAGGGGCCUUCAAGCUUCACAAUAUUGCGAAGCUCCCGAACUGCCUCGGGGUUCCCAAGCCCCCCGGCAGUUCUAGCUUAAAACACUCAUUGUGAAUGGCAGGACCGCGACGCGGUCUCUGCCGAGUUAUCUUGUGUGGGCUUUUUCUUCUUUAGUUCACGAGCAAAGCCAUCUCCCUCUGUAUCGUUGCUAGCUGUGGUUGGGUCCCUAAUGCUUGCACCCGCGUCCCCCACUGGAUCGACCGAACUCCCAUCUGUAAGCAACAAGGGUUUAGCCACGGGUUUGUACACUUGAUGAGGGGCAUCUUUUCGCUUUGGUGGCUGCUUGUUCUUCUUAGGAGAUGUCACUUCCACCCCAGGUUCCUUGUUAGUAAUAGAGUUCCUCGUGGUUGGUUUGCUUUGAGACUUUGUAUCCCUGGAGGAAUUGUCGCUGGCCGGCGCCUUCUUCGCAUCAUCCGAUGCACGGAGUUUAGAACCAAACGGCAGCUCACCCUUGUCAUCGCGUGAGCCCGUAGUAGCACAAUAUAGUUCUGAGUGCCCUAAUCUAUCACAGGAGAAACAAAAGUAGGGCAACUAUUCAUAUUGGAUGUCAUACAAGUCCGUCUUCUUUCUCCUGGCAGACUCGAUCAAAAUCCACCUUCUCAAAGGCUUAUCUACCUCAAUUGAUAUCCUUGCUUGCAGAAAACCACCAUUAUGAUCAAACUUGACAAAUUGGGCGUUUUUAUCCAUCUGCUUAGCGAUCGGCAUCCACCACACUUCAUCCCUUAGGUUAUAGGGUAGAUCCAUAACCCUAGCCCAAAUCUGCAGAUGAUCAAACUGGACCUCAUCAGGCCGCAUACAUUCGUCAAACUCAGCCAGCACCACGGCGUUCUUACUGAUAUGCCAUGGCGAGCCACUCCACACCCUAUCUCUGUCCCUCUGAUUCUCAAAUUCUGCUACAAACGCGUUGACGCCCGCUGAUCUAAACUGCAAACCACGCGGAUUGCCCCAUGCCGGCCGAAGCGCAUUAGUGAUGGUCUAGAUGUGUAGAUGGUUCCGGUGGAGCACCUUCCCGGCCAAAAGCCACUUCGCCGGCCUCCCCUCGACGCGAUCGUCGAGAAUCAGUGGAGUAGCCUCUUCUUCGGAUAUGUCAAGUUUCCCCAAGGCCUCCUCUAGUUUCCUUCUGGCGGCAUAGCUCGCCUAGGGAUCGCUUCCCUCCCCCGAGCCCGCGGCACUAGGUGCAGCCAUGAGCCCGGAGCACUUGCCUCUUCCUCUCUCUCUUGCACCGGCGACGAGUCGUUGGGCAAAGUCGAGUCCACGUCAAACCCUAAUCGCCGCCAGCGCCGCCAGGGGUUUUAGGGUUUGGGGAAAAGCUCUUUGAGCUGAGAUAAUGAGUGCCAAGAUUCAGCAGUAUGUUUUUGUAUAUCCCUCGAUAUAUAUACCUAUAAUUAUUUCAUAAACGUGAAGCGGUAUACAUGUUGUUGUGGGGAUGGUUAGAUAUUUCGGUAAAUAGUGGAUGCAAAUUGUCUUGUACGGAAAUGGUGACAUUUUGGGAAAUUAUUCAUUUUGUUCUUCUUCUUCACUCUCUGUUCUUCAAAUAGGUUAUUCAUUUCCAACAACUCUUAAGUUCGAACACCAAUGUUGUAGAGUCAAAAAGACAGAUCCAAUUCUGUUGUUGGCAAUUGAAAGACAUCGAGGAUAGUUACAACAAUAGAAGAGGUAUAUCCAAACCUUUUGCGGAAGAGAUUAGCUAUAUUCAUAUUGUUGAUCUACAUUUGGGUUUUGUGUUGGUAGGACCGUUGCAUCAUGUUUAGUAUGUGUUUUCAUUUUAUUGUUGAUGUUUUAUGCUGCUAGCUAUUUGUGCUUGUACUUGCAUGUUAUCAUCCAUGAACUCGCAUGUUGGAACAAUUCAAUCUUUGUUCCUUGAAUGUUUAUAUGUUGAAUCUUCAAACGCAAAUUAAAAUGGAUGUACUAAGUCAAUGUAUGUAAACCGUGUUGUGCUAAGUUUGGCACACGGAUUUGAAAGUACAACUUACUUACAGAAAAUGAAACUUAAUCUCUAUGUUUCUCUCCCUUUAAUUUAGAGUAAACCCUAGACCUUAGACCUUACACAGUAAAUAUUAAAAUGAUAUAACAUAAACCCUAACACCUAAACCCAAAACGCUAAACCCCUAAUCCUUAAACCCUUGUAAAAUCAGUAAACCCUUAACCCAAAAAGGUAAUUCCAUAAGCGUUAUAACUUAAAAAUAAUGAAAUCCUAACAUUAAAACCUAAACCCUAUAUCAUAAAUCAUCAUCGCUAAAUGUUCUAAACGCUUAUAGUAAACGAUACGGCUAAACCCUAUACGCUAUGAAAGUUAAACCAUUAUCCCUAAACCAAAACCCUAAAACAUAAGAGCCAUAAUACCGUAAACCCUAAAAUGUUAAACCUAAAGACUAAACUAUAACUUUACAAAACUUAAAGUACCCUCAAAAACCUAAACCCUCAUCUUAAACAGCAAGCCUAUGCUUUGUCCUAAAUAAUAAUGUACACCCUAAUGGUAACAUGAAAUUGAUUUCAAAACUUAUUUAGAAAUAUAAUAUAAUCUAUUAUGUAACAUGACGAUGUUCAUUAUUUAUUGGAAUGGUAGUUCUUCUAAAUUUGAAGGAUUUCGAAGAAUGCUAAAAGGUAUAAAGGCUUCACAAAGUAGUAUGUAGAACAACUUUAAUGAUUUGUCGAUGUAACAUAGUGGUUAGCCUCGUAAUAGUUACCAAGUUUCAUCGAACAAAACUUAUGGAUUAUGGGUAUAUAAACUGGAGGGUUUAGUCCGUGGAGGCUAUCAGAACAAUCAUAGGCUAGACAACUAGGGUUUAGCCAUUACGAUCUCGAGGUAGAUCAACUCUUGUAACCCCUAUACUCAUCGAUUAUAAUCAAGCAGGACGUAGCGUUUUACCUCCUUUAACAGGUCCUGAACCUGGGUAAACAUCGUGUCCCCAUUGUCCCUUGUUACCAUUGAUCCUUAGACUCACAACUUGGGCCCCCUAUCCGAGAUCUGCCGGCUUUGACACCGACAGACCACAACUGGGAGAAGGACAUCUCUUUGACGAAAGUAGUGCCCGGACGACGAGGAGAGGAAUCGAAGGCUGGCACACGCCGCCUACGAGCAACCAGACGCCGGAACAAGCCAACCGGCAUUUUAACCAACCUGCCACCUCGUGAGCCGCUCGCCGACAGGCCGACGCCGAAGAAGACCUGCUGCCGCCAUGGAAUGGCCCGGACCAUCGCCAUGAGCCACCACCAUGUCGUGGCAGUCCACAUCCACACCAAGACCCCGAGGGCCAGCCCCGAGCUGCUCGCCGGCAGCCAUGGGCUAGAUCUGAGCCGAUCUGGCCGGCAACGACCACCGCCAGCAGCAGCAGCUGGUGCACCGCCGUGGUCCACGACUAUAGCCACGACAGCACCAGGUCGCAGCCCGCCCCUGCGUCGCCUGACGCCCACACGCCCGCCAGACCAAAUCGGAUCUGGACGGGGCCGCCGCCGCCAAGAGCGCCCCACCGCCUCGGUCACCAGCCGAGGCCUUACCGCUGCCAAGGACGACCACCGCCGCACCACAACCACGGCGCCGUCCGCGGCCCGCGUUGCCAUGUGGCCAGAUCUGGCGGGGCCGCACUGCACCAACCCCGCCCGCCGCCCCCGCCCGCCCAGCACGCUCCGCCAGCACAACGCCCGUGGCACAGCCAGCAAGCUGUCGUCGCCGCACAGCUCCGGCGCCCCGCCACGCUGCAGCACCCGCCNNNNNNNNNNNNNNNNNNNNNNNNNNNNNNNNNNNNNNNNNNNNNNNNNNNNNNNNNNNNNNNNNNNNNNNNNNNNNNNNNNNNNNNNNNNNNNNNNNNNNNNNNNNNNNNNNNNNNNNNNNNNNNNNNNNNNNNNNNNNNNNNNNNNNNNNNNNNNNNNNNNNNNNNNNNNNNNNNNNNNNNNNNNNNNNNNNNNNNNNNNNNNNNNNNNNNNNNNNNNNNNNNNNNNNNNNNNNNNNNNNNNNNNNNNNNNNNNNNNNNNNNNNNNNNNNNNNNNNNNNNNNNNNNNNNNNNNNNNNNNNNNNNNNNNNNNNNNNNNNNNNNNNNNNNNNNNNNNNNNNNNNNNNNCCGUGAACCCGUGUUUUGACAGUCGAGGUAUGUCUUCAUACUAGUUGACGUGUGAUUUUCUUGUAGUGAUCAAAUGUUUGGGUCAUUAUUCUAAUUUACCAUUAGAAUUGUUGGUGUUUUAUCCACACAAAAAAUGAUGUGCUAUUGCAACUCAAGGAACAACGAACAAAGGAUUUAGCAGGUUACUGAGUAAAACAGACUCAUCAGGCUAAAAGGUGUUAUCAGGCUUUCAGUCCUUGAUCAAGUCAACCUUUCGGCCCCAUCAUUUGUCCCUCGGGUACCUGGAGAAAAUUCUCUCGUUGUUGCCAGCCAAUGCGCACGUGAAACUGAGCCAGCAACAAGGGUCAACUCAGCCGACGAACUUUCCCUCAAAGAAAAAAAAACUCAGCCGACGAACUUCGAGGCCAAAUGGCCCCUUCGUUUGUCCACGUUCGGCCAGGCCGCUCGCCUGUUCUACCGCGAAUGCUAGCGAGAAAUAUGAACAUAACCAAUCUUCUCAUUAAAUCUGUGACAAACUCUGCAUAUCACCAGCCUGCAUGAACAGUGUGACCCAGAAGUCCAUCUCAUUGUUUCUCGACGACGGCGAUACACUAUCUGCGCCGAAGGUGUCGCCGGUUUCCAUCCCGGAACCGGAGCUGUCCACCGACAUCGCCAGUGUCUCCGACCAGAAGCUGUCGUCAAUCUGGAACUCCUCCGACUCCGAGUAAGAGCAGCCCGUGUUCUCCAACGACGAGGCCAUCGAGUAGCCGGUGGCGGACGACGUCGAGAGGGACUGCUCCGGCGAAAUCGAGAGGGACUGCCCCGGUGACGACGCCGGCUCGGAGGUCGGUCCCUCGAGCGCGCUCGCAGCCACAGCGGGCUUCUUGGCUUUGCGCUUAGGCGCUGCCUGGCCCGACGGCUUGGACGAGGACUCGAGUCGCUUUUUGAGGUGCGUGUGCCAGACGUUCUUGAUCUCGUUGUCCGUCCUGCCAGGCAGCCUGGCGGCAAUGGUGGACCAUCUGUUGCCGAGCAUGGCGUGGAGUUGGAUGAUGGCGUCUUCCUCCUCGCUGGUGAAGUUGCCGCGCUUGAUGUCGGGGCGCAGGUAGUUGAUCCACCGGAGGCGGCAGCUCUUGCCGCAGCGCAGCAGGCCGGCCUGCUUCGGCAGCGCUCGCCAGUUGCUGUGCCCGUGCUGCUCGAUGUGAGCCACCAGGGUCAUGUCCUCCUCCGCCGUCCACGGGCCCCUCUUGAGCCCCAUCUUCUCGCAGCAAGGAGCCCUCACCAUUGCUGUUGAUUACUCUGUGUGCUUCUCUGCACCCUUCUCUUCUCUUCGCGCAGGCCCGGGUAAGACGCUCGCGCUGUGUGGGGGUCGGAGGCGAGGGAAGGAGUCGAUGCUCGGAGGAAGCUGAUGAUGGUGUGUGGAUUGCGAGGGCGUUGGGCUAUUUAUGCUCGCUCGCGUCGACAGCAAAACGUGGUCAAUUGGGGUUCUUGGGCAGCUUCUCGGAAGGAUCGAGCCGAAUGGCCACACCGCUGGGUGACAAUACGAAGCGGAAUAGCAACGUUCGCUCCUACGGUGUUUGUUUCCUUGAUUAUUACUCGCUUUGGUUCUACUUUAGUUACUAUAUAGUACUCCUGUGCUCAUUCUAAAAUCCACAUGUUGGAAAAGAAUUCUAUGAGAUCAGGUCUCACGGAUUAGCAGAUGAGACCCAUCCUGAUGGAUGACACGUGGCAUUCACAAAUCACAAAGCAUCUACCUCACCCCUCACCUAAAAUCAGGGAGAAGAGAUUAGAUGCUUUGUGAUUUAUGAAUGUCACGUGUCAUCCAUCAAGGCGGGUCUCACCUGCUAAUCGUGAGACCUGGUCUCAUAUAAUUUUUUUUUCCCGUUUCUGAUGGCAUUGUUCUCUCUGAAUUGAUUAGUGAACUGCUGCCUCGUUUGUCUCAGGAGCGAGCGUACUUAUCUUUUUUUUUAAAUGGAGGAGGACCCCAGCCUCUGCAUCUGGACGAUGCAUGCAGCCACUUUAUUAAUUAUUCAUAUAAAACCUUACAAAGUCAUACAACAAUAAGACUAAAGCCACCGUCUCUCUACUUUAUUCUUCUUCCUUCUCCAUGUAGCUUUCCUAUGGAAAAAUUCCGUGUUCCUAUCUCCUUCAUGCAGCCAAGAGAAUCUAGAUCUUUGCCUCCACAUAACCUCCUCCCUAUGCACCCAUUCAUCAAGUUCGGACUUGGCUCAUACUAUUUUCAGUUUCCCUCGAGCGUGGCUGCAGUCUUAGUUUCUGUAAUUUUGCUCUCAAGGAUCUGAUACUGUUUGUCACCGAAUUAAAUUCCUGUUGAGCCCAAUGCCCCAAUAUGUCUCCCAUAGACUUUAGUUUGGUCGCUAUGCUCCCGAGGGAUGAAGCGCAACCCCCCUUUUCCAAGUGUUCUGGACGGUAUCUUCGAGAGAGUCAGCUCGUUCCCACAUGGCUUCAUAUCUGAAGAUUUUUGUGACUCUUCUCCAUUCUUUCCUCUUUCCAAAAUGCAGCAGCAAGGGAGCAUGGUCUGACCUCGAAGAGCAUAUGUGUUCAAUUGAGGCUCCAGGAAAGGUUCUGUUCCAGUCAGGCAUUGCUACCCCUCUGUCUAGCCGUGCUCUGACAUUUUUAUCUCCACGUUGUUUGUUGUCAUAUGUCCAUUUAGUUCCUUUAAAGCCCAAGUCCUGCAGGUUGCACUCAUCAAGAACCUUACGGAAUUCAGCCAUGUUUGUUUUAGAUCUUUUUGCUUUCGAGAAAUGCUCACUUUGCCACAUGGUUUCGUUGAAAUCACCGAUCAUGAACCAUGGUUCAGACGAGUUGUGCCUAAUCCUUCGUAGCAGCUCCCACAUGUGGUGCCUCUCAUGUGCUUUGGGUUCACCAUAAACAAAAGUUCCUCUCCACUGUACACCAUUUGGGUUUAAGCGAAUGAGCACAUCGAUAUACCUCGGUCCAACAGCGAUUUCUUUUAUUUCAACUUCCUCAUCAUAGAACAAUGCAAUCCCGGUGCUCUUGCCAAUUCCAGGUUGCACAAUACAAUGCCGAAGGCCUAGCCUCCAUCUCAGUUUAUUCACAUAAUCAUCGCUUUUCUGAGUUUCAGAAAGAAAGACUAGCUUAGGCUUAUCCGUGUGCACUAGAAGGAAGAUGGCUCUUGGACCGAAAGUACAUGGAAGAUGCAUACUGAAAUAAAUAGAUUCUUCAAAGAUCUGUACAAGAAGGAUGAGACAGUGGAACCUGACAGAUUAAUUGGUCUUAUAUAGAGGAGAGCGGAUGACCACAUGAAUGAUGCUUUGAUCAAACCCAUCUCUGACAUGGAAGUGAGUGACCCCCUCUUCCAAAUCGGGCCGCUUAAGGCACCGGGGCCUGACGGUUUCCCGGCGAGGUUUUUUCAAAGGAAUUGGGCUACUCUGCGGGAGGAUGUAAUCAAGGGAGUGCAGAAUUUUUUCAGUAAUGAGGAGAUGCCUGACGGUGUCAACGAGACCACGAUCGUUCUGAUCCCGAAGAGCAAUGACCCUCAAAGUAUCAAAGACUAUCGGCCAAUUAGCUUGUGCAAUGUCAUAUACAAGGUCAUAUCUAAGGUUCUGGUUAAUCGGCUGCGACCAUUCCUAAAUGACAUCAUCUCUGAAUCGCAAAGUGCCUUCAUCCCAGGUAGGCUGAUCACUGACAAUGCGAUAAUUGCUUUUGAAUGCUUCCAUAAGAUCCAGCGUAGUAAGAACCAAAGAAACACCCACUGCGCCUACAAGCUGGACCUUGUGAAAGCUUAUGACCGCGUUGAAUGUGACUUCUUGGAAGGAAUGCUAAGAAAGAUGGGUUUUGAUCAUAAGUUCACAAAGUGGGUGAUGUCUUGCGUGAGAUCGGUAAAAUUUGAUGUUAGAUGCAACAGAGAGCUUUUGGAACAUUUCCUCCCUUCUAGAGGACUGAGACAAGGUGAUCCCCUAAGCCCAUAUUUAUUCCUUUUUGUGGCUGAUUGCUUAGCACUCCUGCUUACCAAAGAGGUGAACAACAAUGACAUAACACCGAUCAAGAUAGCUCGUGGAUGUCCGGGGAUUUCAAACCUGCUUUUCGCCGAUGACAACCUCCUUUUCUUCAAAGCCAUGACUCAGCAAGCAAGAAGAGUGAAAGAGGUUGUGUUCGAGUUCCAAAGGGCCACGGGCCAGUUGCUAAGCCCAUCGAAAUGCUCAAUACUAUUCAGUGAGGCAAUCAUGGAUCGGGAUAGAGAGGAGAUCAAAAGAAUUUUGGGAGUGGAGUCCACCUGUUUUGAGAGCAAAUAUCUGGGACUACCGACACCAGAGGGCAGAAUGAAAAAUGAUAAUUUCCAACCCAUAAUGGGGAGGUUUGGAAAAAGAUGCAAUAACUGGAACGAGAGAUUCAUGUCACAAGCAGCAAAAGAGGUAAAUGUCAAAGCAGUGGCUCAAUCCUUGCCGUCAUGGGGGUUUUCAAACUCAAUCAAAGUUUAUGCGAUAAAUAUGAGAAAAUCAUCAGAGACUUUUGGUGGGGCGACAAGGACAAUAAGCGCAAGGUCCAUUGGAUAUCGUGGGAAAAUAUGACAAAACCAAAAUGUGAUGGGGGGGAUAGGCUUCCGUGAUAUGCAUCUGUUCAACCAGGCUCUACUUGCAAGGCAAGGGUGGAGAUUGCUUCAUAAUCCUGAAAGUCUUUGUGCUAGGGUACUGAAAUCGAAAUACUACCCUAAUGGGAACCUUCUUGACACCGUCUUCUCGUUGGAUGCAUCCCCGGUGUGGAGAGGAAUUGAGUUUGGGCUGGAGCUCCUGAAGAAGGGCCUCGUUUGGCGAAUGGGCAAUGGCAGAAGCGUUUAGAUCACUAGGGACCAGUGGAUCCCAAGAGAGGAGGGUCUGAAGGUGGCAUCCUUCAUAAGGAGGUCCAGACUAAGAUGGGUGAACCAGCUGGUUGUCGCACAAACUAAGGAAUGGAACGUUGCACUAGUGAGGCAGAUCUUCCAUCCUUUUGACGCAGAUGAGAUAUGCAAGUUGAAAAUCCCAUAGACUGAGGUUGAGGAUUGUGUUGCUUGGCAUUAUGAGAAAACAGGUAUAUUUACGGUCAGGAGCGCCUACAAGCUUGCUCACUCCCUAAAAACAAAUGGCAUAGGCAGAGCAACUAGUUCCUCUCGGGCACCGGGGGACUGUAGCAUCUGGGAUGCGAUCUGGAAGGCGAAGGUACCCGAAAAGGUAAGGUUUUCGGAUGAAGAGUUGCCACAAACUCGCUAGCGACAAAACAUAAUGCGUUCAGGAGGACGAUGGCUAGGGAUAGUGUGUGUGAGAUCUGUGGGAUAUGGGAUGAAGAUGAGCACCACGCUGUUAUCGCUUUCACCAGAAGCUUGGCUCUCCGACAAGGACUAAGACCCUACUGGCAGUUGCCAAAGGAAUUUGAUCUCACAUGCACGGGCGAGGACUGGUUACAACUGUUGCUACUAUCUUAGAGAGAAGAAGCCAGGACCAAGCUAAUGCUAAUUAUGUGGCAAGCCUGGAGUCUUAGAAACAACGUAAUCCAUGGUGAUGGAAAAGACACAGUGUCGGACUCGGUGCAAUUCUUACUGAGGCUACAUGAUGACAUACAGAGGGCGGCGGAAAAUCCUUUGAAUGAAGGAGAUAAAUGAAAAAGGGCUCUAUUCCCAUCCAAACCCUACACGCCGACCAUCUCUGAACCUAGGGUGUGGAGAGGCCCUCCCCCGGACAGCGUUAAGUUAAACACGGACGUGGCCUUCCUUGCGGAAACGGGUGAAGCAUGGGGCGGGGCAGUUGCCAGAGACCAUAAGGGCCAUAUUUUCUUAUCGGUGGGAAGAAAGUUACCCUAUUGCAGCUCUGUAGAAGAGGCAAAAGCUACGGCUGCAGAGAUGGGGUUAAAGGAAUUCGCCAAGUAUUUCAAUGGGAAUCUAGUCCUAGAGACGGAUUGCGCGAGCCUAGCUCGGGACCUGAAUGGAAAGGAGAAAUGCAGAACAGCUUGUCAUGCCAAUAUUUCUGAUAUCAAAGGGCUCCUCCAGGGCUUCUUGUGAACGGAAGUUAGUGCCAUCACAAGGGAGAAGAACAAGCUGGCACAUGAACUGGCAUCGAGGGCAAGAGCGUCAGAAGCUUUUCUGAUCAUUGCAAACGUCUCGGUUGACAUAAGAGGUGUAAUGAGGAACGAGUAUACAUCCAACAUGGUUUAGUUCGUGUAACCAUGGUUCUAAAAAAACUAAAGCCACCGUCUAGGCAACACCUGUCGCUACUCCUAUCCAGUUGAUGUAGGGAUGCUAAUAGUCUGGGCCUAAUACCAAACAGACCUCGCAGCCAAACCUAACAUCUAAGACCUGAGGUCCCAACCAGGACGCCUACCGGGUAUGGGGCACCCACCAGUCCGGCGCACUUCUCAACCAAGACGCAUGCCAGGUAUGAGGCCGCCGCAGCCACCUGCUCCCAAUCCAUCUUCAGAGCUGUAUUGUUGCAUCUACCGUGCCAGGUCUCUCUGCCAUUGACGCCACCACGACGCCAAACGACAUCGUGCUCCUGCGCGAGUCCAUCUAGACGUGUCCGUCGCCGAAACUCUGCAGCUCCAUGCCGCCGGGAUCCGUCGUCGGCCUUGCGGUAGAUGAAACACUGCUCCUCCUCGUCCCCUCCAGCCAGCUCCUGCUCCAAAACGAUGCCCUCAGGAGGGAGCACGCCAUCGAAGGCGUUGUCAUCGUCCGAUCCGGUAGACCCAGAUCUAGGGUUUCCCCCGAAACAUCCCGAUCCCGUUGACGUAGUUUACAACGACGAUGCCUCAACAGGGGGCAUCAGAGACGUCGUCAUCGUCCGCCAUGACCGAAGUCGGCGCGAUUUUCACCGGAAGUAGCGCCACCAUGAUCUCACCGCUGACUGGGUCCUAGCACACCCUCGCCAUGUAGACGCAUGGUGUCAUCGGAAAGCCGGUUGAGGACCUCCAGCCGCCUCACCCCAGCCCUAUCACGUGCCGCCGGCCGGCCAUAGCCGAACCACGACGGAUCUGGCAGGGACACCAGAUCCGCAACAACCGCCGCCACCCAACACCCGGCCAGGAAAUCCAACGACUCAACCCACCGUCCAUGGGGAAACGGCUGCCGUCGCAAGCCAGAGUCGCCGCCCUGACCGCGUCGGCUGAAGACGAAGGCGCCAACGCGAGAUAAAUCCAGACGACCUGAGUCCCUUGCCCGCGACCCCGGUCGGCCACGCAGAACCUCCUCGUCGCGCUGACGAGAGGUUCACCGCCGGCGCCGGAUCAACCACUCCGGCUUCCGCCACCACACCGUCCAGGGCAACGCACCGCCGCGAGGAGAAGAGUGCCCUGCCGCUGCCGUCCUCCAAGGCGGGCUUCGCCCAUCGGCCUCCUCCUGCAGCGGCCAGGCCGCGGGCUGCAGAUGUGAGGGACGGGGCGGCGGCGGCAAGGGUUCGCUCGUGCCGCCCCCUGGAGAGCGACACAAGCGCCGGAUGUGUCAGACGCGAGCGUACUUACCUUUGCUGCAACAAAAACAUCAAUGUGAUUCUCAAUCAGAUUCAGGGGCCCUCUGCAAGACUAGCACUACAGCCAUCCUUGAGUAAACUGCAGUUUGCACCAAGCAAAUUGUACUAGCAAUUGUUUCAGUAACAACGCCUAUUUUGAAAAAUCUAAAAAAUCAUACAUGUAUAUCGUGCGACGCAGUAUAUACCAACACAUCUUGGUUAAGGAAUAUGAACAUUUCUGAAAAAUCGUACUACCUUAUUUAUACCCCUUGGAAGUGUUUAUGUGGUUGGGAGAUUACUCAAUUGAUCGUUUUAAAGGUUUUUGUACUCCAUCCCUCCAUCAAAACCCUAGGAGCUAGUGCGGUGAUGUUGAUCUACCUUCUCAUCGACGAGAUCAUGAGCCUUCUCUCCCUCCCUUCACCACUUCGACGCCGGGAGGGGCAGGGACCUGUUGUUAAAACCAUAGAUGAUAGGGUGAGGUUUUAGUUUAGGUUUCAUCCCUAGUCGCUAGUGGUAAGGCGAUGGCGCCACCAUCAUCAUGGAAUAAGUUAUUCCUGCUUCGUCCUCUUCUCCUGGUGCUUCCUGGCAUCGUUGGAUGACGUUCCAAGGGUGGUGUGUCCACAAAUUUUGUUCUCCGAGUCGGUGGUUUUCUUCUGCUUGUUUAUACCGGUGGCAAUGUUCUACGAGGCAGAUGGCGCGACUGAGCAUCUUGGUCCACCGGUUAGUUUCGAUUAACAAAGGUUGGUCAGCUUCGACGUCGUUGGGGAGCGUGUGAGAGUUGUAUUCUCCAAAAUAGUGUCAUCGGACCUGGGGCAUUAUAUAUGCCCUCUUCGAUGUUUUCUUCUCCGGGGCUACGGUUGGGUACGCAGAUCGUGGUCACCGGCAACUUUUGGUCUGUGUCUUCGACUUCCUAGCCACCGUUUCUACAAGCUACUAGAUUUCAACAAGUUUGCUCCAUUGCAACGGAGGCUCAAACGCGGCAGCAGCUUUGGUCACGGUCGUCUGCGGUUUUCUUCGGGGCACCAAAUGAUUUGGAUUUGGGUCUAUUUUCCAAUUUCUAUAGGGUGUCUUCAUAACGGUUAAUUCUACUCAAUAUAUAGCCUUUGGCCUUUCCAAAAAGAAAAAAAAACAUUUGUGACCUAAACAAGCAGAAUAUGUUUUUUUCGAAAAGGAGGAAUACCUCCGGCCUCUGCAUCUGGACGAUGCAUACGGCCAAUUUAUUAAUUAUUAACACAAGACUUUACAAAGUCGUACAACAGUAAGACCAAAGCCACCAUCUUCGCAACCUCUGUCGCUACUCCUAUCUAACUGAUGAAGGGGCGCUGAUGGUCUGGGCCUAAUACCAAACAGACCUCGCAGCCAAACCUAACAUCUAAGACCUGAUGUCCCAACCAGGACGCCUGCCGGGUAUGGGCACCCACCAGUCCGGCGUGCUCUUCAACCAGGACCCCUGCCGGGUAUGAGGCCGCCGCAGCCACGUACCAUCAAUCCAUCUUCAGACUUGUACUGUUGCAUGAACCGUGCCAGGACACUCUGCCAUCGACGCCACCACGACGCCAGACAGCGCCAUCAUCCUUCGCUCGUCCAUCAUCACACGCCCACCGGCGAUACCCCUACUGCUCCAUGCCGCUGAGACUCGCCGUUGUCGACGUGCCAGAUGCCACGCCGCUCCUCCGACGCGAACACCAAAAACAGGCAACGCCCUAAAGAUACAAGGGUCACUCUGCACAACAUAAAAGCCGCCGCGAGCAGCUGCAGAGAUCCAGCCGGCGGCCAAAGCCCCCACCUUCAUGAGCCCACACCCGAGUCCUAACUCCCUAGGCAACGCCUCCAAGGAGGGGAUGACGCCCAUGGCGCCACCGCUGCCCAAUCCAGGCCGGAUUUUGGGUUUUCACCCGGGAGAGGACCGGAGGUGACAAGAAUAAGGACCACGACACCGCCUUCAGGAAGGAUGCGUCGCCCGAAGCCGACGCCGCUGUCGAGCCGAACCAGCUGUUCUUAAACUGCAACUUUUACAUUACCCAGAGUGCCUGACCAAGCGAUUUUUUGGAUAAGAAAAACGAUGCCUCCCGUAAAAGAAAGCGGAAAGGUGGUGGCAACAUUUUACUUUCUUCCUUUCGCUCUCCUUGAGACGAACCGGCCGUAUGGUCCGUAUCUGAUUAGUACUAGUAUGACGAAGCAAAGUGCGCUGGAGAUGUCUGAUUAGUUAUCAACCACCUCCCAAUCUCUCUGAAUGGGUUUCAGUUCAGUCAAGUCCAAACCACCUUUAGGCCUUUGGGACUUCUGUGAUCAUCAAGUGGGCGAUUUUAGACGAGGAUGCAUGAUCUUACGAGCUGAUUCGGUCUUUGCUAAGUCGUAGCAAAUCGGCGCGUUGCUUGCCGUCGACACGACGUCGAGGUGUCAUCAGCAAUCACUCUUUCAAAAUCUUUUACAGUAAUUGUUUUACUGAAUACUGAUCGAUUCAACAAGAGACGCGGUUUCAUCUGCAGAAGAAAAGGAGAGGCCUAUCUUUUGCAGCGUUGUUUGAUCGAUUAAAAGAACACUACAUGUGACUCAAUUAAACUUUUGCAUCAUCUAUCUUGUACUCUUGUGACGGUUUCAAUGUUUGUUACUUGUAGUAUUUACCACGCAAACGUAUGAACUGUUACGCAACGUACAAGAUGAAUCAGUAAUCACAUCGGUAUCCUGGCUGUGGAUGAACUGGUAUCACACCAGCUUUGUCCUGGUCACUCUUAUGGCAAAUGUGGGUGACGUUAGCUAAGUAGAGGCUCCAGCAGACACGUUAACGCUUCAAGGUUCGAAAAUUAGAGAAAGUUGAAUACUGUACCAGGUUGAUUCAAUGGCCAUACCGGAUGUUACACAUACAUAUACUUUUUCCUUCUCCGAGAAAUGGUGCUCAAAACCUUCAUUCCCUACUUAUAAAAAACAAAACGAGCUUCAGUUGACGUGGUCCAGUUAAUAAAGACAUUGUCAUAUGACUAUCCGUCCGUCACAUCUCCGGAAUAAUGAAUGAUGAUUUUUCUAGUGAGAUAAAAGGGAUGAGGAUAAUAAACCAGAGAAGCUAUCAAGAUCUCCAUAGUUGAAAAUGACACCGCCCCGCCGCAACGAAGAUCUGCUCAAAGCAACAUCCAUGAAGUCAUCGACUCAAGGAGGAAAGCGAGACGGGUUCCCUGCACUCCCCCUGAUAGAGGAUUAGUUAUUAAUUCGUGCUUAUGUUAAGUACCUACGCGUCGCAAUCAUGCAUGCGCAUCAGACAGCAAUAUCAUGGCGAAAAGGAUCGGGGAACGAGCUUGAUAGACCAAGUUCGAAUUGGAGUCCUUCCGCCCGGCAGGAGGGAUCGAUUCGAAAUUAUGUGUGACAAAUUCAGCUUUGAUACAGCAAAAUAGAGCGGAUCUUGGUCAAUGCUGGGGUUUUCACUGUACAUAUCGUCGAACAUAACUUUGACACUAAACUCCCCAAGCCUCAUAAGUCAUAACUAUCCGCACCUUUCUCUCGGUUCACACCACGCAAGGUGGGCUGGCUAAUUUUGUUUUGCUAGUUUGUGUGCCGCUACAUGUGAAUCCGUUCCAUACUUUUUCUGCCUGGGGCUCCACUGAGUUAGGAGAGGCGAUUUGUUUUUUUUUCAAAACGGAGGCAAAAUAUCUGCCUCAUCGAUUAAUUAAGAAGAAGAGAAUUGCCUAGUUAAUUUUUAAAAAAACCGGAUGAAAAUCGAUACAAACAACCCAAAACAGGCUAUUCGGAAAGCACGAAACACCAUGACCAUACAGACAACCUGUCACAUGCUCCUAACACACAACAAUCGUACCUCACCACACUUGCACAACUCAACAUAACCCUGACAAGAACACCAACAACGAUGACUCGGACAAUCAAAGCCACAUCGACAACACAAGAAACUGAGCAUCAUCCAUCAAGAAACCGCAUACGCCAUCCCAUUAGCGCACACACCGGCCACAUCAAUAUCCUCAACCACAUGCACCUCCGACCCGAAGGACUCAGAAGACGCCUCUGGAUGCUCACAUGACAGACAUGAAUCAUCUCCCUCACACGAGGUCACUAGUGAGACCACCUUCAUGUGCUUCACUGACAAAAGCGAAGCAAAGCUCAUACAUAGCCCCUAAUCUCGGGCAUGAUUUGCAGCAACGGAGCCACGAGCAUGGCGAUAGACUCGUCUUGAGUGGUACAUAACACAAGGGGCGAGGCAGACAUCGAUGACGAAAUGUCCCCAACACGGGGGGGAGAAAAAACCAUAUAACUUUGCCUCCGUGUCCUCCUCGGAGCAACCACCAACUGCAAUACGAGGAUGUGACGUCAUAGCAGUCUGCAGCAUAGCCGGCACAAGCGAGAGUCUACUCAGAGCAACCUCCGCCCACUCCAAAAAGCUCCCAACCCGCACCAGGCAACCUUGCAGCAACGCAAUCUGAUCAGCUAGAGCGGACUGCGGCACCACUUCAGAUGAGGUUGUCGAGUCUGCCCUAGCAGAUACAACAGACGCCCAGGACCCACGGUGAAGCGCCUUGGAGGGGGGGCGCGAAUUUCACUGGACCCUUGUGUAAAGCUGAUGUAGGACCAUGCAUGAUGUUGACGCUGGCCACGGGCGGCGUGGCAAAGCAUGCCAGCGAGCUUAGAGGACGCCAGGGAUUGCGACAUCCGUGCGCACGAUAACCAUUCUCCAAACAACGUGAGCACUGCAACAGAUCUCUACAAUGAGCCGCAUGAUGCCCAUGAGCAAAGCAUCUGUAGCAUCUACCGUGAAGCCAAGCAGGAACGGGAGGCGAUUUGUGAUGUGCAAGGGGAAGGAGCUUGCCGAUUGUGGACCGCUGAUGAGUGCCAAGAUUCGGAAGUAUGUUAAUAUAUAUCACCUAUUUCCCUUGGUAUAGCCCUCGAUGUAUAUCUAUAAUUAUUUCGUAAUGUGAAGCGAUAUACAUGUUGUGGGGCUGGUUUCAUGGGUAAAGAUAUUUUCGUAAAUAGUAGAAGCAAAUUUUUUUGUACAGAAACGGUGACGUUUUGGGAAAUUAUUCAUUUUGCUCUUCUUCUUCUUCCUCCUCGCUCUUUGUUCUUCAAAUAGCUUAUUCACUUCCAACAACUCUUAAGUUCGAACACCUAUGUUGUAGAGUAAAAAAGACAGAUCUAGUUCCAUUGUUAGAGGUUGAAAAACGUCAAGGAUAGUAACAACACUAGUAGAGGUCUUUUCAAACCUUCUUCAGAAGACAUUAUUUAUAUUUGUAUGCUUGAUCUGCAUUUGAGUUUCGUAUUGGUAGAACCGUUACAUCCUAUUUAGUAUGUGUUUUUAUUGUUGAUGUUUAUGCUGCUAGCUAUUUGUGCUUUGUACUAACGUGUUAUCUUCCAUGAACUCGCGUGUUGGAACAAUUCAAUCUUUGUUCUUUGAAUGUUUAUAUGUUGAAUCUUCGAAUGCAAGUAAAAAUAGAUGUACUCAGUCAAUGUAUGUAAAUUGUGUUGUGCUAAGUUUGGCGCACCGAAACUUACACGGAUUUGAAAGUACAAGUUAGUUACAGAAUAUGAAACUUAAUCUCUAUGUUUGUCUUCAUUUAAUGUAGAGUAAAUCCUAGACCUUAGACCUUACGCGAUUACCAUAAACCCUAACACCCAAACCCAAAACACUAAACCCCUAAUCUCUAAACCCUUGUAAAAUCGGUAAACCUUUAACCCUAAAAUGUAAUUCCAUAAGCGUUAUAACUUAAAAACAAUGAACUCUUAACAUUAAAACCUAAACCCUAAAUCAUAAAUCGUAAACCCUAAAUGUUCUAAAUUCUUACAGUAAACGAUAAGGCUAAACCUUAUACACUAUGAAGGUUAAACCAUUAACCCUGAACCAAAACCCUAAAAUAUAAGAGCCAUAAUAUUGUAAACCCUAAAGACUAAACUGUAACUGUACAAAACUUAAAGUACCCUCAAAAACCUAAACCCUAAUCUUAAACGGCAACCAUAUACUUUAUCCUAGAUAAUAAUGCUACAACCUAAAUGAUAAAUGUUAAAGUGAUUUCAAAACUUAUUUAGAAAUAUAAUCUAUGAUGUAACAUGACUAUGUUCAUUGUUUAUUAGAAUGGUAGUUAUUCUAAAUUUGAAGGCUUUCAUAGAAUGUUAAAAAAUGUAGAGGCGUCACAAAGUAGUAUGUAGAACAACUUUAAUGAUUUGUCAAUGCAACACGGUGGUUAGCCUGGUAAUAGUUGCCAAGUUUCAUUGAACAAAACUUAUGGAUUUUGGGUAUACAAAAGAUGAUAUAAAGUAUCAUUUCAUAUUUUGAAUCUUUAUUACACUGGGAAUGGGGUUAUAUUUGAACAGUAGGAUAAAUAAAGCAAGUAAGAAAAGCAAGUAUGUUUGAAGAAUGGUGAUAAAUUGAAAAUUAGUAAGGAACAACAAUGUAUUUUAUUGAAGGAUAUAACAGGGUAGUUAAAAGUUCCCGCAAGUUUUGCCUGAAAAAACUUAAGUAAUGAGAAAUAUAGUUUUACAUAUAAGUUUAUUACUUAUAUAUUUAUCCCGUCAAAAACCUAGCGACUAUGUAUAAGGUACCUACCUAGGAAACACAUAUUGGCCGUGUAGCAAUUGUUGCUUAUUAUAAGUUGGUCGGCCCUUUUCAUGUAACAAUCGAGCCAGAAUGGAUUGGGGAACAAGUUCUAUGCUUCCACCAUGCCCUUGAUUAAGCUUAGUCUAUGGGUAGGUCGUAGAAGGAAAAGUGUGGUUGGGAUGGAAGGUAGCAGACUGUAUUUGCAAUCUUGGUCACUCGGUAUUCAAUGAUAGAUCAGGUGAAUUUGUUCGUUGUUUGCCAUAUAUAACCUAAAUAUUUUUUCUUUAUCUUCGGUGGUGGUGACAUACAUGUUUUCGUAAUAUGUAGGAUGUUGCUUUGGAGAUUCAUAUCCGUUGGAGGCCGACACUGCUGCAGGUUAUAAAAGACUUAGGAGGUAUGUGGCAUGUUUACUAUAUGGAGGAUGCAUUAGACAGUAUGCUUUAUGUCAAAAUGUCAUUUCGUAUACCACUAGACAGAUUGAAGAAGAUGUUUGAAACAAUAAGUUGUUCUGGGACGAAAUGUUACACAGGUUACAAGGGGAUAGUUUUCACACAAGUGUCAUUGAUAUAAGCGAAGUGAGGCAACAAUACAUGGAGUAUAGGUGCAGCAAGCUUUUGCUCAACGCUGGCGGGAUGUCAGGGCACAAAGAUACUUCUUUUAUGAUUAUGCAGAUGCAGCACAAAUGAUUGACACUUUGUACCAUAAGCUGUAUAGGAGACUCAUUGGGGAUAUUUAUCAUGGUGCUAAUGAUGAGUACUGUGAAACUAAAGCUGAACUUGUAGACCACCUAGUUUUAAUAUGAAAUUCAAACUAUUUAAAGGUGAUGGAAUUGGUGAAUGAACCAAAGUAAAUAAAAUUUAUUGCUUCAAACACAUGUGCUUGGUUGUUUAGGGCCUUUCCCUUAGCAACCCAUUUCUUUACUACUUUUUGGGCAGCCAUUUGCUUUCCUGCAACUUUUGUAGCCUUUUUCUUCUCUGCCUCUUCGGCGGCCUUUUUCUUCGCAGCUACCUCGACAGCAAGUUUCUUUGCUUCCUCUGUCCUACGGGCAGAUUCAAUUUCCAUAGCACAUUUCUGUGCUACAAGUUCUUAUUCUUGGUGAGUUCUUCCUCGCGCUUUUUCGUGUUGGCUAUGGCUUCCUCAAUAGCUAAUAUUGCUUUCUCAGCCUUCUCACAGACUAGGCAUGCAAUGAUUGCAUUGUAGUCUCUCAUAGUCUUUGUGGCCAGCUGAAAAUAAACCGGGUCCUGACCUUGGAGAUAACCAUGUCCAUUUGCUUCAAGGCUUCUUGCUGUCGGGAUAGUUUAGCCUCAUGGAUUUCCUUCUCUUCCUUGAACAUGUUUCCACAAGCAAUACGCUCAUCAUAUUCAACAGAUAGACAAUUGAAUAGCUUUGCAUGUGACUUGAACUACUUAGCUUUGAAUUCUUCUGCAGCCAUACAGUUUGUAAAGACUUCUAUCGGGCCAUGUGGCAGAGGAAUUUCAUCAAUUGUUACAUUCUUCAUGUCCUUUACCCAGUGAGCAAUGAAGGCUUUGAUAGUUUCUAAGUCAAGAAGCUCAUCAACAGAGGUAGUUGAACCUUCUCCGGUGCCUAAGCUAACGUUGUAGAUCCAUGAGAAAGGAAUAUUGUCCACGACAUUUUCAUCAUCAGCAGUAGAGGGAGGAACUUCAGACUUAUGAGGAGGAGGGGCAUUCUCUUUUGGUACGGUAGCAGCAUCUUCUUCAUUGGGGGUGGCAUUUGGAACCACAUUCUUCAACAGUUAAUGUUGCAUUUGCUUCAUCAAGGUCAGUAGAAGUAUCAGGAUCAUCUUGAGUGAAAUUAAUAUCUUCUUCUAUCAGAGGUGGCGGUGUAGAGUGAUGAAUACAUCACUUGAUCUUUAUUUUCGUCUGCCUCUUGGGUUUAGGGGCAGUCUGUUGGUGAUUUGCCUCGGUGGGUGAGUUGGAUGAUUCAUACAUAGGCAUGAAGCUGGAGGUGGGGGCACUUGAACUAUUUGUGCGGACCUAGCCUUCCUCUUCUUUUGGGAGGUAGUGGUGUCGGGUUCUCCUUGGGAAACCUUUGCUUUUGCUGAAGACUUACCUUUCUUCUGGGCUUUGAUACGUCUCUAACGUAUCUAUAAUUUUUUAUUGUUUCAUGCUAUUAUAUUAUCAUUCUUACACACUUUUGCAAUCAUUUUAUAUUAUUUUCUAGACUAAUAUAUUAAUGCAGUGCCCAGUGUCAGUUGUUGUAAUCUGCUUGUUUUCGUUUUACAGAAAAUCGAUACCUACUACGGUCCAAACAUGAUGAAACUUUUUGACGAUUUUUUCUAGAACAUAAGAAACACCAAAAGCUUUAUGGGGAGACCACAAGACCCACGAGGCUCCCAUGAGGGUGGAGGCACGACCUGGGGUGCCACCCAAGCUUGUGGGGCCCCUGUGGCUCCAUUUUCCCUAAUUCUUGGCCUAUAAAUUUUAUUGCCGUAGGAGGAAGCCAUUGGGGUGGCCAUGUUCAUUGACAGUGUUGCCUCCAUGAUGGUGUGUGAGUAAUUCCUUCAGGUCCUACGGGUCCAUAUAGUAGUAGCUGGAUGCCUUUGUCCCUCUCAUUUAGAUCUUCAAUACCAGCUUCUCUUUUGAGAUAAAUUCAAUGUAAUUCUUGUGGUGUGUUUGUUGGGAUCCGAUGAAUUGUGGAUUUGUGAUUAGAUAAUUCAUUGAUUUCUAUUGAAUCUCCUGAAAUUUCUUUACUGCACAAUUAAAUAGCUAUGUAUGUUUUCCGAUCUAUUAUUCUUAUCUGGCCAAGAUAGAUGAGUAGUUCUUCAAAGGAAGUGGUGCAUAGUAGUGGGUUCAAUUUGGCGGUGAUUUUGAUAUCACGGUGAUAGAAAGGGACAAGACACAUCUUUGUAUUGCUGCCACCAGGCAUAAAGCAUGGGGGUUUAAUCUCUAGAUUUCUUCUUCUCUACAUUAUGUCAUCUUGUUUAUCGCAUUACUCUAUUUCUUGUAAACUUAAUAUCUGAGAUGCAUGCUGGAUAGCAGUCUUGGGGUGGAGUAAUAGUAGUAGAUGCAGUUGGAUUAAUGAUCUACUUAUCACAAAUAUAAUGCAUAUAGGAGAUUAUGCCAUGAAUGAUCAUAGUUACAAAUUGCCAUUAUUCUAUCAAUUGCCCAAUAGUAAUUUGUUCAUGUCACUACCUGCUUCGAAGAGAGAUGCCACUAGUGAAACUAUGGCCCCUAGGUCCAUUCUCCAUUAAUACAAAGGUCUUAUAAUGUUGGCCUUUUAUUUUUCCUUUACUUUUUUCCGUUUACUAUUAUCACUAUCUAUUUGUUUUUAAUCUUGUAAGUGGAAAGACAAGGGCACUGACAACCCCCUUGACAAGUUGGGUGCAAGCAUUUGUUUUGUGUUUGUGUGCAGGUGUUGUCUACAUUGUUUGUUUGGUGACUCCUACUAGUUCGACAGAUCUUGGCUCUUAACUGAGGGAAAUACUUCCUGCUAUUGUGCUACAUCACCUUUUCUCUUCUGGGAAUACAACAACUCCUACGAGAGUAGCAGGCUUCAGCAGCCUUACUCUGAUUUUCCUCUCCAACAACCAUUUUUCUUGACUAGCCAGCCACUUUUCAUACUCAUCCACAUAAAUUUGACAUACAAACAAAAACCCAUUAUAGGAUCAGGUGCAUAGAGUGAAAUGACUAGAUCUUGUUUGGAAGCCUUCGUUGGUGAGGAAAUGCUACAACGUAUCUGCUACGUCUUGAGCUUGCGUUGGUUUUCCUUGAAGAUGAAAGGGUGAUGCGGCAAUAGUAGCGUAAGUAUUUCCCUCAGUUUUUGAGAACCAAGGUAUCAAUCCAGUAGGAGGCUCCUCAAAAGUCCCACGCACCUACGCAAACAAACAAAGAACUCGUAACCAACGCAAUAAAGGGGUUGUCAAUCCCUUCACGGCCACUUGUGAAAGUGAGAUCUGAUAGAGAUAGUAUGAUAAGAUAAAUAUAUUUUUGGUAUUUUAUGAUAUAGAUUGGAAAAGUAAAGAUGCAAAUAAAAGUAGAUUGAAAGCUUAUAUGAUAAAAGAUAGACCAGGGGGGCAUAGGUUUCACUAGUGGCUUCUCUCAAGAUAGCAUAAGUAUUACGGUGGGUGAACAAAUUACUGUUGAGCAAUUGAUAGAAAAGAGAAUAAUUAUGAGAUUAUCUAGGCAUGAUCAUGUAUAUAGGCAUCACGUCCGCGACAAGUAGACCGACUCUUGCCUGCAUCUACUACUAUUACUCCACACAUCGACCGCUAUCCAGCAUGCAUCUAGAGUAUUAAAUUCAUAAAGAACGGAGUAACGCAUUAAGAAAGGUGACAUGAUGUAGAGGGAUAAACUCAUGCAAUAUGAUAUAAACCCCAUCUUUUUAUCCUCGAUCGCAACAAUACAAUGCGUGCCUUGCUGCCCCUGCUGUCACUGGGAAAGGACACCGCAAGAUUGAACCCAAAGCUAAGCACUUCUCCCAUUGCAAGAAAGAUCAAUCUAGUAGGCCAAACCAAACUGAUAAUUCGAAGAGACUUGCAAAGAUAACUUAAUCACACAUAAAAGAAUUCAGAGGAGAUUCAAAUAUUUCUCAUAGAUAAACUUGAUCAUAAACCCACAAUUCAUCGGAUCUCGACAAACACACCGCAAAAAGAGUUACAUCGAAUAGAUCUCCAAGAAGAUCAAGGAGAACAUGGUAUUGAGAUCCAAAAGGAGAGAAGAAGCCAUCUAGCUAAUAACUAUGGACCCGAAGGUCUGUGGUAAACUACUCACAACUCAUCGGAGGGCCUAUGGUGUUGAUGUAGAAGCCCUCCGUGGUCGAUUCCCCCUCCGGCGGAGCACCAAGAUUUGAUAUUGCGGAUACAAAAGGUUGUGGUGGUGGAAUUAGGUUUUCGUGGCUUGUUCUGAUGUUCUCGGGGUGCGUGGGUAUAUAUCGGAGGAAGAAGUAGGUCGGUGGCCGCCCGAGGGGCCCAUGAGAUAGGGGGCGCGCCCUCCACCCUUGUGGCCGCCUUGACUGCUUCUUGACUUGCACUCCGAGUCCUCUGGAUCAUGUUUGUUCCAAAAAUCACGCUCCCGAAGGUUUCAUUGCAUUUGUACUCCGUUUGAUAUUCCAUUUCUUCGAAAUACUGAAAUAGGCAAAAAACAACAAUACAGGCUAGGCCUCCGGUUAGUAGGUUAGUCCCAAAAAUGAUAUAAAUAUGUAAAGUAAAGCCCAUAAACAUCCAAAACAACUAAUAUAAUAGCAUGGAACAAUCAAAAAUUAUAGAUACGUUGUAGACGUAUCAAGCAUCCCCAAGCUUAAUUCCUGCUCGUCCUCAAGUAGGUAAAUGAUAAAAACAUAAUUUUUGAUGUGGAAUGCUACCUAACAUAACUCUCAAUGUAAUUUUUUUUAUUGUGGCAUGAAUGUUCAGAUCCAAAUGAUUCAAUAUAAAAGUUCAUAUUGACAUAAGAAAUAAUAAUACUUCAAGCAUACUAAUCAAAGCAAUCAUGUCUUCUCAAAAUAACAUGGCUGAAGAAAGUUAUCCCUACAAAGUCAUAUAGUCUGGCUGUUGCUCUAUCUUCAUCACACAAAGUAUUUAAUCAUGCACAACCCCGAUGACAAGCCAAGCAAUUGUUUCAUACUUUAGCAAUCUCAAACUUUUUCAAUUUUCACGCAAUACAUGAGCAUGAGCCAUGGACAUAGCACUAUAUGUGGAAUAGAAUGGUGGUUGUGGAGGAGACAAAAAAGGAGAAGAUAGUCUCACAUCAACUAGGCGUAUCAACGGGCUAUAGAGAUGCCCAUUAAUAGAUAUCAAUGUGAGUGAGUAGGGAUUGCCAUGCAAUGGAUGCACUAGAGCUAUAAAUGUAUGAAAGCUCAACAAAAGAAACUAAGUGGGUGUGCAUCCAACUUGCUUGCUCACGAAGACCUAGGGCAUUUUGAGGAAGCCCAUCAUUGGAAUAUACAAGCCAAGUUCUAUAAUGAAAAGUUCCCACUAGUAUAUGAAAGUGACAACAUAGGAGACUCUCUAUCAUGAAGAUCAUAGUGCUACUUUGAAGCACAAGUGUGGUAAAAAGGAUAGUAGCAUUGUCCCUUCUCUCUUUUUCUCUCAUUUUUAUUUUUUUAUUUCUUUUUUUCUUUUUUCUGGGCCUUUUUCUUUUUUUGGCCUUUUUCUUUUUUUCUUUUUUUUCCUUUUUUUUGUAAAGUCCGAAGUCUCAUCCCAACUUGUGGGGGAAUCAUAGUCUCCAUCAUCCUUUCCUCACUGGGACAAUGCUCUAAUAAUGAAGAUCAUCACACUUUUAUUUACUUACAACUCAAUACUUAGAACAAGAUAUGACUCUAUAUGAAUGUCUCCGGCGGUGUACCGGGAUAUGCAAUGAAUCAAGAGCGACAUGUAUGAAAAUUAUGAAGGUGGUCAUGCCACAAAUACGAUGUCAACUACAUGAUCAUGCAAAGAGCAAUGUGACAAUGAUGAUGCGUGUCAUAUAAACGGAACGGUGGAAAGUUGCAUGGCAAUAUAUCUCGGAAUGGCUAUGGAAAUGCCAUAAUAGGUAGGUAUGGUGGCUGUUUUGAGGAAGGUAUAUGGUGGGUGUAUGGUACCGGCGAAAGUUGCGCGGCACAAGAGAGACUAGCAAUGGUGGAAGGGUGAGAGUGUAUAAUCCAUGGACUCAACAUUAGGCAUAAAGAACUCAUGUAUUUAUUGCAAAAAUCUACAAGUCAUCAAGAACAAAGUAUUACGUGCAUGCUCCUAGGGGGAUAGAUUGGUAGGAAAAGACCAUCGCUCGUUCCCGACCGCCACUCAUAAGGAAGACAAUAAAUAAAUAAAAUUGUGCUCCAACUUCAUCACAAAGCGGUUCACCAUACGUGCACGCUACGGGAAUCACAAGCUUCAACACAAGUAUUCUUUUUAUUCAUAAUCACCCAACUAGCAUGACUCUAAUAUUACCACCUCUAAUAUCUCAAAACAAUUAUCAAGUAUCAAAUUGAUCAUAGCAUCCAAUUCACUUUCUAUGAUAGUUUUAUUAUACCCAACUUGGAUGCCUACCAUUCUAGGACCAAUUUUACAACCAUAGCAAAUACCAUGUUGUUCUAAGAGACUCUCAAAAUAAUAUAAGUGAAGCAUGAGAGACUAGCAAUUUCUAUAAAAUUAAGCCACCGUCGUGCUCUAAAAGAUAUAAGUGAAGCACUAGAGCAAAAACUAUCAAGCUCAAAAGAUAUAAGUGAAGCACAUAGCGUAUUCUAAUAAAUUCUAAUCAAGUGGGCUUCCCCCAAAAGGUGUGUACAGUAAGGAUGAUUGUGGAAAACUAAAAAUCAAAAACUAAUAUCAUACAAGACGCUCCAAGCAAAACACAUAUCAUGUGGCGAAUAAAAAUAUAGCUCCAAGUAAAGUUACCAAUGAACGAAGACGAAAGAGGGGAUGCCUUCUGGGGGCAUCCCCAAGCUUAGGCUUUUGGAUAUUCUUGAAUAUAUUGGGGUGCCUUGGGCAUCCCCAAGCUUAGGCUCUUGUCGCUCCUUAUUCCAUAGUCCAUCAAAUCUUUACCCAAAACUUGUAAACUUCACAGCACAAAACUCAACAGGAGAUCUCAUAAGCUCCGUUAGUGAAAGAAAGCAAAACCACCACAUAAGGUACUGUAAUGAACUCAUUCUUUAUUUAUAUUGGUGUUAAACCUAUUGUAUUUCAAGUUCUCUAUGGUUCAUACCACUUAAUACUAGCCAUGGAUGCAUCAAAAUAAGCAAACAACACGCGAAAAACAGAAUCUGUCAAAAAUAGAACAGUCUGUAGCAAUCUGUAACCCAUGAAUACUUCUGGAACUCUAAAAAUCCUACCAAAAUAGGAAGUCCUGGGAAAUUUGUCUAUUGACUACAGCAAAAAGAAUCAACGCAAAACCACGUUUCUGUGAAUUAACAAAACUAAUUUCGUGCGCGCAAAGUUUCUGUUUUUCAGCAGAAUCAAAUUAACUAUCACCAUAGGUUAUCCUAUAGGUUCUACUUGGCACAAACACUAAUUAAAACAUAAAAAUACAUCUAAAAAAGGUAGAUGCAAAAUUUAUUACUAAACAGAAACAAAAACAAAAAACACAAAUAAAAUUGGGUUGCCUCCCCAACUAGCGCUAUCGUUUAACGCCCCUAGCUAGGCAUAAAAGCGAGGAUAGAUCUAAGUAGUGACAUCUUUGGCACUCAAUUCAUAAGUAGCUCGCAUGAUAGAUUCAUAAGGUAAUUUGAAUUUAUUUCUUGGAAAGUGCUCCAUGCCUUUCCUUAAUGGAAAUUGGAAUCUAAUAUUCCCUUCCUUCAUAUCAAUAAUCGCGCCAAUCGUUCUAAGGAAAGGUCUACCAAGAAUAAUAGGGCAAGAAAGAUUGGAAUCUAUAUCAAGAAUGAUAAGAUCUAUGGGCACCAAAUUUCUAUUUGCAAAAAUAAGAACAUCAUUGAUCCUUCACAUUGGCUUUUUAAUGGUGGAAUCGGCUAGGUGCAAAUUUAAAGAGCAAUCAUCAAGAUCAUGGAGACCUAGAAUAUCAUAUAAAGUUUUCGGAAUCGUGGAAACACUAGCACAAAUCACACAAAGCAUAACACUCCUGAUCUUUAAUUUUAAUCAUUAUAGUAGGUUCCCACUCAUCAUUAAGUUUUAUAGGUAUAGAAACUUCCAAAAUAAGUUUUUCAUCAAAAGAUUGCAUCAAGGCAUCAACGAUAUGUUUGGUGAAAGCUUUAUUUUGACUAUAAGCAUGAGGAGAAUUCACAAUGGAUUGCAACAAGGAAAUACAACCUUCUAAAGAACAAUUAUCAUAAUCAAAUUCCUUGAAAUCCAAGAUAGUGGGUUCAAUGCUAUUUAAAGUCUUGACCUUUGCAAUCCCACUUUUACCAAAUUUAGUAUUAAGAUCUAAAAACUCCGAAUUAUUGGGACGCCUUUUAACUAAAGUUGACUCAUCUCCAGUCCCAUCAUUAUUAAGAUUCAUAAUGUAAAACAAAGAUAUAAUAGGGGACACAUCAGUAACUUUAAGAUCUUCAUCAUUAUUUUCAUGAAAACUAGAAGAACACACCUUUACAAAACAAUCUUUCUUAGCACGCAAUCUAGCAGUUCUUUCUUUGCACUUAUCAAUGGAAAUUCUCAUUGCUUUGAGAGACUCAUUGAUAUCAUGCUUAGGAGGAGUAGAUCUAAGUUUAAGAGAAUCAACAUCAAGCGAAAGUCUAUCAACGUUCCUAGCCAAAUCAUCAACUUUGAGCAAUUUUUCUUCAAGCAAGGCAUUAAAAUUCUUUUGAGAGAUCAUAAAUUCUUUCACACUAUUCUUAAAAUCAGAGGGCAUAUUAUUAAAAUUACCAUAAUAAUUAUUGUAGGAAUUUCCAUAAUUAUUAGAGGAAUUACUAGGGAACAGUCUAGGAUUAAAGUUUCCUCUAUAAGCAUUGUUUCCAAAACUAUUCCUAGCAACAAAAUCCACAUCCAUAGAUUCAUUAUUAUUCUCAAUCAAAGUAGACAAAGGCAUAUCAUUGGGAUCAACAGGAGCACUCUUAGUAGAAAACAAUUUCAUAAGUUCAUCCAUCUUCCCACGCAAAACAUUAAUAUCUUCUAUAGCAUGCACUUUUUUACUAGUAGAUCUUUCGGUGUGCCAUUGAGAAUAAUUAGCCAUAAUAUUAUCAAGGAGUUUUGUAGCAUCUCCUAAAGUGAUUUCCAUAAACGUGCCUCCCGUGGCCGAAUCUAAAAGAUUUCUAGAAGCAAAAUUCAAGCCGUCAUAAAUUUUUUAUAUGAUCAUCCGUAAAGUCAAACCAUGAGUAGGGCAAUUGUGAAUCAUCAAUUUAAUUCUUUCCCAAGAUUGGGCAACAUGCUCAUGAUCAAGUUGUUUAAAGUUCAUAAUAUCGUUCCUAAGAGUGAUAAUCUUAGCGGGAGGAAAAUACUUAGAGAUAAAAGCAUCUUUGCACUUGUUCCAAGAAUCAAUACUAUUUUGGGGCAAAGAAGAAAACCAAACUUUAGCACGAUCUCUAAGUGAAAAUGGAAAUAACUUCAAUUUAACAAUAUCAUUAUCCGUAUCUUUCUUCUUUUGCAUCUCACACAAAUCAACAAAGUUGUUUAGAUGGGUAGCGGCAUCUUCACUAGGAAGGCCGGCAAAUUGAUCUUUCAUAACAAGAUUCAGCAAAGCAGUAUUGAUUUCACAAGACUCAACAUCAUUAAGAGGAGCAAUCGGAGUACUAAGGAAAUCAUUAUUGUUGGUAUUGGAGAAAUCACACAAUUUGGUAUUAUCUUGUGCCAUGGCGACAAGUAAUCCAACACACAAGCAAAAAAACAGAGGCAAGCGAAAGAGAGAGAAGAUUCGGAAAGAGAGGGCGAAUAAAACGGCAAGGGUGAAGUGGGGGAGAGGAAAACGAGAGGCAAAUGGCAAAAAAUGUAAAUGCGAGGGAGAUGAGUUUGUGAUGGGUACUUGGUAUGUCUUGACUUGAGCGAAGACCUCCCCGGCAACGGCGCCAGAAAUACUUCUUGCUACAUCCUGAGCUUGCGUUGGUUUUCCUUGAAGAGGAAAGCGUGAUGCAGCAAUAGUAGCGUAAGUAUUUCCCUCAGUUUUUGAGAAUCAAGGUAUCAAUCCAGUAGGAAGCUCCUCAAAAGUCCCACGCACCUACACAAACAAACAAAGAACUCGCAACUAACACAAUAAAGGGGUUGUCAAUCCCUUCACGACCACUUGUGAAAGUGAGAUCUGAUAGAAAUAGUAUGAUAAUAUAAAUAUAUUUUGGUAUUUUAUGAUAUAGAUUGGAAAAAUAAAGAUGCAAAUAAAAGUAGAUUGAAGCUUAUAUGAUAAAAUAUAGACCCGGGGGCCAUAGGUUUCACUAGUGGCUUCUCUCAAGAUAGCAUAAGUAUUACGGUGGGUGAACAAAUUACUGUCGAGCAAUUGAUAGAAAAGAGAAUAAUUAUGAGAUUAUCUAGGCAUGAUCAUGUAUAUAGGCAUCACGUCCCGGACAAGUAGACCGACUCCUGCCUACAUCUAGUACUAUUACUCCACACAUCAACCGCUAUCCAGCAUGCAUCUAAAGUAUUAAGUUCAUAAAGAACGGAAUAACACAUUAAGAAAUAUGACAUGAUGUAGAGGGAUAAACUCAUGCAAUACGAUAUAAAUCCCAUCUCUUUAUCCUCGGUGCAACAAUACAAUACGUGCCUUGCUGCCCCUGCUGUCACUUGGAAAGGACACCGCAAGAUCGAACCCAAAGCUAAGCACUUCUCCCAUUGCAAGAAAGAUCAAUCUAGUAGGCCAAACCAAAAUGAUAAUUCGAAGAGACUUGCAAAGAUAACUUAAUCACACAUAAAAGAAUUCAGAAGAGAUUCAAAUAUUUCUCAUAGAUAAACUUGAUCAUAAACCCACAAUUCAUCGGAUCUCGACAAACACACCGCAAAAAGAGUUACAUCGAAUAGAUCUCCAAGAAGAUCGAGGAGAACAUGGUAUUGAGAUCCAAAAAGAGAGAAGAAACCAUCUAGGUAAUAACUAUGGACCCAAAGGCCUGUGGUAAACUACUCACAACUCAUCGGAGGGGCUAUGGUGUUGAUGUAGAAGCCCUCCGUUGUCGAUUCCCCCUCCGGUGGAGCACCGCGAAGGCUCCAAGAUGGGCUCUCGCGGAUACAAAAGGUUGCGGCGGUGGAAUUAGGUUUUCGUGGCUUGUUUUGAUGUUCUUGGGGUACGUGGGUAUAUAUAGGAGGAAGAAGUAGGUCGGUGGCCGCCCGAGGGGCCCACGAGAUAGGGGGCGCGCCUGGUAGGGGUGGGCGCGCCCUCCACCCUCGUGGCCGCCUUGACUGCUUCUUGACUUACACUCCAUGUUCUCUGGAUCACGUUCGUUCCAAAAGUCACACUCCCGAAGGUUUCAUUGCAUUUGGAGUCCGUUUGAUAUUCCUUUUCUUCGAAAUACUGAAAUAGGCAAAAAAAUAGCAAUAUGGGUUGGGCCUCCGGUUAGUAGGUUAGUCCCAAAAAUGAUAUAAAUAUGUAAAGUAAAGCCCAUGAACAUACAAAACAAGUAAUAUAAUAGCAUAGAACAAUCAAAAAUUAUAGAUACAUUGGAGACGUAUCAGUAUCAUACGAGCCCGAGGUGCUUGCCUGAGACCAUAGUUCCUUGUGAAGCCUAUAGACCAUGUGAGGAUGCUUUGGGUAUUCAUGAAGGAAAUAUGCCCUAGAGGCAAUAAUAAAGUUAUUAUUUAUUUUCUUAUUUCAUGAUAAAUGUUUAUUAUUCAUGCUAGAAUUGUAUUAACCAGAAACAUAAUACAUGUGUGAAUGCAUAGACAAACAUAGUGUCACUAGUAUGCCUCUACUUGACUAGCUCGUUGAUCAAAGAUGGUUGAGUUUCCUAGCCAUAGACAUGAGUUGUCAUUUGAUUAACGGGAUCACAUCAUUAGGAGAAUGAUGUGAUUGACUUGACCCAUUCCGUUAGCUUAGCACUUGAUCGUUUAGUAUGUUGCUAUUGCUUUCUUCAUGACUUAUACAUGUUCCUACAACUAUGAGAUUAUGCAACUCCCGUUUACCGGAGGAACACUUUGUGUGCUACCAAAUAUCACAACGUAACUGGGUGAUUAUAAAGGAGCUCUACAGGUGUCUCCAAAGGUACAUGUUGAGUUGGCGUAUUUCGAGAUUAGGUUUUGUCACUCCGAUUGUCGGAGAGGUAUCUCUGGGCCCUCUCAGUAAUGCACAUCACUAUAAGCCUUGCAAGCAAUGUAGCUAAUGAGUUAGUUACGAAUGAUGCAUUACAUAACGAGUAAAGAGACUUGCCGGUAACGAGAUUGAACUAGGUAUUGAGAUACCGACGAUCGAAUCUCGGGCAAGUAACAUACCAAUGACAAAGGGAACAACGUAUAUUGUUAUGCGGUUUGGCCGAUAAAGAUCUUCGUAGAAUAUGUGGGAGCCAAUAUGGGCAUCCAUGUUCCGCUAUUGGUUAUUGACCGGAGACGUGUCUCGGUCAUGUCUACAUAGUUCUCGAACCCGUAGGGUCCGCACGCUUAAAGUUAGAUGAUAGUUAUAUUAUGAGUUCAUGUGUUUUGAUGUACCGAAGAUAGUUCGGAGUCCCGGAUGUGAUCGCGGACCUGACGAGGAGUCUCAAAAUGAUCGAUACAUGAAGAUUGAUAUAUAGAACGACUAUAUUCGGACACCGGAAUGGUUCCGGGGGUUAUCGGAUGUAUACCGGAGAACCGGGGGGUUAGCGGAACCCCCGGGGGGUUAAUGGGCCUCAUGGGCCCAAAGUGGAGCAGAGGAGGGGCGGCCAGGGCACGCCACACGCCCCCUCCCCCUCUAGUCCGAAUAGGACAAGGAGGGGGGGCGGCGCCCCCCUUUCCUUCCUCUCCUCUCUCGCCUUCCUUCCCCCUCUCCUACUUGGACAAGGAAAGGAGGGAGUCCUACUCCUGGUGGGAGUAGGACUCCUCCUGGCGCGCCCCCACUUGGCCGGCCGCCCCCUCCCCCUUGCUCCUUUAUAUACGGGGGCAGGGGCACCUCUAGACACAACAACAAUUGAUCCUUGAGAUCUAUUAGCCGUGUGCGGUGCCCCCCUCCACCAUAUUCCACCUCGAUAAUAUCGUAGCGGUGCUUAGGCGAAGCCCUGCAUCGGUAGAACAUCAUCAUCGUCGCCACGCUGUCGUGCUGACGGAACUCUCCCUCGAAGCUCGACUGGAUCGGAGUUCGAGGGAUGUCAUCGAGCUGAACGUGUGUUGAACUCGGAGGUGUCGUGCGUCUGGUACUUGAUCGGUUGGAUCAUGAAGACGUAUGACUACAUCAACCGUGUUGUGCUAACGCUUCCGCUUUUGGUCUACAAGGGUACGUGGACAACACUCUCCUCUCGUUGCUAUACAUCACCAUGAUCUUGCGUGUGCGUAGGAAUUUUUUUGAAAUUACUACGUUCCCCAACAAUUCAAAACCUGGAGGUUGUUUGACAUAUACUUCUUCCUCAAUAUUACCAUUGAGGAAAUGUGCUCUUAACAUCUAUUUUAUAUAGCAUGAUAUUGUUAUAGGUAACAUAUGCAAGUAAGGUUCGAAUUGCUUCAGAUCAUGCAGCAAGUGCAUAUGUUUCACCGAAAUCAAGACCUUCAACAUGUGUGUAGCAUUGAGAAACAAGACAAACUUUGUUCCUCACAACAAUGCUAGCUUUGUGUUGUGUUGCUUGUUGCAAAAUAUCCAUUUUGUGACAAUGAUAUUGUGCAACAAAGGAUUGGGUCAUUUGACCAAAGUACACACUUUGUUGUGCUCAAAUUAUAGAAGUUCUUCUUGCAUAGACAUCAUCAAGUCUCGAUCUGGUAUGGCUUCAUCAACUUUGGACGACUCUAAUAUUGAAACCAAAUAUAAAUGUCCAUAGAAGUUAGCCAAUCGAGCACAAGAUCGAGUUUGAGGACCUGGAGCAUUUAUGUUGUUGAGGAUUUUCUCGAUGUCAACUUCUUUUGCGAUGAGAGGAAAUUGUGGAUUAGCAUUAUCUCCUUGCUAAUCUUCUCUGUAUUCAUUUUUUAUAGGGUCAACUUCUUCCUGCUCAAUGGCAUCAACAUCAUUUUAUUUGUUCUCCUGAGGUGGAGCUCUUGCUUGGCAAGGAGAAUCAAGAGCAUUUUCUUCAACUGGUUUGACUUCUUUUAUUCCCACCAUCUUUAUGACUUACCUUAGUUCAGGUCCAUCUAGCACACGAGGAAAUUCCACUUUUUACGAGCCAUUAGCUUCAUCAAACCGUAUAUCUAGAGUCUUCCAUAACAUUGUGAUAGUGAAGGUUAAAGACUAUGUAGGUAUGCGAGUCUGGACCAUAACCAACGAAAAUCCCUUUGAGUGUGGUGGGCACAAAUUUAGAGUGUACAACAGUAUCUCUAAUGUACCAUGGUGAACCAAAUACUCUAAUUUAUGAAACAUUGAGCAUAUUACCAGUGAUGACUUCAUAUGAAGUUUUUUGGACGAAUUUGUGAAGAUAAACACGGUUGACGAUACGCCACGAAGUGUUGCUAACAUCUGCCCAGAAACAAAUUGGGGUAGCUUAUGUGUGUGCCAUCUCAAUGAGAGUCCUAUUCUUCCGUACCACACCCCUAUUUUUUCACUCCUGGCAUGCUUGAUGAGGACGCCAUAAUCAGUUUGAGUUCAUGGUGCAAAUUUCUUGGAGCAAUCCCGUGUCUUGCUUUUGUACACAAGAAAAUAUACCCAAUUGGAUCAAGAAAAAUCAUCAACAAUUAUGAGGCCAUAGUGACUACCACCAAAGUUGGUGUAGUGUUGCCGGCCAAAUAAGUCCAUGUGAAGCAAUUCAAAUGGAUGCGUUGUAGUCAUGAUAGUCUUUGCAGGAUGCUUGGCUUUUAAUUGCUCUCCCGCUUUCAAUUAGUUAUCAUCCAAACGAAGGGUAAAGGAGAGUUGGCAUUUUUGUCGCACAAAACUUGGCACUAGUCUUGUGUGAAUUAACUUUUUGGAUCUCUAUUGGGAUUACUAUCGUUGGAAAAACAAAUAAACUAAGGUUGAAGCAAAUUUACAAGUGCGCCAAGUAAAGAACAUAGAAGUAGAAGUCUGGAAAUAAAUUAUUGGUUUGUCUGUAAUAGAGAGGUUAGGCGCGGGGAUGUAGGAUAAUGGUGUACAGGAAGUGGGUUGGUGCAACUGUAAUACCAGUUACCUUGUGAUGUGAUUCUACAUCGUUGAUUAUGCAUUCAAUAUGCGGUUCACCCUUGAGUAGUUUAACUCCUUCAUACAGGGUCGGAUCGACGCUUUAAGUGUUGUGGAUUUCCUUUAUCCUCGUAUUGUUUCGCUCCUCGUAGAUACCAACACCUGGAGGUCACGAAUUCACUAAGCAAUAUGUCCUACCUUUGUAGGUCGUUCGAUCAUGUUGCCCGAGCCCUUAAACAUGCACUACACACACAAUAGAUAGUCAAGUUAAUAAUCAAUCAUAGAACUAGUUUCACAAAUAACGACAUCUAGAAUAGAACCAAAUGAAUUUCACCACCCUAAACGCCUAUGGGGGAUUACUCAUGCAUCAGAGAGGAAUAACCAAUAAACACUAAGAUCAAAUAGGGGAAACCAUAUCAAUGAUAUUGCAAAUUACCGCAAAUAAGUUGCAUGAUUAGUCUGAUCUCAAUCUCUGAUAAAGUAUGAAUAGAGCUACAAAUCCUAGUCUUACAAGUUGGAACUACUCUCUCUCUCUCUCUCUCUCUCUCUCUCUCUCUCUCUCUCUCUCUCUCUCUCUCUCUAAUGUUUUAACGGCAAUUGUGGCGUCUUCCUCUCCUUUCUGUGAAUGCAUCCCCUUUACAAAAGUUUUUUGUAUAGAUGAGAGGGAAGCCACAACGGCCGGAAUGAGUGCAAGCUCUCGUACUACGCAUCGUCUUCUCUCCUAGUGUGCUUGUUGUAGUUUCGUUUAAAAGGGAAAAUAUCACUGAUGUCCCAUUUAUCCGGAUAUUGAUCCAUUUCCUUCCAAAUGUGUUUGGGCAUACACAACAAUUAAGGAAACGAGGUUUCUUCGUUUCUUAAGUGCUGUCGUUAGUAAAAAGGCGGGAACCGAUAAAAACCCCGUUGCAAAAAGGAUCAAAAUACUCAUUUGAAAGGUCAAAUUAUAGAGCCACCUACUUCCCCAAGCUUGCAGUGUUACUCGCACUCAAGCAAAUAAGAAACAUAAAAACGAAGGAGAAUUUGACAAUUUAGUGAAAAUGGCUUACCAGCUCGCGAAGAUAUAAUAUGCACAUUCUCAUAGAUCUUGCAAUCUUAAUUAAGAGAAUAUUUGCAUUCGAAUGGUUGCACCAAAGCUCGCUGCCUAGCAAUGAAUAGUUUUCAUAACUCCCAAAAAUGAUUAGAGGGUACGAAUGUGUGUGCGCGUUAAAAGGGGGGAGGAAUCCAUUUAUUAUUUAUUUCUUAGCCUGGGUCCAACUAUGUACAGAAAUCUAUCUAUUAUUUUUGGGCAUACACAACAAUUAAGGAAACGAGGUUUCUUCGUUUCUUAAGUGCUGUCGUUAGUAAAAAGGCGGGAACCGAUAAAAACCCCGUUGCAAAAAGGAUCAAAAUACUCAUUUGAAAGGUCAAAUUAUAGAGCCACCUACUUCCCCAAGCUUGCAGUGUUACUCGCACUCAAGCAAAUAAGAAACAUAAAAACGAAGGAGAAUUUGACAAUUUAGUGAAAAUGGCUUACCAGCUCGCGAAGAUAUAAUAUGCACAUUCUCAUAGAUCUUGCAAUCUUAAUUAAGAGAAUAUUUGCAUUCGAAUGGUUGCACCAAAGCUCGCUGCCUAGCAAUGAAUAGUUUUCAUAACUCCCAAAAAUGAUUAGAGGGUACGAAUGUGUGUGCGCGUUAAAAGGGGGGAGGAAUCCAUUUAUUAUUUAUUUCUUAGCCUGGGUCCAACUAUGUACAGAAAUCUAUCUAUUAUUUUUGGGCAUGCACAACAAUUAAGGAAACGAGGUUUCUUCGUUUCUUAAGUGCUGUCGUUAGUAAAAAGGCGGGAACCGAUAAAAACCCCGUUGCAAAAAGGAUCAAAAUACUCAUUUGAAAGGUCAAAUUAUAGAGCCACCUACUUCCCCAAGCUUGCAGUGUUACUCGCACUCAAGCAAAUAAGAAACAUAAAAACGAAGGAGAAUUUGACAAUUUAGUGAAAAUGGCUUACCAGCUCGCGAAGAUAUAAUAUGCACAUUCUCAUAGAUCUUGCAAUCUUAAUUAAGAGAAUAUUUGCAUUCGAAUGGUUGCACCAAAGCUCGCUGCCUAGCAAUGAAUAGUUUUCAUAACUCCCAAAAAUGAUUAGAGGGUACGAAUGUGUGUGCGCGUUAAAAGGGGGGAGGAAUCCAUUUAUUAUUUAUUUCUUAGCCUGGGUCCAACUAUGUACAGAAAUCUAUCUAUUAUUGCCUGCAUUAGUAGCAAAGUAAACUCUCGCUGAUGAUAGAAGAACAAUUCUUAGGGCAGUUGCAAUGAAAUAAUCGUGGAUAAUGAAAGAAGAGUCAGCUUCAUAGGGGGUGAUUAUAUGUGUGUGUCUUGGUGUACUCCCUCCGUUUUCGCUCUUAUAUUAUGGGAUGGAUUGAGUAUUUUUCAAGUAAAAUAUAGAUUAUAAGGCGUACAUUUGUUUUCCAGCAAAAGAAAAAGGGUCUCCAUUGCCUACUUUGGUGUCACCGGAUACAACGGUCUAUCAGUUAGACAACUAUACUAUACAUGAAAGACAAACUUAGCGUGUAAAUAGGCGGAUCACGCUAGAGAUGAAAAGUUCAUACGUUGAAAACAAGGAUGUUGAGCAUAUACAAACAAACAAACUUUAAUUCAUUAUUUCUAAAUUGACCGAGCACUAAAUAGAACCUAGUUUGGACGCUACUAGCACGCAUGUGCGCAUGUAGAUAAUACAUUGACCAAAGAAUCUAAUCUAUGCUGCUACUAGGGCAAUGGUCAAACUGUGAACGGGCCGCCAUAUGUGCGCCCAAGCGAGUCGAACUACUUGUAAACGACGCUCUCCUACUGGUGGAUGCGACGAGGAAAUGGAUGAUGCCGCUUCAAACAUUUGCUCCUACGACUGACGGAUGUCAUGUUCAUACACAGGAGACAGGACACGAGUCGUCCAUCAACGAUCUGUAGUGAAGUGUUGACACCAGCAGUAUGAUCUCGCUUUCGUGUGCGAUAUUCUGCCGGGCUAGUGUCAUUAAGUAAGUCUAGUUAAGUUCAUGAGCAGAAAGUUGACGCUUGCGACCUCGUUUUUCUUGUGCGGGGACUUGGGUGCUUCAACCACAGUAGCUAAGACAAAGGAGCAGUGCAUGUAGUCCAGGCAUGAAACUGACGAUGAAACCGGUGCAUCCGGACAAAAACUGAACACUCAUUCCUCUGGACCGGAGAUAAUACUACUACCAAAGGAUAACAGUCCUACUCGAAUAUUCUACAUCCAUGGUAGGAUCCAGCACAGGACAAGACACGAGCCCGUGCGCAACAUACUACAAGUCGUACGCCUGCCUUUCCCUCUCCAUCUCGUUGCCAACUUGACAUACAAUACAAGUAAUCAAAACCGAUGCAUCCAUGCAGACGCAACUACCAGGCUCUUUCCAUUCAAAAUUUAAUACUAGCAAGCACUACUGAUCCACAGCAAUUAGCAGUACUCGUGAAAGGGGGCUGCCUGCCCCACGACAAGAUCCGCGACGUCUGUCGCCCCAGGCAUGAAAGCGGUUCUCGGCACAGCAGGAAGUCACAAUCUUGCUCUCUUAAAGAAGAGAAAAAUCACAAUAGCCUCGUGCAGGGAAGAGAAUGGUAUUGUACCAGCCAGUAGUCCAUUGUAUAUAUACUCUGUAUAUAGUGCUAGUAUUACUAGGUCGUAUUGACUGGCAUGCGUCCUUACUUAGCUUGACAAUAGAUAUAGAGUCGCGUAGAGCGUAGAGCCAGUCCAAGCAAGUAGGACUGCAGGCAAGUAGGACCCGCUGCCGCAACUGCAAGAGGCGCGUAUUCACACCAGAGCUUCUCUGUAGCCUAGUAGAUUUAUAAAUAUCUAUAUAUUCUCAUAACAGGACAAGGCCGUUGUCUUAUAUUACUAAAAGAAGGAUAAGAAACGAGUAGGGGAGUUAGCUGGACAUUAUUUAGGAGGCGCAUACGUUCACACAUGCGCCUUUCUUUCCAACCGCAGACUUGAUUUCGGGCGAACCUCGGCUUGUGCUUUACAUGUGCUCAAAGUAAGGACGACGAUGUGAUGGUAAUAAAGUGAACGGUAACAUACAUCAUAUGGUUCAAAAGAAAAUGCCAUCAUGGAAGGAGACUAAUACCUAGUUGAAGAUGGAUCCGGGUCAACAAACUCUACAUUGAGCGGCCUUGACAGGGUGAGAACGUAUUCUCCAAGAUAGAAAAGCAAAGCUUGACCGGAUCUAAGAAAACAAGUUAAACAUUCGCCCGGCAGGUUGCCGCCGUAAAUCUGAUUCGGUUUUACCAUGACUCAAGGCUAAAGACUUGGCCUAACAGAGGCUGCUCAGCAUAGAUUCUUACGACUGGUAAACUUUUGUCUCUGGUAGGUGACUAGCAUUUCUUUUCCUUCAUCGAGUGAAUCGUCAAUUUUGUGCCAGUGUUGAACUCGCAGAACUUUGGACAAAACGAAUCACGCUGGUGGUAGCUUUUGGUUAUGUGUUCCUAGACAAACCUGCCAGCCCAUUUAUUUGCUCGUUCCCUAGACCGAAAAACUGAUUGAAGUAAACAAGGGAAAACAUAUUUGACGCUCUUGGAAUGCGCAAAGACUAUAUCUCACUUAUAGCAAAUGUGGUUCCCUAAAAAAAAUGUAGCAAGUGUGGGUUCCGUCUCGCGUGAAGAUUUUCUCUUCCCCCAUCGUAACUGGGCCGGCCUGUUUAAUAUUUUUUUUCAAUUGCUCCCUACGUUCGAUCUGGUUCCUGUUGUACUCUUCGCACGGUCCGCAUAGAGGUUUGGUCCAAUUUUUCUUCUUUUUUAUUUAUUUUAUUAUUUUUCUUUCGGUUUCCACUUUUUCUUCAUCGGUUUCUUUUUUUUCUAUUCUUCUUCUAACACCGGUUUUCUUCAUUUCUUUAACAAUUUUCACUGGGUUUUUUCUUUCUAUUUUCCUCGUUUUUCACUGGUUUUUUUCUUUAUUUCUUUCUUUGUUAUNNNNNNNNNNNNNNNNNNNNNNNNNNNNNNNNNNNNNNNNNNNNNNNNNNNNNNNNNNNNNNNNNNNNNNNNNNNNNNNNNNNNNNNNNNNNNNNNNNNNNNNNNNNNNNNNNNNNNNNNNNNNNNNNNNNNNNNNNNNNNNNNNNNNNNNNNNNNNNNNNNNNNNNNNNNNNNNNNNNNNNNNNNNNNNNNNNNNNNNNNNNNNNNNNNNNNNNNNNNNNNNNNNNNNNNNNNNNNNNNNNNNNNNNNNNNNNNNNNNNNNNNNNNNNNNNNNNNNNNNNNNNNNNNNNNNNNNNNNNNNNNNNNNNNNNNNNNNNNNNNNNNNNNNNNNNNNNNNNNNNNNNNNNNNNNNNNNNNNNNNNNNNNUAUUUGUUUCUUUGUCAGUUUUUUUUAUUUUUACAAGUUUUCAGUUUUUAUUUACUUUUUUUGUUUUGUUUUUAUUGGGUUUCUUUUUUUUUGUUCCUUGGUUGAUUCUCAUCAGUUCCAUUUUUGUUCAACAUGCGUCAACCUUUUUUCAGCAAACGUUAAACAUUUUUUGUAUAAAUCCAAAAUAGAUUUUCUUAUACAUGUGUAAUAUUUUAAAAAAAAUGGUUAAGUUUUUUGAAAACUUAUAUUUUGUGUGUCUACUUUUUUUCGGCACACCUUCCAGAUUUUUUGGUAUAUAUCAAAUAUAUUUCUUAAUGUAUGUUUAACACUUUUCAAAUACAGGAUUAACAUUUUCUUAAUACAUGGUCGAUAUUUUCCAGUACACGGUGCACAUUCUUUUAAUGUCAACAAACAUUUUCUUUGCACACACACUGUACAUAUUGGUAUACAUCAACCACUUUUAUAUACAUGUUCAGCCUUUUAAAAAUAUAGAGUCACACUUUUUUAAAUAUAUGAGUUUUAUGUUUACUUUUAUUUAGUGUGCAUUGUACAUUGUUGGUAUACACCAGGAACAUUUUUUAUAUGUGUUUAACAUUUUCAACUACAUAAUAAAUGUUUUUAAAUAUAUUUUUGUAUGCAUGACAAAUAUUUUUUCUAUACGCAUUUAACAUUUUCAAAUGCUUGAUUAACAUUUCUCAAAUACCUGAUUAAUACUUUCCAAAUUCUUGAUUAACAUUUUGGAAAGACACAAUCAACUUUUUCAUACAUGUUGUAUAUAUUUUUAUAUACAUUUUCUAUAUACAUGAGAAAUAUUUUCUCUAUACACAUUUAAUAUUUUUCAAUUGCAUGGUUAAAAUUUUCUUGAGAUGUUUUAUUUAAAGUGUUUUGUGUAGUAUAUUUAUUUAAAAUAUCUGAAAGUAUUUUUUUUUAUGAAAAGCAAAAAACAGAAGAAAAAAUAUAUGCAUGUGGCUUCCCGCGCGCUUAGCUGGCCCGCCUGACGCGAGUGCACCCUAUGUCUCUUUUUUCUUUUUAUUAAUAUUUUUUAUUGUUUCGUGCUUCUUUUCUUUCUACUAAUAUUUUUUAUUUCAAAUAUAUAUUUUGAGACUGUGAACAUUUUCAAAAUAGUGAAUACUUUUCGAAAACCUUAACACUUUUCUCAAAAUUCAUCAAAAAAUUCAAAAUCAUGAAAUCACAAACAUUUGUAAAAGAAAACAAUUCGAAUUCAAGAUUUUUUUUUUGAAAUUCAUGAAUUUUUUUGCUCAAACUCGUGGACAUUAGUUUGAAAGUCGUAAACAUAUUUGAAACUCAUGAUUUAUUUUUAAAUUCAUGAAAAUUUCCUGAAUCUUCGAAUAUUAAUGAAGUACUGAAGAUUUUUUUGAAAUUUGUGAACAUUUAUCAAACUCACUACAAUUUUUUAAAAACAUGGAAAACUUUUGAACUCAUGAUUUUUUUAAUUCAUAAAAAAAUAGAUUCAGGAAAAACUAUCGUGAACAUUUUGUGAACUCAUGAACAUUUGUUUUAAGUUGUAUCAUUUUAUUGAAUUUAAAAAUAUUUUUGAAAUUUAUGAAGAUGUUUUGAGUCCAAAAACAUUUUUAAAAUUCAUAAAAAGUUGCCCCCAUGCACCAGCAAAAUACCAACGAAAAGCGAACAAAACAGACAAAGACAACAAAGGAAACCAAACUAAAAUGUAGAAAAGAAAAUUUUGAUAGAACCCAAUGAAAAAACUGAACUAAAAUGUUCAACGUGUAUUUGAAAAAAAUGUCUAUAUAAAAAAUGUUUAGAAUACUUAUUUAAGAAUAAUGCACAUCGUAUAUUUGAAAAUUCUUCAAUGUGCAUAAAAAACUAGAUAUGUGUUAUAAAAAGUAAAACCAUUGAAAACUGACAAAAAAAUACAAGUGAAAACCAAGAAAGAAACAAAAAAUCCGGUGAAAAAGUAAAAAUGGAAAGAAAGAAAAUAAAAAGAACCAUGGAAAACCAAAGAAGAAACAAAGAAAACUGGUGAAAAAACAAAAAGAAAAAAUGGAGAAAACCGGUGAGGAAACCUAAAUGCUUGUUAGUGCAGCUGCACUAUUUGGUUGCAGCGAGCACACCCGUCCAAGCCGUCCAAUCUGAGUAUUCUUAAUGCGACUGCAUUGCUACUAGUCCCCCACGUUUUGAAAGAGCAUACCUGACAAAAGAGGAAAGCACCUGGGGCUAGUUCCCUCACGUCUUCACGUUCCCCUCCGCCGCUAUUUCAGCAAGAUCCCACGUGCAUGCAUUUAUUUGGGGCUUCAAAGUUUUCUAAAAUCUGUAACUUUUGACUCGAGCGUCGAAUUCAAAUCCAUUUUCACAUUUGUGUUUGUCGUGAUGGGUUCUUCAAAACUAGAUCUUAUAUGGGUAUGUUUCGACAAACCUUUUUUUAAGCAACUUUGGAUCCUUCAGAGGCAACUUUAGUGCUAUAAAAAAACUUCUUAUUAGUCUGCACAGUAUGAUCACCUAUCUGUGAAAAUCCCUUUGAAGUUAACUACCAUGACUACCAAGUUAACUAGAUUCACCAUUUAAGUUUCCUACCAUAACUAGCAAGUAUUCUAUCAUAAGUAGGUUCGCCUCUAAGCUCAUAGUAUUGUAGGCAACUUUGUUUUCAAGGUAGGCUAAUAGUAUUCUAAGGUGGCUACCAUGACUAGUUAGUAGUUUAACAUCAUCCUUAGUUGCAUGCAAUAUAUUUCGGUAUGAUAAGAAACUUAGUUUCAUACAUAGGCGACUUAGCAACAUUGAUGCACAACUUUUCAUUGUACUGUAGGAAACUGAAAUAGUAAUGGCAGGCAACUAAGCAUCACCGGUUGGCAACUUGAUGCGGAGCAUCCUACGAUCAUCCCCAUGUACACUAUGACUACCCCCAAGCCCUAGUGUCCAUACGAUGAGACCUCGAGAAUACGCCAUUGGACCUAAGGUGAACUCGCUCCUUUCCGAAUCUUCCCUUUCCGCAUGUAAGAAAUAGAUGCUACUUCAAGCGCGGACCUUGUGCAUACUCAGGUACACCCGAGGAGACCAUGCAGAGCCCAAGGACCAAGGCCAAGUGAUGUAGGGUAGAAUCCUAGAGGCCGAUCUUUCACGUUUGGAGAGGAUCUCUAUGAGUAACACGAAGAACACGAGGAGGGGAACGAGAGAAAAACACGAGAAAUCACUCAACCAACAAGAACAAAGUCACACAUGUGCUAGAUCAUCGAAACAUAAGAGAGGUACAAGAUCCAAAUCCAACAAGAGAUGAUAAAAAGGGUAACCGGUUCUUCUCCGUGAGGAGGUCUUGAUGAGGGUCUUCUCCAGAUGGAGGUCUUGAAUCCAGGUGGAUCUUCUCCGAAAAGGUGUCGGUCCCUCACGAGGAGUAGAUCCGAAUGGAUGAGUGCUACGUCUUGAGCUUGCGUUGGUUUUUCCUUGAAGAGGAAAGGGUGAUGCAGCAAUAGUAGCGUAAGUGAAAGGAUCGAUAUGGUUGACUAGAGAGGGGGGUGAAUAGGCAACUAACAAUUUUUAAGCUUUUCUUUACCAAAUUAAACUUUGCAACAAACUAGGUUGUCUAGAUGUGCAACUAAGUGAGCAACCUAUAUGAUGCAAUAACAACUAGCACAUAAGCAAGCAAUGGAUAUAACACAAGUAGGCUUGCAAAAGUAAAGGCACGAAAUAACCAAGAGUGGAGCCGGUGGAGACGAGGAUGUGUUACCGAAGUUCCUUCCUUUUAAAAGGAAGUACGUCUCCGUUAGAGUGGUGUGGAGGCACAAUGCUCCCCAAGAAGCCACUAGGGCCACCGUAUUCUCCUCACGCCCUCACACAAUACGAGAUGCCGUGAUUCCACUAUUGGUGCCCUUGAAGGCGGCGACCGAACCUUUACAAACAAGGUUGGGGCAAUCUCCACAACAAUUGGAGGCUCCCAACAACACCACGAAGCCUCACCACAAUGGAGUAUGGCUGCGAGGUGACCUCAACCGUCUAGGGUGCUCAAACACCCAAAAGUAACAAGAUCCGCUAGGGAUAAGUGGGGGGAAUCAAGUAUUUUGUGGUGGAAGUGUAGAUCGGGCCCUUGUCACCCAAUCCCGAGCAAAUCAACAAGUUUGAUUGGCUAGGGAGAGAGAUCGGGCGAAAAUGGAGCUUGGAGCAACAAUGGAGCUAAGAGGUGGAAGAGGUAGUCAACUAGAGGUAGAAGACACCCUUUAUAUAGUCAUGGGAAAUAUCCAACCGUCAUCCACAUGUUCAGCCCGCGACACGCGGUACUACCGCUCCAGGGGCGCGGUACUACCGCGAGGCCGCGCGGUAAUACCGUGGCAGACCACGGUACUUCCGCGACAGCAGCCGAGGCCGGAACUUACCUGACUAGGGGGCAGUACUACCGCUUGCGCGGUACUACCGCUCCCCCUUGCGGUACUACCGCAAGGCAGAAAAGUCAUCGCCUGGGAAGGGCGCGGAUGAAAUAAAUUACAUCCGUGCCUACUUCCGCUGAACAUGAGGUGGUACAAAAAUCCGACGCGGUACUACCGCACGCGAGGCGCGGUACUACCGUUGAGGGCGCAGAUGUAAAAAAUUACAUCCGCGCCUACUACCGUGACACUGCAGUACUAGGUAGGAGGGCCACGGUACUAUGACUCCUGGGGAGCGGUACUACCGUGGGCCCCCGCGGUACUACCGCGCUGGACGAGCGGUACUACCGUGGGUGGCGCAGAUAUAAAAAAUUACAUCCGCCCCUACUACCGCACCGGAGCGGCACUAGGCCUGGGAGUCGCAGUACUACGGCUCCAGAGAAGCGGUACUACCGUGACACACAGCGGUACUACCGCUUGUACUUGUGGUACUACCGCAAGUACAGCAGUAGUCGUCAGAUUUCCGCACAACCAAGAUAACGAAGGGAAGCUCCAAAAUGUAGGGAAAGGUGGGACAAGUGUACGUGUUGAUUCCACCCAAACCUUUACGACGCAGACCCCCUCUUAAUAGUACGGCUCUCCUACGACUCAAAUCCACCAAAGAGAAACGUAGAACAACGCCGACUUCAAUAGUCUCCGAGGGGCAUCGAAUCGUCUCGUGCCUAGUGAUGAAGUAUCUGAGAAACUCAGGGCACGCGAUUAGUCCGCAAAAGCAUUGUCAUCAAUCGCCAAAACAUCUAAGGGAUAAAUAUGCCCUUACAAUCUCCCCCUUUUUGGUGGAUUGAUGACAACACGGGAUUUGCACAUAGAUAAGAUAAUUUAGAGCAAGGGCAAACCCCACCUCUCUAAAAUAUAGACGGGCUCCCCCUAGAUGUGUGCACUUUAGAUGAAUGCUUUGGACUGCAUAGCACACGGACUAGGAUCAACACUCCCCCUAUAUUUUAGAGACCAAGGCACAAUAAAUAACAUAGCAUAGCAUAAAGAUAGCACAAUAUAACACAAGCUCGCUAGGAUAGAUAGAGUGCACAAGUCUUACACCAAACAAAGUAAAGCAACGAGGUUCAAACGAAAAAGCAGCAAAUAGUUCAACCGAGAAAGCAGCAAACACAUGACACACACGACUCGCAAACUCGCAAAUCCCUACAGUCUCUCCCCCUUUGGCAUCGAGACGCCAAAAAGGCAUAGAGGACACCUACACACAAGAGGUGGCUCAAGCAGGGAACUCGUCCCAACCCUCUCCGUCGGUCUCCUCUGCAGCUGGGAUGGUCUCCUCGACAUCCUCCUCAGAAUCAGUCCACCUGUAGCCUUGCUUCUCCAUCCACUCAACCUCUGGAGUGAUGCGCUCCUCAGACCCGCCAGACACUUCCUCACCAUAGAGCUGCAUGAUCUUGUUGUCCCGGCAUCGACUCUCCUUGGACGCCACGUGAGUCAUGUACUGCCCCUUGGCUUGCAUGCAGAAAAGAGUCUUCAUCUUGUCCUUCAGCUUCUUGGCCCAUGAUGGCAUAGUGGCACUCUGGGAAGGCCUAGCAGCACAGCCCUCAGCAACAUCCUCGGCGCCAGCAUCCUCCUCAUCAACAGCAGCCCUAGCAGCAAUCGCCUCGGCACGAGUAGUGGUGUUGGCCCAGUUGGAUUUGAUACGCAGAUAGAUGGGCUCAUGACGAAUCCAGUCUGGAGCAAGGAACUCCUCACCAGGGAACAUCUUCUCCCAAGUCUUCGAGAUCAGCAGAAACAGAUAGGGCCCAUAGAUAGGCACCUUGCGGUUGAACACUGCAAACCGAAGCUCACACCACAUGAUGUGUGAGACAUCAAGUGGCUGAGACUGAGACGAGCGAGCCUCCUCGCAAAUAAGCAUCAUGUCCACCAUAUAGACAUGAACCUUGUCUUUGUCACCGAUGCGAGGGAACAAGGAGAUGCGGAAGAUGCGAUACAUGAUAUCCAGAAAGGAGUUGAGCACCAACGUUGUCUUGCCAUUGGCGAGCGCCUUCUCAACCAUGAACGGAGCAAGCUUGUCCUUGUUGGCAGACUCAGCAUUGCCAUGGGGGCGAACACCCACUGGAGUGUUGAGCCCAUCAUCAGGAACAUGGAGCAGAUCCAUGAACUCCUUCCAGGUAGCAGACAGUUGACGACCAUUGGUCAUCCAGGUCAUCCUCCGCUCUUCAUUAGGGUGAAAAUAAACUGAGGCAAAGAACUGACAGAUAAGCUCAGGGUCAUAGUCAAGAUGGAAGGAUAUCACAUGCUCAAUGCCAAACUGCUCCACCAAGUCCAGAGCCUCUCCAAAGUAGUCACGGAACUUGUCCUUCCUCAUGUGAUGCAUAUCAAUCCACUUCACCUCCAUGUAGGUAUUCUGCUUGUUCUUGAUGACAUCCAGAUAGAUGUUGGUCUAUUGCUUGUUCCAGAACAGCUCACAGCCUCUGACAGUGGAACGCGGGUGCACAUAAGGGUGAAGCUGCCUAAGACGGACAUACUCAUUUGGGGCUAUCUCAUCCAUGCCCUUAGCAGGCUCCUUGUUCUUACUAGCUGAGGUCUUGACAUUGCGCUUGGAGGCAGACGAGCCCUCUGGUACAUCACCUGGGUUGCACAGACGCUUGGAGCCAGUGUCACGACUGGGAUUGGACCGGCAAGAGCCACCACCUGAGAUACAAACGCAAAACACCAAAGACGCGAGGAAGAUCAAUGCAAAGGCCACGAUAAAGCACAAGAAGCACAUAGAAGGCAUACGAGAAAGUUGGCAUGCGAUAGAUGUGAGCCACGGUAGAACUGCCACUGCCUGCGGUACUAAAAUAUUAGUACCGCUCCAAAUGCGGUAGUACCGUGCGAGGUCACGGUAGUACCGUGGUUGGAACGGAUAUAAAAUUUUAGCACCGCACAGAGCGCGGUAGUACCGCGCAAGACGGGCGGUAGUACCGCGUCGCGUCAGAUCCAACCGGCAGUUUGAAUCUGAAAAGAACCGUGAAACAACGGCGGUGCUAGGGUGAUCAGAUCUAGCGCAAGACAACAAUACAAGUAUAAAUCCUAUGCAAUACCACGCUCCUUCAUCCUACUCUUGCAGAGAUUAAGCCUAUGAAUCUCAAGAAACACAAGCCUCCCCCAAAACCUAGAAACACCAAACACAAUCAACACGGAGAGGGAGUAGGGGAAAAACCUUGGUCCAUAGCAAGAGCACGUGGUGGGGAACGAUCCCACCGGUCGGAAUCACCGGAGGGCAGCCGGUGGACGAGAUCCGGCGACGAACGCCAGCUCCGUUCUUGAGCGAGGGAGAGAAGGAGGCGACGUGGAGAGAGGACUGUGAAUGGGUACGGGGAGUUAGAACUCCCCCUGCCCGUCCUUAUCCCCACGCGCUCGAACCGGCGCGGUAGUACCGCAUAUCAUCGCGGUAGUACCGCUCGGGCGGAAGUACCGCACCGAGGCGGUAGUACCGCUCAACCAGGCGGCAGUAAAAAAUUACUGUUGUGUGGAGGCGGUAGUACCGUGCUCCCGCAAGCGGUAGUACCGUGGCUGGCUGCGGUAGUAUCGUAGCUGUCCGCGGUAGUACCGUGAACUCAAGUCACCGCAAGUUUCAACACGAGAAGAAAAGCCUUUGCACGGAAACUUUUCACACACAAGAAACCACAAGAACACGCACAAACCAGAGGCAGAAAGACAACAAGAAACCACCAAGCGACAAAGCCUCUUGAAGAGAGAGGGCGAUGGCCGAAGCCACCUAUGUUUGAGUUGGAUGGUAUGGCACCGCGAAGAAUUAUCCUUGGGCCCAUGACCAAAACUCGUCUUUGAAGCACAAGUACCAUCAAAAAUGGCUAAUGUGAAAGAGGUGAUCGAUUUAUGCAUAAUGGGGGGAGGGAGAGUUCAUUGAGAGAACAACACUCCCCCUAUGUCCAUGCCUACACCUAAACUAAACAACAAGUUGAGUGUGGUGGGGGGUACACGGGUUCAAGUCACAUUGCUCAAAUCAAUGAUAUUUAGCUCAUGCCUUAACUCGCGAAAUCUUGCUUCAUCCAAGGGCUUCGUGAAAAUAUCUGCAAGGUUAUCAUGAGUGUUGACAUACUUGAGCUCGAUCUCCCCACGCCUAAUGUGAUCCCGGAUGAAGUGAUACCGAAUCUCAAUGUGCUUCGUCUUGAAGUGUUGCACCGGAUUGAGAGAAAUCUUGAUGGCACUUUCAUUAUCACACCAAAGAGGCACUUUGUCACAAAUGACACCGUACUCCUUUAAAGUUUGCCUCAUCCAUAGGAGUUGAGAACAACAACUACCGGCUGCCACAUACUCCGCUUCGGUGGACGAGAGAGACACACAACUUUGCUUCUUGGAGGACCAACUUACCAAAGAGCAACCAAGAAAUUGGCACCCUCCGGAAGUGGACUUCCUAUCCACUUUGUCUCCCGCCCAAUCGGAAUCCGUGAAACCUUCAAGCUUGAAGUUUGCUCCUCUUGGGUACCAUAAGCCAAAGUUUGGGGUAUGAGCCAAAUAUCGAAAGAUUCGCUUGACCGCCACAUAGCGACUUUCCUUUGGUGCGGCUUGAAACCGUGCACACAUCCCUACACUCAACAUGAUAUCCGGUCUAGAUGCACAAAGGUAAAGCAAGGAGCCAAUCAUGGAGCGAUAUACCUUUUGAUCCACCGCUUUACCAUUGGGAUCAAUGUCAAGUUGGCACUUGGUAGGCAUUGGUGUAGUAGCCGGCUUGACAUCACUUAGCUUGAAUCUUUUAAGCAUGUCUUGAGUGUAUUUGGCUUGGUUGAUGAAGGUUCCUUCUCUUCUUUGUUUGAUGUCAAAACCAAGGAAGAACUUCAACUCUCCCAUCGAAGACAUCUUGAACUUGGAGGUCAUGAGAGCGGCAAAUUCCUCAUUGAAAGAUUUGUUAGGAGAACCAAAGAUAAUAUCAUCAACAUAUAGUUGGCAUACAAACAACUCCCCUUUGACCUUCUUAGUAAAAAGAGUGGGAUCGAUUUGUCCUACUUCAAAUCCACGAUCUUGUAGCAACUCGGUAAGGUGGUCAUACCAUGCACGUGGGGCUUGUUUAAGGCCAUAGAGUGCCUUAUCGAGUUGAUACACAUGAUCCGGGAAGUAGAGGUCCUCGAACCCGGGGGGUUGCUUGACAUAGACCAACUCAUUAAUAGGACCAUUAAGAAAAGCACUUUUCACAUCCAUUUGUUGCAACUUAAAGUUGUGAUGGGAAGCAUAAGCAAUCAACAAACGAACGGAUUCAAGACGAGCAACGGGGGCAAAGGUUUCACCGUAGUCGAUACCCUCGACUUGGGAGUAGCCUUGUGCUACCAAUCUUGCCUUGUUGCGAAUGAUGUUCCCAUGAGCAUCUUGCUUGUUCUUGAAGAUCCACUUGGUUCCAAUGACGUUGUGGUUCCCCGAUGGUCUUGGCACCAAUCUCCACACCUUGUUGUACUCGAAGUUGUUGAGUUCUGCAUGCAUGUCAUUGAGCCAAUCCGAGUCUUCGAGCGCCUCAUAGACCUUUUGGGGUUCAACACAAGAGACAAACGCGUGAUGUUCACAAUAGUUUGCUAAUUGUCUACGAGUGCUUACCCCCUUUCUUAGGCUUCCAACCAUGUUUUCCAUGAGAUGGCCUUGGGUGGUGAGCUUGGAAGCAAUCUUCGUGGCACGACGCUCUAAUUGCUCCUCGGGUGUGGAAGGAGGAGGGUUAACUUGAUCAUCUUGAGCGCCGUCUUGAGCUUGUUCUUGAUCUUGAGAUUGCUCAUGAUCUUGAACUUGCUCGAGGGGAAGAACUUGACCUUGGGCAUCAUUUAGAGGUUCACCACCAUCUUGAGGUUGAUCUUGCCCUUGGUCUUGUUCAUGAGGGUGAUGGCCUUCACUUUGUUCUUCGGAAGCGUGUGGGUCUUGGGGAGGUGAUGGCUCCACUUGAGUGGAGCAUUGUCCUUCUCCUUCAGCCACAAGGGGUUCCUCAAUGGGUAGGAUUUGACCAAUACCCAUUCUUCUUAUGGCUUGGGGAGGAAUUUCAUCACAUACAUCACAAGUACCACUUUGCUCCACUUGGGAGCCGUUAUUUUCGUCAAACUCCACGUUACACGUCUCCUCAAUGAGUCCGGUGGACUUGUUGAGGACACGGUAAGCAUGAGAGUUUGUAGCAUAACCAACAAAUAUGCCCUCAUGAGCUCUAGCCUCAAAUUUAGACAAACGAACACCUUUCUUGAGAAUGAAACACUUACAACCGAACACCCAGAAGUACUUGAGGUUGGGCUUGUUGCCGGUGAGUAUCUCAUAAGGAGUCUUGUUCAAGCCUUUGCGAAGAUAGAGCCGAUUGGAUGCAUGACAUGCGGUGUUGAUGGCUUCGGCCCAAAAGUUGUAUGGAGACUUGAACUCCGCCAUCAUGGUCCUAGCCGCAUCCAUCAACGUCCAGUUCUUCCUCUCCGCAACACCAUUUUGUUGAGGGGUGUAUGGAGCAGCAUAUUGGUGCUUGAUCCCCUCAUCACUAAGAAACUCAUCCAAGGUGUAGUUCUUGAACUCGGUGCCGUUGUCACUUCUUAUUGGCAAGAUCUUUGCAUUGUGUUGAUGUUGAGCUUCAUUUGCAAAGUCGAUGACGGUUUGUUGAGUCUCACUCUUCCUCUUGAAGAAGUAUACCCAAGUGUAUCUUGAAUAGUCAUCCACAAUCACCAAGCAAUACUUUCUACCUCCAAGACUAUCAAAAGAUGGAGGCCCAAAGAGAUCCAUGUGAAGGAGCUCCAAGGGUCUCUUCGAGUAGAUGAUGGUUGAUGGAGGGUGAGCCUUUUCAUGAAGCUUUCCAUCGAUACAAGCACUGCAAGCACGCUCUUUGGCAAAACUAACAUUUGUUAGUCCACGGACAUGGUCCCCCUUGAGAAGACUUUGCAAAGAUCUCAUAUUGACGUGGGCUAAACGGCGAUGCCAAAGCCAUCCCACGUCAACUUUAGCCAUUAGGCAUGUCGCGGUCUUAGUGGGUCGCUCCGAAAAGUUUAUCACAUAGAGACCGUUCUCGACAUGCCCAACAAAGGCUACUUUAAGAGUCUUGCUCCACAAGAGGGCCACGGUAUCAAUGUCAAAGAAUGUAGCAAAACCCGUGAGUGCAAGUUGACAAACGGAAAGCAAAUUGUAUGCAAGGGACUCAACAAGCAUGACUUUCUCGAUCGUUAGAUCAUGAGAAAUGACAACCUUGCCGAGACCCAAUACCUUAGAAUGUGAUGCAUCACCCCACUCGACAUUGGUGGGCAUAGAUGGAAUCUCUUGCACAUCCACCACCAAGUCCUUGCUCCCGGUCAUAUGAUUUGUUGCUCCACUAUCGAGCAACCAUGAUCCCCCACCGAGAGCAAACACCUACAAGAGAUCAAUGCUUGGUUUUAGGUACCCAUUUAGUAAUGGGUCCUUUGAUGUUAGUAACAAGGGUCUUGGAAACCCAAAUAGACCAUUCAAUGUACUCAUAAGGAGAACCAACAAAUUUAGCAUAAACAUGUCCAUCACUAGCACGACACAACACAUAUGACGGGUUAAAGUCACCGGCUUUGUUUGAGGACAUGCUUUUGCCCUUUUGGAUGUCAACUCCCUUCACCUUUUCCUUCUUCUCCUUAGGAGCACCCUCUCCCUCUUUCACAAACGUUUGCUUGAGAGGAGGAGGACGUUUGGUCUUGUUGUUCUUCUUCUUCUUGCUCUUGGAUUUGGGUGCAAACCCAAUUCCUUCCUUGGCCACAACUUCCUUUUGAUUGCUCAAAAGGUCAUUGAGGUUCUUCUCACCUUGAAUGCAUGUCACAAGGCCUUUCUCAAGUUGAACCUUCAACUUGGCAUUCUCCUCCACAAGAUGCACAUGCUCACAACACGGGUUAGUAGCACAUGCAUUAUCAAUUAAUACCAUAUGAGGAAAGGUGGCCUUUUCCUUGAUUAGCUUAACUUGGAGUUGAGCAUGAGACUCCUUGAGGUUAGCGUGAGCACCCUUCAAGACCUUGUGGGCCUUGUCAAGUAUCUCAAACUCCUCUUUGAGUCUAGCAUGAUCAACCCCAAGCUUAGCCUUCUCGGAAGUUAGCACACGAGACACGACAAGAGCAUGAUCAAGAUCUUUCUUUAACUUAGCAUGGUCAUCAUUGUGUGACUCCUCAAAAGUCAAACGAUGCACACGCUCUUCCUCGAGAGCAUUAGAGAGAUCCGAUAUCUCAUCGGCAUAGUCACGACUAUGACUUUCCAUCUUAGAGAUGGUUUCUUCGUGAGCCUCGAUCAUGUCAUUGGCCUCACCAAGUUGUUCCAAGAGAGCAACAAAGUGCUUCUUGGACUUACCCUUGAGCUUAUUCAUGAAAGACUCAAAUUCAUUCACUUCCUCAUUAGACUCAACAUGUUCAUAAAUGCAAUCCUCCAAGGAGGGAUUAGUAAUGAUGGUGGUUGUGAUGUUGGGGGUUACCUUGUUUGAAGCUUUAUCCAUGAGGCACUUGGCGGUGAUGUUUUCAUUGGGUGAAUCAAAGAGAGACACCGGGGGAGUAGUAGCAAUGGCAACGGAUGCCAUGGCCAUUGCUUCUCCACUUUGAUCAUCAUCGUCAUCCUCCUAGUAUUCUUCUUGAACCACCAACCCUCGAGUUGGAGUCUUCUUGGCGAAGUUGUUCUUUCUGGGGAAGGACUUAGCUUUGUCUUUUCGAAUGAAUUUGCCACCAUUGUCUUCCCGCUUCUCGUAAGGACAAUCCGCAAUGAAAUGGCUCACAUUGCCAUAGUUGAAGCAAGUUCUAACUCGUUGCUUGCCCUUGACGCCACUUGAAUUGUUCUUGUUGAAGUUGGGUCUUGUAUUCUUCUUGCUCCAAAAUUGUCUUGAAGCAAGGGCCAUGUGCUCAUGAUAAUAAUACUUGGUGUCUUUGGGAUUGCUCUCCUCAUCUUCCACUUCUUCCUCUUCUUCCAUGAUGACCUUGGCCUUCAAAGCAAGGUUGGGCUUCUUUGCCCUUUGAGAAUGGAGCACCGCAUUGUCGGCGGUCUUGUCCAAGAUGCUCAUUGCAACGAACUCAUCCAACACUUCACUUGAGGUCAUGGAGUGGAAGUCCGGUCUUUGACGAAUGACGGAGGACAUUGCCUUGUUGUAGGGCAUCAUGGCCUUGAGGAACUUGCGCUUGAUCCAAUUGUUAUCCGUGUCCUUGCUUCCAUGAUCUCGGAGUGAGACCGCGAGUUUGGUCACUCUUCGAAGAGCUCACGAGGUUCUUCAUCUUCUUUCAUUGCAAACUCAUCGGCUUCAUCUUGCACCACUUCAUAGUUGGAGCGUUGGAUGCUAUCACUUCCUCGAUAGAGAAACUCAACACAUUUCCAUGCUUCUUUCGCCAUGGCAUGGGGUCGAAGAUGAGGGAGUUCUUCGGGAAGGAUUGCAUCUUGGAUGAUGAAGAGAGCACUCUCAUUGAAUUGAUUGUCCACGGCUUCUCGAGGGGUGAAGUUGCUUGGGUCAUGAGGAUAGAAACCUUCUUCAAUGAUUCUCCAAAGGUUAGUGUUCACAUGUUUUAAAUGACGCUUAAAGCGAUAGAGCCAAGAAUCAAAAUCUUCAUGUUUCUCAUAUUUAGGAGGAGGACCGGCAUGAUUCAAAUGAGUGGAGGGGAUUGGCCCUCCAUAAAUUGGGGGUUCCAUAUGGGCAAAGAUGCCGGUACCAUUUCUACCACUAAUAGAAGGACUCUUUUCAAUGUUAGCUUCCCCCUUGUCGGAGGUAGCAUCCGUCACCUUGUUGGUGGGAUCACCCACUUUCAUCGGCGAGGUAGAUUGUUUAAGUCCUUCUAGGAAUUCUUUAAACAUGUCCUUGACCUCGGUCGUCAUGGAGGUUUUCAAUGUUUCCAAAGCCACAUUGAAUUCCUCACGUGAGAUCGAGUUGCCCCCAUCUCCCAUAGAUGAUAUCGGAUUCGCACCGAAGUGCUCUCCCACCUCAUCUACGACAUCAACCAUACUCUUCGGAUGGUAAAGUCCUUAAAAACAGACCAGGCUCUGAUACCAAUUGAAAGGAUCGAUAUGGUUGACUAGAUGGGGGGUGAAUAGGCAACUAACAUUUUUAAGCUUUUCUUUACCAAAUUAAACUUUGCAACAAACUAGGUUGUCUAGAUGUGCAACUAAGUGAGCAACCUAUAUGAUGCAAUAACAACUAGCACAUAAGCAAGCAAUGGAUAUAACACAAGUAGGCUUGCAAAAGUAAAGGCACGAAAUAACCAAGAGUGGAGCCGGUGGAGACGAGGAUGUGUUACCAAAGUUCCUUCCUUUUAAAGGGAAGUACGUCUCCGUUAGAGCGGUGUGGAGGCACAAUGCUCCCCAAGAAGCCACUAGGGCCACCGUAUUCUCCUCACGCCCUCACACAAUGCGAGAUGUCGUGAUUCCACUAUUGGUGCCCUUGAAGGCGGCGACCAAACCUUUACAAACAAGGUUGGGGCAAUCUCCACAACAAUUGGAGGCUCCCAACAACACCAUGAAGCUUCACCACAAUGGAGUAUGGCUUCGUGGUGACCUCAACCGUCUAGGGUGCUCAAACACCCAAGAGUAACAAGAUUCGCUAGGGAUAAGUGGGGGGAAUCAACUAUAUUUUGGUGGAAGUGUAGAUCGGGCCCUUAUCACCCAAUCCCGAGCAAAUCAACAAGUUUGAUUGGCUAGGGAGAGAGAUCGGGCGAAAAUGGAGCUUGGAGCAACAACAGAGCUAAGAGGUGGAAGAGGUAGUCAACUAGAGGUAGAAGACACCCCUUAUAUAGUCGUGGGAAAUAUCCAACCGUCAUCCACAUGUUCAGCCCGCGACCCGCGGUACUACCGCUCCAGGGGCGCGGUACUACCGCGAGGCCACGCGGUACUACCGUGGCAGACCACGGUACUUCCGCGACAGCAGCUGAGGCCGAAACUUACCUGACUAGGGGGCAGUACUACCGCUUGUGCGGUACUACCACUCCCCCUUGCGGUACUACCGCAAGGCAGGAAAGUCAUCGCCUGGGAAGGGCGCGGAUGAAAUAAAUUACAUCCGUGCCUACUUCCGCUGAACAUGAGAUGGUACAAAAAUCCGACGCGGUACUACCGCACGUGAGGCGCGGUACUACCGUUGAGGGCGCGGAUGUAAAAAAUUACAUCCGCGCCUACUACCGUGACACUGCGGUACUAGGUAGGAGGGCCACGGUACUAUGACUCCUGGGGAGCGGUACUACCGUGGGCCCCCGCGGUACUACCGCGCUGGACGAGCGGUACUACCGUGGGUGGCGCGGAUGUAAAAAAUUACAUCCGCCCCUACUACCGCACCGGAGCGGCACUAGGCCUGGGAUUCGCGGUACUACGGCUCCAGAGAAGUGGUACUACCGUGACACACAGCGGUACUACCGCUUGUACUUGCGGUACUACCGCAAGUACAGCAGUAGUCGUCAGAUUUCCGCACAACCAAGAUAAUGAAGGGAAGCUCCAAAAUACAGGGAAAGGUGGGACAAGUGUACGUGUUGAUUCCACCCAAACCUUUCCGAUGCGGACCCCCUCUUAAUAGUACGGCUCUCCUACGACUCAAAUCCACCAAAGAGAAACGUAGAACAACGCCGACUUCAAUAGUCUCCGAGGGGCAUCAAAUCGUCUCAUGCCUAGUGAUGAAGUAUCUGAGAAACUCAAGGCACACGAUUAGUCCGCAAAAGCAUUGUCAUCAAUCACCGAAACAUCUAAGGGAUAAAUAUGCCCUUACAGUAAGUAUUUCCCUCAGUUUUUGAGAACCAAGGUAUCAUUCCAGUAGGAGGCUCCUCAAAAGUCUCACGCACCUACACAAACAAACAAAGAACUCACAACCAACGCAAUAAAGGGGUUGUCAAUCCCUUCACGGCCACUUGCGAAAGUGAUAUCUAAUAGAGAUAGUAUGAUAAGAUAAAUAUAUUUUUGGUAUUUUAUAAUACAGAUGCAAAAAGUAAAGAUGCAAAUAAAAGUAGGUUGGAAGCAAAUAUGAUAAGAGAUAGACCCGGGGGCCAUAGGUUUCACUAGUGGCUUCUCUCAAGAUAGCAUAAGUAUUGCGGUGGGUGAACAAAUUACUGUCGAGCAAUUGAUAGAAAAGCGAAUAAUUAUGAGAUUAUCUAGGCAUGAUCAUGUAUAUAGGCAUCACGUCCGCAACAAGUAGACCGACUCCUGCCUGCAUCUACUACUAUUACUCCACACAUCGACCGACUCCUACCUGCAUCUAGAGUAUUAAGUUCAUAAGAACAAAGUAACGCCUUAAGCAAGAUGACAUGAUGUAGAGGGAUAAACUCAUGCAAUAUGAUAUAAACCCCAUCUUUUUAUCCUUGAUGGCAACAAUACAAUAUGUGCCUUGCAACCCCUACUAUCACUGGGUAAGGACACCACAAGAUUGAACCCAAAGCUAAGCACUUCUCCCAUGGCAAGAAAGAUCAAUCUAGUAGGCCAAACCAAACUGAUAAUUUGAAGAGACUUGCAAAGAUAACUCAAUCAUACAUAAAAGAAUUCAGAGGAGAUUCAAAUAUUUCUCAUAGAUAAACUUGAUCAUAAACCCACAAUUCAUCGGAUCUCGACAAACACACCGCAAAAAGAGUUUACAUUGAAUAGUUCUCCACAAGAGAGGGGGAGAACAUUGUAGUGAGAUCCAAAAAGAGAGAAGAAGUCAUCUAGCUAAUAACUAUGGACCCGUAGGUCUGUGGUAAACUACUCACAACUCAUCGGAGGGGCUAUGGUGUUGAUGUAGAAGCCCUCCGUGGUCGAUUCCCCCUCCGGCGGAGCGCCGACGAAGGCUCCAAGAUGGGAUCUUGCGGAUACAGAAGGUUACGGCGGUGGAAAUUGUGUUUCGGUUACUCCCUGGAUGUUUUCGGGGUACGUAGGCUUAUAUAGGAGGAAGAAGUACGUCGGUGGCCGCCCGAGGGGCCCACGAGACAGGGGGGCGCCCUAUAGGGGGCCUACCACCCUCUCGUGGCCACCUCGGCUGCUUCUUGACUUGCACUCCAAGUCCUCUGGAUCACGUUCGUUCCAAAAAUCACGCUCCCGAAGGUUUCAUUCCAUUUGGACUCCGUUUGAUAUUCCCUUUCUUCAAAAUACUGAAAUAGGCAAAAAACAGCAAUACGGGCUGGGCCUCCGGUUAGUAGGUUAGUCCCAAAAAUGAUAUAAAUGUGUAAAAUAAAGCCCAUAAACAUCCAAAAGGGGUAAUAUAAUAGCAUGGAACAAUCAAAAAUUAUAGAUACGUUGAAGACGUAUCAAUGAGCGAGGCUCUAUCUCACAAAUGAGCUAAAGCAACGGUAACCCUAAAACGUAGGUGGAGAGGGAGUAUAUAUAGUCUAAGGGGUGAAGGGGUACAUGGGCCUCGGCCCGGAUGCGCUGCAUGCAGGCAGGGGGGCCGGAUGUCUGGGCGUCGGGCCGGAUGUCCGGGCCUUCCCAAGAUGCCGGAUGUCCAGGCUAGGGGGCCGGAUGUCCGGGCUGGGUGAGUCGGCCUUGGUGCUCUCUAGAUAGGAGGGGCCGGAUGUCCGGGCGAAGGGGCCGGAUGUCCGGGGUUUCGGGAGGAGCCGGAUGUCCGGGGUGAUGGCCGGAUGUCCGGGAUAUCGAGGCAGCCUUCUGUGCUCCCUGGAUGGUUUGUCCGGAUGUCUGGGCUGGGAGUCGGAUUUCCGGGGCGACGGGCUGGACGCCGGAUGUCCGGGCCCUGUAGCUUCGGCUGUAGAUCCUUGGCUGCGGGGUAGAUCUCCAGGGGCCGGAUGUCCGGGGCCAUGGCCGGAUGUCCGAGGCCUGGAAGCUAUUCUCGCCUUCUUUCGUUGGUUCUCUUCUUCCGUGGACUUGGGGGCUUGACCAUCUUCAUGUUCAUCUUCGCGAGGGUCCUCUUGGUACCUAAUCAUGCACAACAUUCUGGACUUAGGCAGUAGCCAUGUCUCGAGAGGAUCGAAUGAGAUAUCACUAAGGAAAGAAGUCACCUCAUCUCAAGGGCUCUAGCUCAUGCUCUUGUCAUGGGUCCUCUUGGUGCUUGGUGAGACGAUGGUAGGUCCAUGGGGAUGACCGUAGGAUGCUCCGCAUAAUCUCCCCUCCCUUGGGAAAGAUCCGACCUCGGAUCGAAAUCCUCAUCACCAUGGUACGGGGAGGCAUCAUUGACAUUGAAGAUAUCGCUCACGGAGUACUUGUCGCGUGGGAUGUCGAUCUUGUAGGCGUUGUUGUUGUAGCGUGCUAGCACCUUGAAGGGUCCAUCGGUUCGAGGUAGAAGUUUGGACUUACGUUCGUUGGGGAAGCGGUCCUUACGAAGGUGUAGCCACAUGAGAUCUCCAAUGUUGAAUAUCAUGGGGUGCCUGUUGAUGUUGAGCUUGGUCGCUAGUCGUUGUACUUGGCGCUCGAUGGUUGUCCUUGUAUCUUCAUGCAUCUUCUUGAGGUAGCUUGCACGUGUGCUCGCGUCGAGGUUGGUGCGCUCUUGUAGACGAAGAGGUAGAAUGUCCAAUGGGGACAACGGGUUGAAGCCGUAGACGACCUCGAAGGGGGACUUGCGGGUAGUCAAAUGUCUUGCUCGGUUGUAGGCGUACUCGGCGAUGGGUAGACACUCCUCCCACUCCUUGAUGUUCCGCUUGAUCAAGACGCGAAGUAGAGUGGAGAGUGUACGGUUCGUCACCUCCGUUUGGCCAUCGGUCUAAGGAUGGUAUGCCGACGAGAACAAGAGCUUGAUACCGAGCUUGGCGCAUAGCGUCUUCCAAAAGUAACUCAAGAACUUAACGUUGCGGUCCGAGACGAUUGUCUUUGGUACUCCAUGGAGUCGCAAUAUUUCCCUACAAAAGAGAUUGGCAACAUGUGAAGCAUCGUCUAUCUUGUUGCAUGGAAUGAAAUGUGCCAUCUUAGAAAAUUGGUCCAUGAGAACAAAGAGGAAUCCUUUCCAUUUUGGGUUCUAGGCAAACCAAGUACAAAAUCCAUGCUAAUGUCUUCCCAAGGUUGAUAAGGAAUAGGAAGAGGCAUGUAAAGACCAUGGGAUUGAGCUUUAGACUUAGCUUUGCGACAUGUAGAGCAUCGGUUGGUGAAGCAUGAGACGUCACGGAACAUCUUGGGCCAAAAGUAGUUCUUGGAGAGCGUGGCGAAUGUCUUGUCGCGUCCAAAGUGUCCCAUGAGUCCGCCUCCAUGAGCCUCUUGCAAAAGGAGCAAACGAAGAGAAGACUCAGGAAUGCAAAGUUUGUUAGCUCUCAUAAGAUAAUCAUCUUUGAUGUAAUAUCAUUCCCAAGAAGUAUGCAUCAAACACUUGGCAUAAGGAGUAGCAAAGGUAGGAUCAAUUGCAUACAAGUCUUUGAUGUGCUCAAAGCCAACAACAUUCAACUCAAAUUUAAUGAAAAGCGUGCAUUUGCGGGAAAGUGCAUCCGCAACAAUAUUUUCCUUAUCCUUAAUGUACUUGAUCACAUAGGGAAAAGAUUCAAUAAAUUCACUCCAUUUGGCAUGACGCUUGUUUAACUUAGUUUGGCCUUUCAAGUACUUAAGCGUUUCAUGAUCGAUAUGGAUGACAAAUUCAUGAGGUCUAAGAUAAUGUUCCCAAACAUGUAGCACACACACUAAAUCAUACAAUUCUUUGUCAUAGAUGGGAUAGUUAAGUUGAGCACCGGAGAGUUUUUCACUAAAAUAUGCAAUGGCUAGUUUUUCUUGCAUCAAAACUCCGCCAAUUCCGGUACCACUUGCAUCACAAUGAACCUCAAAAGUUUUGUCAAAGUUGGGCAAAGCGAGAAUCGGAGCAUGAGUAAGCAAAGAUUUGAGCUCGGCAAAAGCGGUAGAUUGCAAGGGUCCCCAAACAAAUGGAGCAUUUUUCUUACUCAAGGCAUGCAAAGGAGCUGCAAUAGUGCUAAAAUCCUUCACAAAGCGACGAUAGAAACCCGCAAGGCCAAGAAAGCUACACACUUGUUGCAAAUUGGUGGGUUGGGGCCAAGUUUUAAUUGCCUCAAUUUUAGAUUCAUCAACAUGGACACCCUUGGAAGAAACAACGAAACCCAAGAAAACAAGCUUGUCAACACCAAAUGUGCACUUUUUCAUGUUGGCAUAAAGACGUCCCUUGCGAAGGGUUUGCAAAACAGCCCUAACAUGAUUUAGAUGCUCUUUCAUAGAUUUGCUAAAAACAAGAAUGUCAUCGAAGUAAACCACAACAAACACUCCAAUGAAAGGACGAAGCACAAAAUGCAUAAGACGCAUGAAAGUACCGGGAGCUUCCGAUAAACCCAUAAGCAUAACCAACCACUCGUACAAGCCAAAUUUGGUUUUGAAAGCGGUUUUCCAUUCAUCACCUUCUUGUAUGCGGAUUUGAUAAUAGCCACUUUUAAGAUCAAUUUUUGAGAAAAUGGUGACACCGCUAAGUUCAUCAAGCAUAUCAUCUAGGCGAGGAAUGGGAUGCCUAUAACGAACGGUAAUAGCAUUGAUAGGUCUACAAUCCGAGCACAUGUGAAAACUACCAUCUUGCUUGGGCACAAGUAUAACUGGAAUGGCACAAGGGCUUAAGCUUUCACGUACAUGUCCGUUGUCGAUGAGUUGUUGUACUUGCCAUUGGAUCCUUAGUUUCUUUGGGGUUGACGCAGUACAGAGCUUUGUUUGGUAGAAGUGCUCCGGGGAUGAGGUCGCUUCAGUGCUCGAAGCCUCGUAGUGGAGGUAGUCCCGGAUGUAGCGCAUCGGGGAAAACAUCUUGGAAUUCCUGCAAAAGAGAAGAUAACACUAAAGGUAGAUCGUGAGAGGUGUUAGUUUUUGGUGCCUCAUCCUUGCACACAAGGACAAAGUGCAUAACACUCGAUGGGUUCUCACACACUUCUCUCAUCUCUCUUUUGGUGGCAAAUAGGACGAAGUUUUUCUUGUCGCUCAUCGUGGAGGCACUCGGUUUUGGCUUGUGGCUCUCACUCUCUUUUGGGUGGAUCACUUUCUCACUCUUUUCUCCACGAUGGGUUGCUUGCUUGUCGACGAUCACUUGGCUAGGAGACACAGGUCGUAGCACAUACUCCUUCCCUUUCAUCUUGAAGCUAUAGUGAUUGGUAUGCCCAUUGUGGAUGACGCCGCGGUCAAAUUGCCAUGGUCGACCAAGAAGGAGGUGGCAAACGGACAUCGGGACGACAUCACACUCCAAAGUGUCCUCAUAUGCACCAAUUUUGAAGGAGACUUGGACCGUAUGCUCAACUCGUAUAGUGCCUGAGUCGCUUAGCCAUUGGACUUUGUAGGGGUGCGGGUGCUUCAUCUUGACCAAUUGUAGCUUGGAGCAUAUUUCUUCACUUGCCAAGUUGUGACAACUACCUCCAUCGAUGAUGACCUUGACGGACCUUCCAUUGAUGCCAGCCUUGGUGUGGAAGAUGUGGCAUCUUUGGUCUUCGUCUUGUUGAUGUUGAAGAGUCAAGACUUUGGAGACAACGAGAGCGGGGCUCGGAUCCUCAUCACAAAAGACUUGAUCAUCUUCAUCCUCGUUCACGCGCUGGUGCAUGGCCACUUACUCAAGGGCUUCCAUCUCCUCUUCACUCAUGGAGUCAUAGGUUCCAUCAUCGUUGAGGAUCAUGGUGCGCUUGUUGGUGCAUUGGAAAGACUUGUGGCCUCGGCCGCCGCAAGUGAAACACUUGAAGGAGCUUGUCUUGACGAUCUCAUCGAUUGGAGUAGAUGAUGAAGCGUGUGGCUUGAAGUUGCUUGUAGUAGGAGGAGGACGACUUGAGGUUGUUGAAGCUUUCUUGUAACUUGACUUGUCGUCUUUGCUUGUAGAUGGCUUGGUUGAGGUAGAAGUUGGAGGAGUCGUUGAAGCUUGGUUGUUGGAGAAGCCGUAGGUCUUGGAUGAGUACUUGGUGUACUUGAAGUCAUCUUGCACUUGAUGUUCCGCUUUGGUAGCUUGAUGCACGAGCUCGAUGAGGUUGGAGUAGGGUUGGAAGUCGGCAAUCUUCUUGAUGGGAUGAUUGAGGCCAUUCAAGAAACGUGCCAUAGUUUGCUCAUCAUCUUCCGUGACAUUGGCUCGUAUCAUGGCUAUCUCCAUUUCCUUGUAGUAUUCCUCAACACUCUUUGUUCCUUGCUUGAGUAGUUGGAGCUUCUUGAAGAGGUCGCGGUUGUAGUAGGUGGGCACAAAACAUGCUCGCAUGACAUCUUUCAUUUGAGCCCAAGUGGCGAUUGGAGGUUCACCUCUUGCUUCUCGGCUCUCAAGGACUUGUUCCCACCAUAUGAGCACAUAGUCUUGGAACUCAAGGGAUGCCAUAGCGAUCUUCUUCUCUUCCUCAUAGUUGUGCAAACGAAAGAUUUUGUCGACCUUCAAUGCCCAUGAUAGGUACUCUUCGGGAUCAUUGCUUCCAUUGAACUUGGGCAUGGUGAAUUUUAGCUUGCCGUAGCAUUUCUCUUCAUUGUGUUGUGGUCGAGGAUGAUGAUGAUGCCCUUGACGUGGAGUAUAAUCAACCUCAUGUUGCUCUUGGUGUGGGAGAUGACCAUAGUCAACUUGAUCUUGUUGAACUUGAGGUUGUGGAGGAGCUUGUCGAGCUUGAGGAGGAGGUGGGGGAACUUGACGUUGCACUCUUGGUUGGUAGUUCCGCUCUUGGAUUUCUUCUCGAAGUGCUUCCUCUUGAUUGCGCCUAUCGCGGUUGUGCUUGGCAAUGGCUCGACUUGAUUCUUGAAGGGCACGUUGCGCCUCAAGAGCUUGUGCUUCACGUUGUUGUUGUUGAAGACGUUGAGCCUCGGCGUCUUGUUCCUCUUGAUGUAGACGUGCUUGUUCUUCCUCUUGGCGACCUUGACGUUGUCGUUCUUGAGCUUGUGCAAAACGAUGUUGGUGAGGUUGAUGACGAAGGACUUGCUCGUCAACUUGCUCUUGCAGAUGAUUUCCGUGUAGAGGACUGCGGGAUGCAUGAUGGUCUUGACGCGCGGCUCGUCGAAGAGUGUUUGAUGUUGGUGUACUUGAGCCAGAGAAGGUGUCGCCGGAGUGUCGACUUGAGCGGCUUCGUCUUGAGUAUGAAGAAGUGGACGGAGGGCAGUUCAUCAACAAGGCACGGAUCUCGUCCAUUCUUGCAUCGUUCUCUUGCUUGUGAGCGUCGAGCUUAUUGUCGAAGUAGUCCCUUGUACGUUGCUCGGAGAGUCACAAGUCGGUGGCGAGGUUGUCGAUGCGGUCGGUCAUCGCUUGUUGCUCUUGAUGCAACGCUCGUUGUGCACCGAAGAGGUGUCUCUUGGUGAUGAAUGAUGACAUGUCGUCGUCUUGCUCGAUGAAGAGUGGGUUGGUAGAAGAACUUGGCCUAUCCAUCAUUCCAAGCAAAAUGUGAGUGGGAGAAGGAGAAGAACUUAUACCAAAUGUACCUUGACCGAUGUUGGAUAUGGAUCAAGAUCACUCAAAUGCAGACAAUUGAAUAGCACAACUGGUACCAAUUCUUGUCGGUUCUCACACCUACACAAGUAAAAGCUUAUGGUGGAGCUUGGUUAGGAUGGUGGCACAAAAUUUGAUGCAAUUGUAAGUGAGCGUCAAUAAUGUUGGAAAAGAUUCACAAAUUUGCAAAUGCAACAAGUAGACCAAGCAAGUAGAGGUACACGGAAACACACACGCAAAUAGAUAAGUGGGAUUGUGCAAACCAAAAAUGAGCCAAAAUGUGGAGUCCACGAAAAUGCUCUUGUUGCACAAUACUAGAGAGACGCUAGCACGAUUGCACAAUAGGCGGAUACGUGCUUGUGCACAACCUACUAGGAAAAAUGCAACGACCUCUAUCCCACGUAUUCUAUAUGUAUGGUAUUUCGGUGAUAUGAUCCAAGAUGAUCGGAUAUGACAAUCUUAAUGUAGUAUGAUGCUAUGGUUCUUGCUUAUAAGCUCUUUGCUUAUCUUUCCCUCUUUGCUUAAAAGCUUGUUUGGCUCUUUCACUUUUGAGCUCUUUUCUCAUGCAAAACUUCACGAGCCAAGAUAGCUAUUGUGUAUGCGAUGACAACUUUGUGACACAAAAGAUGAUGCCAAGAUAUGCACCACUAUGGUAUGGUAUGUAUGCUAUGGAGUAUGAUCACUAAUGUGCACAAGUCACGUUGCCAGCAAUACUCAAAGGCUAGUCUCGAUGGGUAAGCAACGCAAAAGUAAGGCUAUGUGGUUAUCAAUGCAAUGGCAUGGGAUGACAAAGAUGUCAUUGAAGUUACCAUCCUUGGCGAUGAUGAGUCCUUUGCGAAGAUGAGCGGUGGUGAUGUUGAUCUUGAACCGUACCUAUAUAGCCGAAACACAAUAGGACAAGGGAACCACAACCCAAAAUCUCAAAGACCAAAACGUGUCAAAAUCGUCAUAGGUGGAAACGGUAAGCGAUGGUGGUGCUUGCGGAAAGUGGUGGUGGUAUGCGGAAGUAUGCGUGGGCACCGGGGCAGAAUUGGGUGAAAAGUAGGCGGAAAACGGGGCGGUGGAUGGAGUUGCUGCAGUCAGGGGCCGGAUGUCCGGGCCAGGGGCUGGAUGUCCGGGACACCGGAUGUCUGGGGGACACAGCCGGAUGUCCGGGCGCCUGGAUCGUGGCCGAACGAGAUGAACUCCACGGGAAAAGGGCAACUCCGGGGCAAAAUUCGAAUGAUUUAGUGGAUGAAAAUUGCGGAGAAGAUGGGGGAAAGCUAGAUCCACACGUGGGAAAGCAGAUUCGUGGAUCAAAUCCAAGAAAACUUCAUCACAAAAAAAUUGGGGCUAUUUUUGGUUGGGAUUUUCGGAUAUAGGACAAAAACAACAAAAUCAAGCUAGAAAACACGUGGUAGGGGCUCCAAAAACGUGAUCAACGUGACUCUUGAUACCAAGAUGAUGUAGGGUAUAACCCUAGAGGCCGAUCUUUCACGUUUGGAGAGGAUCCCUACGAGGAACACGAAGAACACGAGGAGGGGAACGAGAGAAAAACACGAGAAAUCACUCAACCAACAAGAACAAACUCAUACAUGUGCUAGAUCAUCGAAACACAAGAGAGGUACAAGAUCCAAAUCCAACAAGAGACGAUACAAAGGGUAACCGGUUCUUCUCCGUGAGGAGGUCUUGAUGAGGGUCUUCUCCGGAUGGAGGUCUUGAAUCCAGGUGGAUCUUCUCCGAAGAGGUGUCGGUCCCUCAUGAGGAGUAGAUCCGGAUGGAUGAGCAAGGCUCUAUCUCACAAAUAAGCUAAAUCAACGCUAACCCUAAAAUGUAGGUGGAGAUGGAGUAUAUAUAGUCUAAGGGGCGAAGGGGUACAUGGACCUCGGCCCGGAUGCGCUGCACGCAGGCAGGGGGGCCGGAUGUCCGGGCCUUCCCGAGACGCCGGAUGUCCGAGCUAGGGGGCCGGAUGUCCGGCAUGGGUGAGUCGGCCUCGGUGCUCUCUGGAUAGGAGGGGCCGGAUGUCCGGGUGAAGGGGCCGGAUGUCUGGGGCUUCAGGAGGAGCCGGAUAUCCGGGGUGAUGGCCGGAUGUCCGGGAUAUCGAGGCAGCCUUCUGUGCUCCCUGGAUGGUUUGUCCGGAUGUCUGGGCUAGGAGCCGGAUUUCCGGGGCGACGGGCCGGAUGUCCGGGCUGGACGCCGGAUGUCUGGGCCAUGUAGCUUCGGCUGCAGAUCCUUGGCUGCGGGGUAGAUCUCCAGGGGCCAGAUGUCCGGGGCCAUGACCGGAUGUCCGGGGCCUGGAAGCUGUUCUCGCCUUCUUCCGUUGGUUCUCUUCUUCCGUGGACUUGGGGGCUUGAACAUCUUCAUGUGCAUCUUCGGGAGGGUCCUCUUGGUACCUAAUCAUGCACAACAUUCCGGACUUAGGCAGUAGCCAUGUCUCGAGAGGAUCGAAUGAGAUAUCACUAAGGAAAGAAGUCACCUCGGUCUCAAGGGCUCUAGCUCGUGCUCUUGUCAUGGGUCCUCUUGGUGCUUGGUGAGACGAUGGUAGGUCCAUGGGGAUGACCGUAGGAUGCUCCACCUCACCAAGUGUGCAUGGGAGCGAAGAGAGGAGAAGGAAAAAGAGCCAGCUAGUACAGCAGCCGGACAUCCGACCAUGUUCCGGACAUCCGACCACCUCCGGACAUCUGGCCCCUUCACUAGACAUCCGGCUACAUCUACUCAGAGAGCUCCGGAAGUGACCCCGACAGCCCGGACAUCAGGCCCCAUGCCCCGGACAUCCGGCCUCUUCGCCUGGACAUCAUGCCCCGCCUAUCCAAAUAGCACAGGAAACGAACUAGUCUAGCCCAGACAUCCGGCUCCUUGCGAGCCGCCGGACAUCCGACCCCCAGCCCGGACAUCUAGCGCCUGUCUGCGCAUAGUGAACGGGCCAAGGGCCCAUGUACCCCUCCAACUCGUCCCACUUUGCACUACGACUAUAUAUAGACUCCUACCCCCUCCUAGCUAGGGUUAGCAUUGGUUUAGCUCAUUUUAGAGAUAGAUUUUUGCUCAUCCUUGUGCUUCUCCUCCAUCGAGAGACCGCGGCCUCUACGGAGAAGAUCCACGCUUGGAUUCAAGACCCCUCACUGAAAGAUCGCUCGCGGACUCAAGACCUCCUCACGGAGAAGAACUAGUUACCGUCUGUAUCGUCCUUUGUUGACUUUGGAUCGUGUAUCUCUUUGUGCUCAUGGAUCUAGCACAUGUGUGAUCGUUUCUCGUUGAUUUGAGUGAUUCCUCUCGUUUCCCCUCAUGUUUUCCCACGUGUUCUUCAUGUUCUUCGCGGGAUCCCCUCCAUUUCGUGAAAGAUCAGCCACUAGGGUUCCACCCUACAUCACAACUUCAUAGUGUUUUGUAGACAACUUAGAGAAUCCAAUGAUAAGCAACUUCACAAUAUUUGUAGCAACUAAUUUGCAAAGUUAUGCAAUUGAGCAGUAAUAAUAGCCAACUAAUUACCAAUAAUAGGGAAUUGCAUCAAUGGUAGUCAAUUUCAUAGUUUCUAUAGGCUUACAAUUGUAGGCAACCGACCAUCAACAAUAAGCAAUAGGCAACUAAGCCUCAAUUGUAGGCAACUGGCCAUCAACAAUAAGCAACUAAGCAUUCAUGAUAGGCAAGUCAUUAUAAUGUUACCAAAAUUCACAGGUAUACAUAGUGUAGUGAAGUUGCUUUUGUAUGUAGCUAUAAAGGUGCCUCAUGUUUUGUGUGAUUUUUCUUGUUUUUACACAAACUAACCUAAUAGGAGUCCUAUUAGGCCAGAAAGAAGAAGUUGCUUCUCCAUAGCACUAAAAUUGCCUCCAUUGCACCCAAAGUUGCCCACAAAAGAUGUUCAACGAAACCUAUCAAUAUGAGAUCUAUUUUUGAAAGACUCCUCGUGAGAAACCAAACAUUGAAAACGAAACUGGAUUUCAACGCUUGAAUUAAAAGUUAUGUCUUUUUAAACUUUCUGAACGCCCAAACAAAUGCAACGUGGGGACAAGAUCUAGACUGAUUUCUUGCUUAAUGUUUCUGGAUCACGUGGGUACGCAAGGAGGUGGUGGCAAGGGACUAAGAUGCUUCCUUUUUUGAAAGCAUGUGCGGAGGACCAAUUGUACUUUUCAUAUUAGGAGGCAUCUGCUCAAUUUAACCAGGGAGCACAUGUGCGCUAGCAAGCCACGUCCGAAAAAAUGGAGAAAAAAGGGAAAAUCCCAGGGAAGGAAACCGAGCGAAAGAAACCAAGGGAAUUCGGUCGAAACCCAACGAACAAAAAAAAUCGGACUAGGGUUUUCUUUCCUCCGGCUCUGGCUGAACUUAUUCUGUGUUGGUCCACAGAAGCAGGGCAUGUAUAAGAGCAUCUCUAGCAGACCCCUCAAAACACGUGGAUCCGCAAAAUUUCGGCGACUAUACUGGCUCGGCCCAUUUUUUGGCCAGAACAGAACCCGUAUACUCGCUCGGCCCGUAAAAUAUUUUACGGUGGCCCGCAAACCGCCCCCCGACGUAGUAUAUCUACGGGUUCACGACGUCAAUACGGGUCGAAACCCUAUCUCAUGCCCGCCGUGAUUCCCCCAAUCCUCCCCAAUCCCCCUUUUAUUUCUUGCUGCCGGUGAGUCCAAUCCCGCCACCGAACGACAUCAUGUGGGGCGGAAUGUGGAGCUGCAGCCGCAGCUCUGGCGGGAGGGACGACCCCGAGUGCCAGCGGUGUGUCCGAGCGGACAGUGCGAGGAAGCGCGCGGCGAAGAAGUACACCAAGCACAACCUCCAGCUGUCGGAGUCGCUCCUCCGCCGCGAGGCGGAGGAGUACGACCGCCGGCACGGGCCCCGCACGCCGCUCCUCACACCGGUGAAAAGGGAGCCGGUGGAUCUCCCAUCCCUCCGCGUGGUGAAGCGGGAGCUCGAGGCAGAGCCGAUGCCGCCAGGCGGUGGCGUCAUCGGGCCGAAGGAUUUCCUCCCCCCGACCGAGGCGGACAUCUUCAAGCGGGCAAUCAUGGCGCGCAACGUGCGGGAGAAGGAGGAUGAGGAGCAGCACCGACGAUCUCUUGCGAACCACGACGACGUCCUCCUCGAGCAGGGGCUCGCCAAGGAGAAGGAGUUCGCCGACAACCAAGACGCAUGGCGCCCUGAGAAGAAGGCGCAGAACGACAUCUACAUCGACCUCGUCUCCGACAACGGCGACUAAGGAAGUAAGGAUGUCCGCCGCCGCUGCGUCGCCGCCGCACCCGGAUGGCUCCGGUGAGCCAUUUUUUGGCUGUAGGGUUACGGUGGCCGCCUAUCCCCUUAGCUAUUAGUGUAAUUUAGUGUAUGUAUGAACUAUGUAUGAUGAUCAAGAACUAUGUAUGACUCAUUCUAUUUCUCCUCCAAAGUCUUGAAUUCAAAAUCUACAGUUCGAUUUGAGGUUUCUAUUUUUUCGCGGAGGUUUUCAGCACGUAUCCGAGACAACGAGCGAACCGUAAACUGUGUUAACUGAUCCGCAUUCCGAGAGAUCUGUUAGAGAUGCUCUAACCUCGUAACAAAAAAGCAGAACAUGUGCCUUGAAGGUGCGCAGCCGUCCGACCUUUCCAGGUCGGCUCCAUGUUCCUUCUCUCAAGCCAACGCGAUCCACCUGUAGGCGCAGAGUUGUAGCCAUCGCCGUUCGUCUUGGACUUGAACGGCCAACGAAAAUUCCAAACUCCACACUCUCUUUGACGGAAAGGAAAACGGGCGCUGCGGGAAACCGUCGUUGCUCCUUCCGCCGCUUCCUCGGCUCUUCGCCGCGCUUUCCCCCCUCCACCGCCUCUCUCUCUCUCUCCUCCCCGCGGCAACCGAUCCGGCCCGGCCCGGCUCGCGAUGCGGUGGAGGCCGCGCAAGCUGGGGCUCUGGGCCGCCCUCCUCGCCGCGGUGGCCCUGCUGGCCGUCGGCGGCGGGGGCGGAGGAGGCCUACGUGACGCUGCUCUACGGGGACGAGUUCGUCCUGGGCGUGCGCGUCCUCGGGAAGUCCAUCCGCGAUAUGGGCACCCGCCGGGACCUUGUCGUGCUCGUCUCCGACGGCGUCUCUGACUACUCUCGGAAGCUCCUCGAGGUAUGCGCGCACAUCUGUGCUUUCUUGAGUCAUCUAUUUUGGAACGGAGGGAGUAUGUAUUAGUUUAAUGUUGGACCGCCCACCGGGGAAUUUGGCAUUAAAAUGAAUCAUCUACAAGCUGGUAGAUGGAGCUCGCAGCUUAUGUUUCUAGUUUGAACUUAGGCUCGUCUCUCUCUCUCGUACUUCAGUAAUUCAGUUGUGCAGUUGUGCUUCAUCAUGAUGUAGUUUCAAAUAACUGUGCGUGCACUGUGCAGUAAUGUCUCAUUGGUGCAAAAAGCUCACGGAUAGAAAUACAACCCAUCUCAAUUCUCAAUUUUACUUGCAUUUUUGAAGUGCAUGCUUUGGCACUUAACUGCCGAAUGCAUCUAUCUUUUCCUCCAAUAUGUGUAGUGUGGUGUGAAGAUGAAGUGUUAGGGCUGGGAACAAACCCUGUGAAUUGUGACUGCGCAAUAUUGGUGUAGUGAGUAUGCUGAUGAAGCAAACUCGUGUUACAGGAACACAAGUAAAUAUCUGACACAUUUAGUAGGUCUAAGGAACUCUGUUAAAAGGAGAUAUGGUUCUAUUUGUGUCAAUCCCAGGAUGAGUGUAGCAGUCAUUAGUACCACUAUUUAGAGGGAAGACUAUGAUGGUGCAAAUCCAUCCGCUCUGGUAGACUUUAUGGGAUUUUAGGUUCAUUACUUCAUUUGGUAGAUUGCGGCUGUGAGGGCAUUUUUAUUUCUUUGUAAUCCAAUCUUUGACUACAGUAAGAUUAAGGAGUACCUACGUGUUAUCAUAAUAAAUACUUCAGCAGAUCCCCGUCUGAUUGGCUUUAAAUCAUAUUCCCCACCCACACAGUUUCUACACUUUGUGAUCAGGGUCUUAAGUUCACCUGUGUCUAUGGAAUGCCCUUUUAAGUUAUAAUGAGGAAGCUUAGGUUAUCUCCAAGGGGAAGUCACUUAAUAUGGGUCACCAAAUAUCCAUGGACAGCCCAACCAUCCAACUGUAUUCAUCAAUUCCGGAUGAGUAAAUUGCAAGAAACCACCACAAUUGGGUCCAAGUUAUCAAUGCUUCAGGAAAAAAACCACCAGAAAACAUGCAUUUUGGUGGGUGUUUGAUGACUUCUGCACAAUUGUGGUGUUUUUUUUUUUUUGCAAUUUACUCAAUCCGGACUGUAGGCUAUGACUGACAGUGGGCCAGGCGGACCGAGAGGGAAAAGAGAUGACUAGGACACAUGGGCUGUAGGAAUAUGUGGUCCAACUGACAGUGAGCCAGGCGGACAUCUGGACUCCCGCAAACCUCCCCUCGAUUUGGUGCCAGUUUGUAGGAUUUCGGACUUCCGGACCGGUCCAGACCAAUCUGGUGACCCGGGUUGGAUGGCUAAAAGUGUCUGGACUGUACGGUCUGGACAAUUUGGUGACUCGCGUUGGAGUUGCCCUGAGAGCUUGAGAGGUUGUAGGGAUAAGACACCGGAGGAGGGGUUGUACUGUACACUUUGGUGAGUGAUCAGGUGGUGUGAAUGGUGGCAGGGAAUAGACAGAGAAACUAGGGGUAUGGUAAUGCUCUAGAAAGUGACUAGUCGUUCUUGUUCUUGUUUAAGACCUGGAUUGUGCAACACUUGAUACUUUAUUGGUACUCUCCUUUGGUAAUUUGAGAAAAAUUCUAGAAUCUACAUCCCUCCUGUGUCUUCUUUGCUAUACAUAUAUACAUGGGCUUCAUGGGCGUAGCUCUAACACACAAAAUUGAUCUCUUAUACCUCUUAUCACACCAAAGCUUCAAUAGUCCUCCCCUUGGUAGCCUUAACUCUGAUAGCAGACCGCACGAUCAUAUCAUCUUACUCAAGCAUAACAUAGCUCAUUACUCCCUUAAGCUGUUUACAGGGACACUGAUGAUUGUUUCUUGCUCCUCUAGGAUACUAGAUUUCCACCAACAAAACACAAAAAAUAUGUUUAAUAACACGCAUGCACGCACACACAAUAUCUUAGCUCUGAGGUUAUAUUAUGUCAGUGGUUAGCGAUUCAGAGUAUGUAUAAAAAAUAAAAAAAAUAUCGAAAGGUUAUACCUUAAAUACUGUAUCAUUAGAGCUUUAUGUGCCUAAAACCUCCACGGCCAUCCACUAACUGGAAGCGGGUCCUAAGUGAGAUACGACGUGGACCCUGUUAUAGUUCUUUACUUUGGAAUUUGACAUGAUUUUUGGAGGCAACUUCACUCAGCAGACCAAAGAGGCCCAGCAUUCUCUUUAUUUUUUGUGACAUCAAUUUUUUUCAAAUUCUGUUGCAGAUUAGUACCCACUUCAUUUUUGAUAUAUGACAGGCUGACGGUUUUAUAGUGAAGCAUAUAACGUUGCUGGCUAAUCCUAAUCAAGUGAGGCCAACAAGGUUUUGGGGUGUGUAUACCAAAUUGAAAAUAUUCAACAUGACUACCUACAGAAAAGGUAUGCUUGGAUAACAUUUUUUCUACCCUUUCAUGAUUUUUUUUUCAUUUUUUUUCAUAUCUUUUUGGUUUAAUUAGAUAUAUGCUAUUCUGAUUCAGUUUUACUUUGUUAUUUUUAUUAUUGUGACACAACAUUUUUCUCAUAGUUUACUGUUUUCCAGUUGUUUAUCUCGACGCAGACACCGUUGUGGUGAAAAGUAUCGAGGAUCUUUUCAACUGUGGAAAGUUCUGUGCAAACUUGAAACAUUCUGAGAGAAUGAAUUCUGGAGUAAUGGUUGUUGAGCCAUCUGAAACUCUUUUCAAGGAUAUGAUGAACAAAGUUGACAGCUUACCUUCUUACACGGGAGGUAAGUGCAUUACCGUACUUAUCGUGCAUGUUUUUCUUGCUAUUUUGUUUCCCUUUUUCUUUUUGAACUAGGCUUGAGUAACUCAGUGCUCUAUAUUCCUCCAACUGAAAAUUACCCUGCACCUUCUGUCCUUUGGGACAUGGUAUGUCAAGGAAAACAGUAGUCCUUGUUUGAGUAAUCGAGAUGAACAAUAUGAAGAAAGUGCUUUUGCUACUCAAUAUUUGUAUUACUUGCUUAGAGAUUUCUGCAUACUCUGGGAACAUCUUUUCCCUCAAUCACGUGAUGGUUGGAGCUUUCAGUUAAUUUAGAGGAGCUGUUGGUGCUGCAUAUGUACAUAUGUGAAAUGUGUUUGUUGUUGUCCUUUCUGUUCUACCCCUAUCAUUUUUUUUCAUGUUUUAUAUCUUAUAACACUGAAUUAGUAUAUUGACUUGAUCAUGCAGGAGAUCAAGGUUUUCUCAAUUCGUAUUAUGCUGAGUUCGCCAAUUCCCGUGUUUAUGAUCCCAAUAAACCUUUAACACCUGAACCUGAGACGCAACGCCUCUCCACAUUAUACAAUGCUGAUGUCGGCCUUUACUUGCUUGCGAAUAAGGUUAUACUCUAUGCACUCACAUAUUGAUCAUAUAUUUGUUUUGCAUUCUAUGAUACUGAUGGUGUUGUUACUACCCUUCCCCGGACCCUGCGCAAGUGGGAGCUACAUGCACCGGGCUGCCCCCUUACUAUUACAUUUUUUUAGGCAGCAUGACAUUAGGUGCCCUGUAUACUCAAUCCAUCAUUCAAGUUUUUUCUCUUCUUGUGUUAACAAAGAAAAAAAAAUCUCCUAGAAUUCUAGUAAUACAUAUUAGAUUAUCUUUUAUCCUGGAGUAUAUUCGAAUAUGUUAACAAUACAUUGAAAAGGUUUUUAUUCGCUAAGCAUUUGAUGUUUUGUUUGAAGCCUUCUAUCGUAUCUUAUUUGAACCUUCUAUUAUACUCCCUCUGUAAACUAAUAUAAGAUCUUUCAGAUCACUAAAGUAGUGAUCUAAAAGAUCUUAUAUUACUCCCUCCGUCCCAUAAUAUAAGACAUUUUUGCAAGCUAUGUUAGCUUGCAAAAACAUCUUAUACUGUGGGACGGAGGGAGUAGUUUACAGAGGGAGUACUUGACUAGAGGUAUUGGAAUUAUUAUUUUCACUAAACAUUAGAAUUAGAUAAUGUUCCACUCCUUGAAUGGAAUCUUGUGUUAAAACUGAAAGAAGAGAGUUUGUAUCAAGCUCUCGUGAUGUAGCACACCAACACAGCUGGUGCUGAGUUUUGUUUGAUUCCUUGAAAACUAGCUCUUUUUACUAUAUCUUCUACCGGUUCUCCCUUUCAAAUUCAACUUGACCUGGGUUCGAAUCCUCAGUUCCUCCUCUAUGUAUAUGCCAAGGGGUUUCUUCCCCUUCAGCCUUCAUUUUACGUGUCUUUGGAAAAUUCAACUUAACCUAAAACUGAUCGAACCUAAUUUCUGACUUGGUUCAAAGGAAAACACGUAUUAUUUUGGGAAAAACAUAUGGAACCAAGUUUUGGUUUUCUGUUUUUAUGUAUAACAGUAUGAUUGGAAGCAUCUCACCUGUUGAUUUUCCAAAUCCCGGCCCUUUCCUGUGGAUCUGCCUACUAGCAGUAACUGGCUUCCUAGCAGCGGUUCUUCCAUCCCUGUUUUUGAGAUAGCCUUGUCUUAUGUUUCUGUAGAGCUUGAUUAAUUUACCAAUGUGGCAUUAGUGCUCAAAGCACAAAUAUUUCAGUUUUGGACACAAACUUUUCAAUAUCGCACUAACACGAUCACGAGAUUUAGGACACAAAAUCCUUUUGUGAAUUUGUUGUCACAUACCAUCGACGCCCACCUGUUGAUUAUUUGUGAAACUUACCUUCUUACAUUUGCUUCAGUGGAUGGUCGAUGAGAAAGAACUUAGGGUUAUUCACUACACACUUGGACCUCUUAAGCCGUGGGACUGGUGGACAGCUUGGCUUGUUAAACCUGUAGCUGUAUGGCAGGUAAUAAGCUACUUCUUUUUGUCGGGCUAAUAAGCUACUUCUCGUGUGGUUCAAAAUGAAACGUUAAGUAGCAGCAUGAUACCAAUGAACUUGUGUUAUUUAUGGUUGCAGGAUGUUAGGCAAAAUCUUGAAGAAUCUCUUCCUGGAACUGGUGGAGGGAAAAACCCGCGUGACCAGUUGGUGGUCAAAAUUCUCUUCAUUCUUCCCUUUUGCAUGCUGUUAUGUGGUUAUUAUGGAUCAUGCUUUCAGGUUAAAGUCCUUUUCUUGCUGAAAGUAUUUCCUUUAAUUUCAUAGAUAUUUGCACUCAAAAGCUGAUGCUUGUUUUAUGUUUUUUUGACAGACUAAUAAGGAGCUGUUGAGUAUGAGAACUCUAUGUGCUUUUGCUAGACAAGCUCGUUACAAAUACAAAUCUGAAGAGGAACUUCCGUCUUAUUCAACAGUUGGAGUGGCUUCAUCUUCCUUUGGUAUAUCAAAUCAAAAGGUUGGUUCCUUUUCAACUGUAAAUGGUGGAUUGUAAUUCUUGCUACUAAAUAAGAACACAAUGGUGUCUUGCUAUAGCUAAUUGAGUAAAGUUAAAGAAUAUAAGAUGGCCAUUAUUGUCCUAUAAGAAAACAUUUUUUUAUCAAUUUUCGCUAGCCACUUUUAAGUAGUAGCCCUUUAUGCGCUGUUAGUAAAUGGUAGCAUGCUAAACAGCUGUGGCAUCAAUAUACCAUUCAAACUUCUUGUUUAUGAUAAUAAUUUCGUCUAUUGAAAACCUGUAGAUUCAUAUGAAUGGCAAGGUUUCGUUUUCUUAAACAAACUAUUCAAGUGUUCACAUGGUCACAGACAGAGGAGCUAUCUUUAUACCACUUUCACUAUUUCAAUUUAGUCCUGACUGUGCUCGCACGUAUUAUAUUUCAUUCCAUCUUUCUAGUAAAUAAGGUUACAUUCAUGACCAUAUCUUGAUGACUUCUUAACUCUCGCAGUUAUCUACUGGAGCACAUCUGAAGUUGCCUUCUUAUUUUGGUGCAAUCGCUGUGGUAGUCUGUUUCAUUUGUGCAUUGAUAUCUCUUGCAUUUGCCUUCCUUGUUAUUCCACGGCAAGUGAUGCCAUGGAUGGGUUUGCUGCUGAUGUUCGAGUGGACCUUUGUGACAUUCUUUUUGUUGUUCGGGCGCUACCUUCGUUUUGUAUACAAAUGGGGAAGUUUUAGUGCAAAUCAAGCUGGGUAUGGCAGUUUGGAUUUAUCGGAGAAUCAUACUGGCACAGGUACGUUAGCUUCUACUCCCUCCGUUCCUAAAUAUUUGUCUUUCUAGACAUCUCAAAUGAACUACCACAUACAGAUGUAUGUAGACAUAUUUUGAAGUGUAGAUUCACUCAUUUUGCUCCGUAUGUAGUCAUUUGUUGAAAUGUCUAGAAAGACAAAUAUUUAGGAACGGAGGGAGUAGAAAUUUCGUGUCAACUUAUAGUUUCUUGUUCAAGCUGAGCUAACGGACGCUCUGGUCUGUUUGCAGGCCAUCAGCGGAAUACGUCUGAUUGUGACACAGCUUCAGCUUUCUAUUGGAUGGGGAUGGCUACCAUCUCUACGAUAGCACCAUUAUCACCAACCGUCCUUGGCAUAACUGCCAUUUUUGCAAAGUAAGAUACUACUCCCUCCGUUCCAAAAUAGAUGACCCAACUUUUGUACUAACUUUAGUACAAAGUUUUUUUUUCUUCUUCUUGUCUAUGUCUAUGCUUCUUGAUUUCAGGGUACGACAAAAUAAUUUGACUUUUAACUUGGAAAUUCUUUUAUUCCGCUUCGAACCCGUCCAAACUGUACUCAGUUGUGAUUAAAUUCAAAAUGUGGAAGUUGCUCCUGAGCAUGAGAUAUCUUAAUUUGACACUUCGCCAUAGGACUUUUUACAUGGGCAAUUGCAAGCUUGCAACCAUGAUGUUUUUGUCAUGUGUUUGUACCGUCUUAACAAAAUUCCGUUUCCUUUGGCAGACUUGGGUUGAUGGUAGCGGGUGGUGUGGUGCUGGCGUCAUUUAUGACAUACGCUUCGGAGCAUCUGGCUAUGUCCGCCUUUGUCAAGGGUCAAAGAGGUAGAUCGAAAAUCCCCGAGAGGUAGAAGCAAUUUUUUUGUAUUAUGUGUUCCAUGUGCCCAUGUUGUAUCAUAAGUCUGUAAACACAAUGUUCUAUGAUUCAUUUAUUAGUAGAAAAAUGCCCAGGAAAUUGGAUAGUUGCACUUAUGUGCAACUUUAGUUUUACAAGCUGUAUUUCUUCUUUUAACUCUAGCUCUCGCAGCGAGUAAAGAUAAUGGCAAAGCGACGCAGAACACACGCUCGACAGGAAACAAACCAGAAGAAAGCCAAACAAAGGUAAAGCAAACCUAGUGAAAAUCAAAACGAACGAACAAAAUCGUCAACCCCCUCAAGGAUUUCGUUUUUUCUCCGGCGGCGGUAACCUGGCUGAGAGUGGUUUCUCAGCUGAUCUCGUCCGCAGUUUGCUUGGUCUCUCUUGGCAGAUUGGAAAGGGUGACAGAUUCGAGACGACAUAUGGCAGACGAUGUAGAAGCUAGUGGCUAUUGCCAAAGUACACACAAAGUAACUACUUUCUCUGUAAACUAAUAUAAAAGCGUUUAGAUCACUAAAAUAGUAAUCUAAAUGCUCUUAUAUUAGUUUACGGAGGGAGUAGGGUUUAGCCAGGAACGGGCAUUGUUCAACGACAUGUGAUCUGCAUGGAAUCUGGCAAGGGACGCCACCCGGAAGAAAGUGGACGGCAGUUUGUUUACAUUCCAAUUCAAUUGCUUGGCAGAUUGGGGUAAGGUGUUGUACAGGGUCGUUGCUGUAUAUGACGGGCUCUCAAACCCUGGUUGAUAUAGCUCGAUAAAACCACGGUCUGGACCCAAAUUUUCAAGUUCCUUGACAACUUUUUGAAGGAGGCAGUAAUUAGAGGUAUGGCUAAAGGUAUUGAUGAGGUUAAGCCGUUAAGGAUGUCCAGAUCAAGCCGAGCUUUGUAGGGCAAUUCGUGUUGAGUUAAGGUGAAGUUGGAUUUUAACAGGAAGUUGAGUCGUUUUGUGUCAAUAACGAAGGAUCAACAGUAGGAAUUUUUCAAGUACGAGAAGCUGUCGAUUUUGUGGUAAAUGUGGACCGAUCGGACAUUUGUAUCAAGAGCGCGGACCGGGUGAGCAUGAUCCAAGAAAGCUUGAAUGGGGAGAUUUCAUUAUGGCUAGUGGAGAUAGAGGCCAUGGUCGAAGCAAUGGCUAUGGGCAAGGUGGCCGAGAACAAGGAGGGAGAUGGAGUGAUCAAACUGGAUGGGGUUAUGGCUGGCAGAGGGGAUAUUCAAACCCUACAUAUGAUGAGGAGGACCCAAAAGUGGAUACAAAUGGGAUUGAGAUGGAACUUGAUGCGUAUGAUCAUUAGCGUGGAAGGGGGGAGGUUUGGGAAUAUAUAUGAUAUGAACCCAAUUAUAUGCAAGAGGCUUGCGAUUGUUUCUUUAGCUAAGGAGCUACCAAAUAAACAGAACUAAGAUUCAGAGAAGAACAAGAAGGUGUCUGCUAUGGUGGGACUUUUUGAAGAUGUCGACAACGUUGAUAAAGAAGUUGAUGGUGAUGGUACACCCUAGAAGUCAUUUCACAAUAAGAAGUGAAAGAUUGGUGGUGGGGACGAUGAUAUAAGUCAAAACAAUGAGAUAUCAGGCAGCAAUAAAAAAAACUAAAAUUGAAACUGUCAAAACAAUGAGAUAUAAGGGUGCAACAAAAAAACUAAAAUUAGAACUGUCAUGAGUUGAGCUCAGCCCGAGCAGUUCGUGCGCUCCUAGAGGUACAUAAGCAAAUAAAGUCGGAUGUAACUUUCCUGCCCGAGACACAUAUGUCGAAUGCUAAGGCAGGAAAAAUUCUGAGUCAUACAUGGUUCCAUCACAUGCUUAUUGAUGAGAGUGAUGUGAAAAGUGGCGGUCCUUUGAUGUUGUGGUAGAAUCAUGUGAAAAUAACCGAGUUAAGUAUGCCAAAUCAACAUAUAGAUGUUAUCGUGGAAGAAAGAGAGAAAUGGAGGCUCAGAAUGUACACGCUGAGGCCCAAUUGGGAAUUCAAGGGAAGAACAUAGAGAAAUCAUGUGGACCUACAUGCGUUGUUAAACAUCCCAUGGAUGGUCCUAGAGACUUCAACGAAAUUUGAUUAAAUAGUGAAAAGGAAGGGGGGGGGGGGCAAUUCAAGACAUCCCAAGUUCAUGGAAGCUCUUCAAGAUUGCUUGGACUGGUGUGGCCUAAUGGAUAUGGACUAUAUUGGUGAUAGGCUUACUUAGAUAAGGGGGAAGAUAAGAGAGAGCCUUGAUGUGGAAUGUGUCGAUGAAUAAUGCUCCAUUGAUCCUAUGAUCUAAAAGUAGUCAUGGAAUCUCGUAGAUAGGAGGGUGGAAUCCAAAGGGAUCUCGUCGACGAUGAUGAUGACACGGUGGUUUUAUGCAAGUUUAGGCCCAUUUAUGUUGCUUUGCGAUUCAUGCUCAUGGGUUGAGUACGUUGUUGACUGAUGUUUCGUUCGUUUUCAAUCGAUUUUCUGACCGGGCUUUUUCUGUAGUUGGGCCAUGGCCGAGUGCUAGCUAAACAACAACAUUUACCUAAUAAGAAAGACCACUUGAUAAGAGUGGUAAGCUAUAUCAAAAACAUUGAACAAUCCUGCUUCAAAAAAAAAACCUAAUAAGAAAGAAGUUUAUCAAAAAAUAAAUAAAAUAAAAAAGAAGCUAGCAUAUUUGCGGGAUCGCGCGGGAUUCCCAUCAAUCACGCUCCCGAGCGCUGUGAGCCAACCCAUUUGGUCGGUUAUAUAAUUCUAAAAAAAAGGUCGGUUAUAUUAAUCGGGAUACAAAGGGCUGGGUUGACCGAGUCUGUUUUUUUAGACCAGAGCUAAAAAAAUGUUCUAGAAUUUCAAAAUAGUACGGAAGAAUUUCCAUGCAAAAAAAAAGUACGGAAGAACACCUGGCUAGAAAAUCGACUGAAAACACAUGCAACACCAGCCAACCAGGUGCUCUACCCAUGAGCACGAAUCACAUAGUAAUAAAUGGACGGUAACAGAUUUGACUGAAAGCUUAAAAAAAUCAGUUGCCUGACAAAUCAAACCGGUUAGUCACCCCUGCAUUCAACAAGACACUAUCAUCCCCGUGCUGUAUACCAUUGCGCAUUGCACCGGCCCUACGAUGAACCCUUCGCCGCACACCGGCGCCUUGGAGUUUCCACCCACUUUGUUCCUUCUCCCAGCAUUCAGCAAGUUCGUUGUCUUGUACAUGCAUAUGCUACAAGAUAGCCACAUGCAGCUAUACCACCCUCGUAUCUUGCUAUUGUUCCCAUUUGGCACAUCUAGACAAAGCAAAGCAAUAAGCCGGCUUUUAUACCCCCUUGCUCGCCUACGGUUAUUUGGCUCACAUUCCCUGUACACACACGAUCGAGGGCCGUCUUGAAUCUUGCUUUGCACCGGCCAAGAAGUGUGGACGGGGAGACGGCGGGCCAUGGCACGGCAGCAGCUACAGGUGCUUCACGCGCUGGACGUGGCGAGGACGCAGAGGUACCACGCGUGGGCGGUGGUGAUCGCCGGCAUGGGCUUCUUCGCCGACGCCUACGACAUCUUCUGCAUCACCCUGGUCACCAAGCUCCUCGGACGCAUCUAUUACCACGUCCCGGGCCAGCAAGUGCCCGGGAUGCUCCCCCGGCGGAUCGAGGCGGCCAUCAACGGCGUCACCUUCUGCGGCAUGAUCGUGGGCCAGCUCUUGUUUGGCUGGCUCGGCGACAAGGUCGGCCGGAAGAUGUUCUACGGCAAGACCAUCAUGCUCAUGAUCAUGGGCUCCUUCCUCUCCGGCUUGUCGUUCGGGAACACGGCCGACGGCGUCAUGGCCACGCUAUGCUUCUUCAGGUUCUGGCUCGGCGUCGGCAUCGGCGGAGACUAUCCGCUCUCCGCGACCAUCAUUUCCGAGUACUCCAACAAGAGGACGCGCGGGAGCCUCAUCGCGGCCGUGUUUGCCAUGGAAGGGUUUGGCAUCCUUGCAGGUUGCAUUGUCACCUUGGUCGUGUCGGCCACGUUCCAGGCGCGCUUCAACCCGCCGGCGUAUGACGAAGACCACAUGGCCUCGGUCCCGCCGCAGGCUGACUACGUGUGGCGCAUCAUCCUCAUGGUGGGUGCCAUCCCAGCCGUCUUCACCUAUCGCUGGAGGGUGAUGAUGCCGGAGACGGCGCGCUAUACGGCGCUGGUCGCGCGCGACGCCGAGAAGGCCGCGCGCGACAUGUCCAAGGUGCUCAAGGUGGAACUCAGCGGCGAGCAGGACAAGAUCGAGGGCUUCACCAAGGACAGGGACUACGGCGUCUUCUCCCGCCGUUUCGCCCGCCGCCACGGCUGGCAUCUCGUCGGCGCCGUUGCAUCCUGGUUCGUGCUCGACAUCGUCUUCUACUCCCAGAUCAUUCUCCAGGAGGAGAUCUUCAGGGACAUCAAGUGGAUCCCCGAGGCAAACAGCAUGAGCGCGCUCGAGGAAGCGUACCGCGUUGCCCGUGCACAGGCGAUUAUCGCGCUAUGCGGCACACUACCUGGCUACUGGUUCACCAUCGCCUUUGUGGACGUCGUCGGGCGGAAGGCCAUCCAGUUCCUCGGGUUCACCAUGAUGAAGGGACUCAUGCUCGUCGUGGCCGGCUUGUACCACCAACUGACGCAGCCUGGCCGGCGAAUCUGGCUGGUGGUCAUGUACGCCUUCACCUUCUUCUUUGCCAACUUUGGGCCCAACAGCACCACCUUCAUCAUACCGGCCGAGGUUUUUCCGGCGCACGUCCGGACGACCUGCCACGGGAUAUCAUCAGCGGCAGGCAAGGUCGGCGCCAUUGUCGGGACGUUUGGCUUCCUGUACGCCUCGCAGAGGGCGGACGGCAGCAAUGAGAGGGAGACCGGGUACCCGUCGGGCAUCGGCGUGCGUGCCUCACUGUUCGUGCUGGCCGCGUGCAAUGUGUUGGGAAUAAUUUUCACCUGUCUCCUGCCUGAGCCGAACGGGAGGUCGCUGGAGGAGGUGUCCGGCGAGCCCAUCAACGGGGAGGACGCAGAUCUGGGUGAUUCCAAGGUUCUUCCCUUGUAGAACCUGCCUGAACGUAGGCUGUGCGCACCACUCGAUGAAAAAGAAGCUAUUUGAAUGUGUGUUGUGCUGGGAACCCGGGAUUAGAUGCACUCCAAGGACCCUACGUACACGGCGUUCGGCAAUUAUCGCGGAGGGGAAAUGUGAAUUAAGAGGAAGGAAUUGUCGAGAUUAGACUUAGGAUUUCUCAUCUUACUAGUAUGCGUGUGCGUGCAACCCACGUUUUGAUGGAUACACAUAUUUUUUUUAGGGUACAUGGUCCAGAACCAAUCCAAUUGGAUAUAACACAAGUAUGCAACCCAACACUACUAGGAAAGACCUUAUAUAUGGAUGAUUAUCAGUAGCGCUGGUUAAAAAGAGACGCUACUGAUACUUAGCAGUAGCGCAUGGUUAUCACGAGCGCUACUGCUACAUACGCGCUACUACUAUUUUGGCCACACCAUUGCCGAGAUGCUAGGAAUAGUAGUAGCGUCGUUUUAGGACACACGCUACAACUAUUAGCAAUAGCGCUGCUUAGUACAGUCCGUUACUGCUACCCAUAUAUAGCAGUAGCGCUGAUCAACACGCGCUACUGCUAAUAGUUAGCUAUACCGUCGUAGCAGUAGCGCCGCCCCCAGCUUUACUGAUAGUCCUUUGACCCGCACUACUGCUAGGCUUUUUCCUAGUAGUGCAAAUGUGCGCACGUUAAUACUAUUCUCGUGUCCCUUCUUUCUCCUUAUGCUUGAUAUUGUUUCUCCCCUUUUAUAUUGACCGCACCAUACCUGCCUCCACAACUCUCAUCAUCAUAUGCAACCACUUGUGCUCCCAUCGAGGUCGGGAUGACAAUGGAUAGGGUAUGGGCGGGUACAACCUUCUUCUGCCCAAACCCAUACCCAUAAAAACUUUCUAUACCCACCCACUUCAAUACCCAUGAGCAUAAAUUAACACCCGUGCCCAUACCCACGGGGUAUCCUAUACCCAAUGGGUAAAAUGUAUAACAUUAAAUUUUUAAAAGGUAGAGAAAUGAGUUUAAAAAUCAAGUAGAUGGGCAAGCGGUAUAGCACAGACACAACCUCCUCAUAUGGGAGGCUUCUUGGAGGCAUCAAUGGAGUAUGAACAGCGGUUCGUGGGGAUCGCUUGAUCAUUGGACAGUCCAAUAGAGAAGAGUCGAUGUUUCAUAUUUUUGAGGAGUCACAUAGGCCGUGGGAGGAGUGGCGAGUAGGUGAUUACGGGCCUAUGAGCUAUGGGUGGUUUAAGGAGUACGAGAUUUAUGGUUGAGCCAUAGGAGUCGUAUGUUGACCCACAUGUCAUAGGAACUAUUUUCAUUUUUUAUCAUUUUCUGGGUAUCCAUUGGGUUACCAAUGGGCACAAGUUCAUACCCAUGCCCUACCCAUAGAUUUUGCGGGUAGGGAUACUGUAACAUCCCAAUUUUUAAUUUGGAUGUUAUUCAUAGAUCGUUCAUAUGCAUCCAUGAUUUAUGCAUUUUUUUGUUGCUUUGUUUUAGUUGCAUCUUGAUUCCAAGAGGCCUUAAGCAACUCAAGGACCAAUUUGAGAGAGUUGGUGGUUUCACAAAAAUCCAAUUUUGAUUUAUCAAAAUUUGGUAAAUUGGAUCAAAUUGUUUUUCAAAAUUCUUUUCCAAGUAUUUUUAAAUAAUGAGAGAAGAUAAUAUGACUUCUUCAAAAUCAGUAGAAAAAUAUUGGAAAUUGAAUUUUGAAUUUUUGGAGAGUUUAUUUGAUUUAUUUUGCUAGUUUAUUUAUUAGCUAGCAGAGUAAUUAGUACUGUAAUGUUUGUUUUUAGUUUAGGAAUUUAGGUCCAGAAAAAUGUUCACUAGUGUAAGGGCAUCUUCUACCUUAAGGUUUUGGUGAUGAUGACAACACUCGUGUGGACUAAUCACGCGUCCUAGUUUUCUCAGGUACACGUUGUGCGGCGCAAGACGGUUAGGCCUUCCCUCUAUGCGGAAAAGAUUGAAGACGGAGUUUCCGACGUUUUGUUCCUUAGGUCAUAGGAUAUUCGUACUUUUAAGAGGGAAUCCGCAUCGGAUGGUAUUGGGUGAAUCUUUUCACGUACAUGUUCUCUGCACCCACCUACACCCUCCGUUCGAGAAGAGAGGGGCUCCCCAAAGUUCUUUGUUCUGUGCAGUUUUGCCCAUGGCGGUAGUACCGCUCCUUUGGGCGGUUGUAUCGGUGGCCGGUAGUUCCGGUCUUACCACCGCCCCAAGUACCGCUCAGGGGUGACUCCCUUCUGUACCAGGUACGGUGGUAGACCGGUAGUGGAACGGAAGUUCCGGGUUUUCUUGAAAAACCAGUACUACCGGUGUUCAGGGCGGUAGUACCGCCUCGGACUCCACUACUCAGGAACUGCUGGCCCAGCGGUAGCUCCGGCCCAACCACCGCUCUAACUACCGGCCUGGGGUGAUUUCCUUCUGUGGUGAGGCGGUAGUCGGACGGUGGUGGGAUGGUAAUUCCAGUAUGUUUUGAUAUAUCGGUACUACCGGCUCUCCCAUCGGAAGUACCGCCAUGGUGCCCUAGCAGGGGUUUCCCGCAUUCACCGGUUGUACCGGUGACACUUGCGGAAGUACCGCUCCUAUGUAUUUCUGCGCAUAACGGUUGGAUCUGAGGGGACCCUAUUUAAGGAGGUGCUUCUCCUUCCUCCCACCUACCUCUUGCCCCUCUCUCUCCUCCAUUAAUGCCCUCAAAGCUUUCUUGCCCGAUCUCUCUCUCUAGCCACUCAAACCUGUUGAUGUGCUAGGGAUUGAAGGAGGAGACCUAGAUCUACACUCUCACCAAAGGAAAAUUGAUUCCCCCAUACCUUCUUGUGUGGAUUUUGUUAGUCUAGGUGCAUGGGCACCCUUGUUGGAAGAGGUCACUUCGGAGCGACAUUCCAUUGUGGUGAAGCUCCGGGGUUUCGUUGGGAGCCUCCAAUUAAGUUGUGUAGAGAGCCCCAACCUUGUUUGUAAAGGUCCGGUUGCCUCCUUCAAGGUCUCCAAUAGUGGAAUCACGGCUCUCGCAUUGUGUGAGGGCGUGAGGAGAAUACGGUGGCCCUAGUGGCUUCUUGGGGAGCAUUGUGCCUCCACACCACUCCAACGGAGACGUACUUCCCGUCAAAGGGAAGGAACUUCGGUAACACAUCCUCGUCUCCAUCGGUUCCACUCUUGGUUAUCUCUUACCUUUACUUGUGCAAGUUUUAUUGUGUUAUGUCAUUCACUUGCUUAAGUGCUUAUUGUUGUUGCAUCAUAUAGGUUGCUCACCUAGUUGCAUAUCUAGACAACCUACUUUGAUGCAAAGUUUAAUUUGGUAAAGAAAAUCUAAAAAUUGUUAGUUGCCUAUUCACCCCCCCUAGUCAACUAUAUCUAUCCUUUCAAUUGGUAUCAGAGCCUCGUCUCUUUAUUAAGGACUUUGCCGUCCGAAGAGUAUGAUUGCACCAUAGAUGGUGAGAAGGAGCACCCUAGUGUGAUUCCGUCCUCGUCUAUGGCUGAUGGGGCAUCCUCGGUCUCACGUGAGGAAUUCAAUGUGGCUUUGGACACAUAGUAAACCUCCAUGACGACCGAGGUCAAAGGCAUGUUCAAAGAGUUCCUUGAUGGUCUUAAAUUAUCCACCGCACCCUUGGAAGUGGUUGCUCCCACUAACAAGGUGGCGGAUGCCAACUCCGAUAAGGGGGAAGCUUCUAGUGAAAAGGUUCCUUUGCCUAGUGGUAAAAGUGGUAAUGGCAUCUAUUCUCAUGUUGAACCUCCUCUCACUUAUGGAGGACCGAUUCCCUCCACGCAUUUAAAUCAUGCGGGUUCUCUUCCCAAGAUUGUGAAGAAUGAGGAUUUUGAUUCUUGGGUUUAUCACUUUAAACGUCAUUUAAAUCAUGUUAAUACUAACCUUUGGAGAAUCAUUGAGGAAGGUUUCUAUCCGCAUGAUCGAAGCAACGUCACCCAGAGAGAAACCGCGGAUAAUCAAUUCAAUGAGAAUGCUCUCUUCAUCAUUCAAGAUGCAAUUCCACCCGAAGACAUUGCUCACCUCCGACCCUUUACCGUGGCCAAGGAAGCAUGGCACCAUGUUGUUUCCCUCUACAAGGGAAGCACAAGCAUUCAAUGCUCCAACUAUGAAGUGGUGCAAGAUGAAGCCGAUGAGUUUGCAAUUAAUGAAGACGAAGAACCUCGCGAGCUCUACCGGAGAUUAACCACUCUCGCGGUCUCACUCCGAGAUCAUGGGAGCAACAAUACGAAUGACAAUUGGAUCAAGCGCAAGUUCCUCAAGGCCAUGAUGCCCUACCACAAGGCCAUGUCCUCUGUCAUCCGUCAAAGGCCGGACUUCCACACCUUGUCCUCGAGUGAAGUGUUGGAUGAGUUUGUGGCAAUGAGGAUCUUGGACAAGACUGCCGACAAUGCGGUGUUGCGUUGUCAAAGAGCAAAGAAGCCCAACUUUGCCUUGAAGGCCAAGGUUAGCGUGGAAGAAGAGGAUGAAGAGGAGAGCAACCCCGAAGAUACUAAGUAUGACUACCAUGAGCACAUGGCUCUUGCGUCAAGGCAAUUUUGAAGCAAGAAGAACACAAGGCCCAACUUCAACAAGAACAACUCAAGUGGCUUCAAGGGCAAGCAACGUGUGAGAACAUGCUACAAUUAUGGCAAUGUGAGCCAUUUUGUUGUAGAGUGCCCUUACGAGAAGAGGGAAGACAAUGGUGGCAAGCUCAUCCGAAAAGACAAAGCCAAGUCCUUCCCCAACAAGAACAACUUCACCAAGAAGACUCAAACUAAAGGGUUGGUGGCUCAAGAAGAAUACCAUGAGGAGGAUGAUGAUGAUGAAGACAGUGAAGCCAUGGCCAUGGCCUCCGUUGCCAUUGCCACAACUCCACGGGUGUCUCUCUCUGACUCACCCAACGAGAACAUCACUGCAAGUGCCCCAUGGCUAAAGCCACCAACAAGGUAACCCCCAACAUUAAAACCACCAUCAUUACUAAUCCCUCCUUGAUGGAUUGCAUUGAUGAAAGUGAGGGGUUGAAUGAGGAAGCAAAUGAAUUUGAGUCUUUUAUGAGUAAGCUCAAGGGCAAAUUCAAGAAGCACUUCGUUGCUCUCUUGGAACAACUUGGUGAAGCCAAUGACAUGAUUGAGGCUCAUGAAGAAACCAUCUCUAAGAUGGAAGGUCAUAGUCGUGACUAUGCCGAUGAGAUAUUGGAUCUAUCUAAUGCUCUUGAGGAAGAGCAUGUUCAUCGUUUGGCUCUUGAGUAGUCACACAACGAUGACCAUGCUAAAUUAAAGAAAGAUCUUGAUCAUGCUCUUGUUUUAUCUCGUGUGCUAAAUUCCGAGAAGGCUAAACUUGGGGUUGACCAUGCUAGACUCAAGGAGGAGUUUGAUAUACUUGACAAGGCUCACAAGGUCUUGAAGGGUGCUCAUGCUAGCCUCAAGGCGUCUCAUGAUCAACUCCAAGUGAAGCAAACCAAGGAGAAAGCCACCUUUCCUCAUAUGGUAUUAAUUGAUCAUGCAAAUGCUACUAACCCGUGUUGUGAGCAUGUGCAUCUUGUGGAGGAGAAUGCCAGUGGAAGGAGCAACUUGAGAAAGGCCUUGUGACAUGCAUACAAGGUGAGAAGAACCUCAAUGACCUUUUGAGCAAUCAAAAGGAAGUUGUGGCCAAAGAGGGAGUUGGGUUUGCACCCAAGUCCAAGAACAAGAAGAAGAACGACAAGACCAAACGACCUCCCCCUCUCAAGAAAACCUUUGUGAAGAAGGGAGAGGGUGCUCCAAAGGAGAAGAAGAACAAUGUGAAGGGUGGUGAUGUCAAAAGGGGCAAUGCCACCCCUUCCAACAAAGCCAGCGACUUUAACCCUUCUUACGUGUUGUGCCAUGCUAGUGAUGGGCAUGUUUAUGCUAAAUUUGUUGGUUCUCCUUAUGAGUACAUUGAAUGGUCUAUUUGGGUUCCUAAGACCCUUGUUACUAACAUCAAAGGACCCAUUACAAAAUGGGUACCUAAAACCAAGCAUUGAUCUCUUGUAGGUGUUUACUUCCGGUGGGGGAUCAUGGUUGCUCGAUAGUGGAGCCACAAAUCAUAUAACCGGAAGCAAGGACUUGGUGGUGGAUGUGCACAAGAUCCCAUCUAUGCCCACCAAUGUCGAGUGGGGUGAAGCAUCACAUUCUAAGGUAUUGGGUCUUGGCAAGGUUGUCAUUUCUCAUGAUCUCACGUUCGAGAAGGUCAUGCAUGUUGAGUCCCUUGCAUACAAUCUACUUUCCGUUCGUCAACUUGCACUUAUGGGCUUUGCCACAUUCUUUGAUAUUGAUACCGUGGCCCUUUUGUGGAGCAAGACUCUUAAAGUAGCCUUUGUUGGGCAUGUCGAGAACGGUCUUUAUGUGAUUAAAUUUUCGGAGCGACCCACUAAGACCGCGACAUGCCUAAUGGCUAAAGUUGAUGUGGGGUGGCUUUGGCAUCGCCGCUUAGCCCACAUCAAUAUGAGAUCUUUGCAAAGUCUUCUCAAGGGGGACCAUGUCCGAGGACUAACAAAUGUUAGUUUUGCCAAAGAUCGUGCUUGCAGUGCUUGUAUCGAAGGAAAGCUACAUGAGAAGGCUCACCCUCCCACGACUAUCAUCUACUCGAAGAGACCCUUGGAGCUCCUUCACAUGAAUCUCUUUGGGCCUCCAUCCUUUGAUAGUCUUGGGGGUAGAAAGUAUUGCUUGGUGAUUGUGGAUGAUUUUUCAAGAUAUAUUUGGGUAUAUUUCUUCAAGAGGAAGAGUGAGACUCAACAAACCGUCAUCGACUUUGCUAAUGAAGCUCAAUGUCAACACGAUGCAAAGAUAUUGACUAUAAGAAGUGACAAGGGCACCGAGUUCAAGAACUACACCUUGGAUGAGUUUCUUAGUGAUGAGGGGAUCAAGCAUCAAUAUUCUGCACCAUACACCCCUCAAAAAAAUGGUGUCGCGGAGAGGAAGAAUCGGACGUUGAUGGAUGCGGCAAGGACCAUGAUGGCGGAGUUCAAGUCUCCUUACAACUUUUGGACCGAAGCCAUCAACACCGCAUGUCAUGCAUCCAAUCGGCUCUAUCUCCGCAAACGUUUGAACAAGCUCCUUAUGAAAUACUCACCGGUAACAAGCCCAACCUCAAGUACUUUCGGGUGUUCGGGUGUAAGUGUUUCAUUCUCAAGAAAGGUGUUCGUUUGUCUAAAUUUGAGGCUAGAUCUCACGAGGGCAUAUUUGUUGGUUAUGCUACAAACUCUCAUGCUUACCGUGUCCUCAACAAGUCCACGGGACUGAUGUCUACUACACAACCUUCUUCUUGUAGACGUUGUUGGGGCUCCAAGUGCAGAGGUUUGUAGGACAGUAGCAAAUUUCCCUCAAGUGGAUGACCUAAGGUUUAUCAAUCCGUGGGAGGCGUAGGAUGAAGAUGGUCUCUCUCAAACAACCCUACAACCAAAUAACAAAGAUCUCUUGUGUCCCCAACACACCCAAUACAAUGGUAAAUUGUAUAGGUGCACUAGUUCGGCGAAGAGAUGGUGAUAUAAGUGCAAUAUAGAUAGUAGAUAUAUGUAUUUGUAAUCUGAAAUAAUAAAAACAACAAGGUAACUAAUGAUAAAAGUGAGCGUAAACGGUAUUGCAAUGAUAGGAAACAAGGCCUAGGGUUCAUACUUUCACUAGUGCAAGUUCUCUCAACAAUAAUAACAUAGAUAGAUCAUAUAACAAUCCCUCAACAUGCAACAAAGAGUCACUCCAAAGCCACUAAUAGCGGAGAACAAACGAAGAGAUUAUGGUAGGGUACGAAACCACCUCAAAGUUAUUCUUUUGGAUCAAUCUAUUCAAGAGUUCGUACUAGAAUAACACCUUAAGACACAAAUCCACCAAAACCCUAAUGUCACCUAGAUACUCCAUUGUCACCUAAAGUAUCCGUGGGCAUGAUUAUAUGAUAUGCAUCACACAAUCUCAGAUUCAUCCAUUCAACCAACACAAAGUACUUCAAAGAGUGCCCCAAAGUUUCUACCGGAGAGUCAAGACGAAAACGUGUGCCAAUCCCUAUGCAUAGGUUCAUGGGCAGAACCCGCAAGUUGGUCACCAAAACAGACAUCAAGUGGCACGUGAAAUCCCAUUGUCACCACAGAUAAGAACGACAAGACAUACAUCAAAUGUUCUCAAAUCAUUAAAGACUCAAUCCCAUAAGAUAACUUCAAGAGGAAAACUCAAUUCAUCACAAGAGAGUAGAGGGGGAGAAACAUCAUAAGAUCCAACUAUAAUAGCAAAGCUCGCGAUACAUCAAGAUCAUGCCAUAGAGAGAACACAAGAGAGAGAGAGAGAGAGAUCAAACACAUAGCUACUGGUACAUACCCUCAGCCCCGAGGGUGAACUACUCCCUCCUCGUCAUGGAGAGCGCCGGGAUGAUGAAGAUGGCCACCGGUGAUGGGUUCCCCCUCCAGCAGGGUUCCGGAACGGGCUCCCGAGAGGUUUUUGGUGGCUACAGAGGCUUGCGGCGGUGGAACUCUCGAUCUAUCUUGAUAUUCGAUGUUUUUAGGGUACGUAGGCUUAUAUAGGCGAAAGAAGUUGGUCGGGGGAGCCUCGAGGGGCCCACGAGAGGGUAGGGCGCGUCCAGGGGGUGGGCGCCCCCCUGUCUCGUGGCCUCCUCGAUGAUCUUCUGACGUGUACUCCAAGUCUCCCGGAUCAUAUUCUUCCUAAAAAUCACGCUCCCGAAGGUUUCAUUCCGUUUGGACUCCAUUUGAUAUUCCUUUUCUUCGAAAUACUGAAACAUGCAAUAAAACAACAAUAUGGGCUGGACCUCCGGUUAAUAGGUUAGUCCCAAAGAUGAUAUAAAUGUGUAAAAUAAAGCCCAUAGUCAUUCAAAAUAGAUAAUAAAAUAGCAUGAAUGCUUCAUAAAUUAUAGAUACGUUGGAGACGUAUCAGCAUCCCCAAGCUUAAUUCCUACUCAUCCUCGAGUAGGUAAAUGAUAAAAGAAAGAAUUUAUGAAGUGUGAAUGCUAGAAGGUGCACAAGUUUGAUCAAUGAUAAUUUCAAUCACCUUUUCUAGCAUGAUAAUAUGUCAUAACAGUAGUUCAUCUCAUAAAACUUCUCAGGAUCAAGUAACAAGCAAUUCACAUGUUAAAGCAUAGACCAUAAACUUUCUUGAAAACUAGCAAACUUCAUUCUCAGUCAUCAAACAAUUGCAAUUCAUCUUAUUUUCAAGAAUAUCAAACUCCACAUACUCAACUAUCAUAUAGUCUUCUACAAGUGCUAACACUCACGCAAUAUUAAUGGUUAUGGAGUUUCAAUCGGACAUUGAGAAAGAUAGGGGCUUAUAGUGUUGCCUCCCAACGUAUUCACCUUUGGGUGAUGUCAACAAUAAUAGUUCAUGCUAACUUACAUCCAAUUGGAUAUAUAUAUCAGGAUCUUCCCAACACGAGGUGCUUGCCAAAGGAUAAAAUGAAAAAGGGAAAGGUGAAGAUCACCUUGACUCUUGCAUAAAAUGAAAAAAACAUAAAGUAAAAGAUAGGCCCUUCGCAGAGGGAAGCAGAGGUUGUCAUGCGCUUUUAGGAUUGGAUGCACAAAAUCUUAAUGCGAAUGAACGUCACUUUAUAUUGCCACUUAUUUGGAAGCACAAGUAGUAUCUCUACUUGGUGCAAGGAAUUUGGCUAUCAUGAGGGGGAAAGGCAAGCUCAACAUGUUUGAAUGAUCCAUGACAAUAUACUUUAACUGAGAUGUGCGAAAACAUAACCCAUUACGUUGUCUUCCUUGUCCAACAUCAAAUCUUUAGCAUGUCAUACUUAAUGAGUGCUCCCAAUUAUAAAAGAUGUCUAGGAUAGUAUAUUUAUAUGUGAAGUCUCUCUUCCUUCAAUAUUCUUUCAUGAAUUGUUCAAAUGACCAAUACAAUGCUUGCUAACCUUCAAUAAAUUUACAACCUACUUCUUAGAUGUGAAGGCAUUACUCCCCAUGGGAUAAGCAAAUUAAACAUAUAUAAUUUCAGAUUUAUGACAAUCAACUCAUUCAACAAUUUACUCAUAGGAUAUAAGUGAAGCACGCGAGUAAAUGAAAAACUACUCCAAAAAGAUAUAAGUGAAGAUCAAUGAGUAGCUAAAUAAUUAAGUAGCUAUAUGAAGGCUCCCUCUCAUUAAAGAAUUUCAUAUCUUGGUACUCUAAUCAAACAGCAAGCAAACAAAAUAAAAUGACAUUGCAAGGAUAGCACAACUCAUGUGAAGAAGCAAAAACUUAGGCUCAACCGAUACUAACCGAUAGUUGUUGAAGAAGAAAGGUGGGAUGCCUAACGGGGCAUCCUCAAGAUUAGAUGCUUGAGACUUCUUGAAAUAUUAUCUUGGGGUGCCUUGGGCAUCCCCAAGCUUGAAAUUUUGUGUCCCCUUAAUUCCUCUCAUAUCAUGGUUUCUCUUUUUAUCAAAAGCUUCAUCCACACCAAACUCAACAAAACUUGUGAGAUAGGUUAGUAUAAACCAAUGCAAAACCUUAUCAUUCUCUACUGUAGCAAAUCACUAAAAUUAUUAUUCAACAUUGCAUACUAAAUGCCUCUGCAUAUUUAAUACUCUUAUCCUCAAAUAGAAUCAUUAAACAAGCAAACAUAUGCAAACAAUGCAAACAUAAUAGCAAUCUGCCAAAACAGUACAGUCUGUAAAGAAUGCAAGAGUAUCAAUACUUCCCUAGCUCCAAAAAUUAUGAGAGAAAAUUCCCACUGUAGUAAAUUUGUCAGAGCUCAUUAUGCAAAGGGUUUCAUCAUAUUAUCAUUCUUUGAAUUUUCUAGGGAAUUUUUGCAACAUCGGUAAACUUUCUGUUUUCAAACAGCAACAUGUAUACUAGCAAAAUAAGCAUGGUAAAGGCCAUCCUUGACAUUUUUAUUGAAACUAAAGAUUCAAAACAUUAUUCUAAAUAACAGCAAGCUAAUACUAACAAAAUAAAAUGACGCUCCAAGCAAAACACAUCUCAUGUGGUGAAUAAAAAUAUAGCUCCAAGUAAAGUUACCGAUGGACGAGGACGAAAGAGGGGAUGCCAUCCGGGGCAUCCCCAAGCUUAGGAUCUUGGUUGUCCUUGAAUAUUACCUUGGAGUGCCUUGGGAAUCCCCAAGCUUAGGAUCUUGCCACUCCUUAUUCCAUAGUCCAUCGAAUCCUUACCCAAACCUUGAAAACUUCACAACACAAAACUCAACAGAAAACUUGUAAGCUCCGUUAGUAUAAGAAAAUAAAACCACCACUUAGGUACUGUAAUUAACUCAUUCUAAAUUCAUAUUGGUGUAAUAUAUAUUGUACUCCAACUUAUCUAUGGUUCAUACCCUCCGAUACUAUUCAUAGAUUCAUCAAAAUAAGAAAACAACACAUAGAAAACAGAAUCUGUCAAAAACAAAACAGUCCGUAGUAAUCUGUAUCAAACGUAUACUUAUGGAACUCCAAAAAUCCUACCAAAUUAGGAAGACCUAAGGAAUUUGUUUAGAAAUCCAGAUCAAAAAGAAUCAGAUCAGAAGCACGUUUCUGUGAAUUAACAAAACUAAUUUACUGGGGGCAAAAGUUUCUGAUUCUCAGCAGGAUCAGCACAACUAUCACCGUAAGCUAUCCUAAAGGUCUUACUUGGCACUUUAUUGAAACAAAAGCUAUAAGAAAUGAUUACUACAGUAGCAUAAUCAUGUGGACACACAAAAACAGUAAGGGUAAAUGUUGGGUAGUCUCCCAACAAGCACUUUUUUAACGCCUUUCUAGCUAGGCAUGAUGAUGACAAUGAUGCUCACAUAAAAGAUAAGAAUUGAAAUAUAACGGGAGCAUCAUGAAGCAUAUCACUAGCACAUUUAAGUCUAACCCACUUCCUAUGCAUAGGGAUUUUUUGAGCAAACAACUUAUGAGAACAAUAAUCAACUAGCAUAGGAAGGUAAAACAAGCAUAGCUUCAAGAUUUUCAACACAUAGAGAGGAAACUUGACAUUAUUGCAAUUCCUACAAGCAUAUAUUCCUCCCUCAUAAUAAUUUUCAGUAGCAUCAUGAAUGAAUUCAACAAUAUAACAAGCACCUAAAGCAUUCUUUUGAUGAUCUACAAGCAUAGAAAAUUUACUACUCUCCACAUAAGCAAAAUUCUUCUCAUUCGGAAUAGUGGGAGUAUCGUAAGAGACUUGAACACUAAAAAUUGUUUCCACAUUAAAAGAGUAAUGUUCAGAAAAAGGGUAAUCAUAAUCAUGACAAGUUUUAUAAAUAUAAUCAUCACUACUUUUUAUAGCAUAAGUUUCAUCACAAUAUGUUGGGGAACGUAGUAAUUUCAAAAAAAUUCCUACGCACACGCAAGACCAUGGUGAUGCAUAGCAACAAGAGGGGAGAGUGUUGUCCACGUACCCUCGUAGACCGUAAGAGGAAGCAUUAUGAAAGCGCGGUUGAUGUAGUCGUACGUCUUCAUGAUCCGACCGAUCCAAGCACCGAACGUACGGCACCUCCGAGUUCAGCACACGUUCAACUCGAUGACGAUCCCCGGACUCCGAUCCAGCAGGGUGUCGGGGAUGAGUUCCGUCAGCACGACGGCGUGGUGACGAUGAUGAUGUUCUACCAACGUAGGGCUUCGCCUAAGCACCGCAAUGAUAUGACCGAGGUGGAAUAUGGUGGAGGGGGGCACCGCACACGGCUAAGGAACGAUCACGAUGAUCAACUUGUGUGUCAUGGGGUGCCCCCUACCCCCGUAUAUAAAGGAGCAAGGGGAGGAGGGCCGGCCAAGGAGGAGGAGGCGCGCCCAAGGGGGAGAAUCCUACUCUAAGUAGGAUUCCCCCCUCUUUCCUAGUCCAAGUAGGAGAGGGGGAGGAAGGGAAGGAGAAGGAGAAGGAAGGAGAGGGAGGAAAAGGAGGAAAGGGGGGCCGGCCCCUUAGUCCAAUUCGGUUUGGGCUAGGGGGGCCGCGCGCCCUGCCUCCUCUCUUCCACCACUUGGCCCAUGAGGCCCAUUGCUUCUUCCUCGUAUUCCCGUAACUCCCCGGUACCCCCGAAAAUAUCCGAAUCACUCAGAACCCUUCCGAUGUCCGAAUAUAGUCGUCCAAUAUAUCGAUCUUUACGUCUCGACCAUUUCGAGACUCCUCGUCAUGUCCCCGAUCUCAUCCGGGACUACGAACUCCUUCGGUACAUCAAAACUCAUAAACUCAUAAUAUAACUGUCAUCGAAACCUUAAGCGUGUAGACCCUACGGGUUCGAGAACAAUGUAGACAUGACCGAGACACGUCUCCGGUCAAUAACCAAUAGCGGAACCUGGAUGCUCAUAUUGGCUCCUACAUAUUCUACGAAGAUCUUUAUCGGUCAAACCGCAUAACAACAUUCGUUGUUCCCUUUGUCAUCGGUAUGUUACUUGCCCGAGAUUCGAUCGUCG